GAUGAAACGUAUUGGUUUUGCAUUGAAGAGGAAGUUAAUGUGCUUAACUUCUGCAAGUUGGGGUGUGCGUCGUCUGUGUGCAACAACAUCAACGCUGGUAAGCACCUUUUGCUCAGACGGAGAAAACAAUAAUCAUUAAUUAGCGGCAGCUAGAAUCCUAUAAUCUAAUAUAUUUAUAUAUAUAUAUAAUUUUAUCAGCUCUGGGAAAUGAAGAGGCGAACGAUGCCGUUGAGAGUUGCGACCAAGCCUGCUCUAGCUUCUGCAGCGUGCAUGUUGGCAGCGCCACCGUGGUUGCUUAAGCAAAUGCAUGCAACUAGAUCGUCCUUGUGCUGAAUAAUUGGAUAUCGUAUCCACUUAAAGCUGCCUUGUGUAGUACGUCUUUGUUUGUGUCUCUCUUUAUAUUCCACUAAGGUCGGUGAUCUUGAUGCCACACACACUCAGAUGUGUGUUCAUCUCCAGAUACUACUCCAUGCUACCUGCCCUUUUUGUUUUGUUCAAUAACUGGGUAUCAUAUCCCGGCCAGUGUGCCAUCUAUUUUGUGUUUGUUUCCUUCUAGUUCCAAAGGGGUCAUCAUGAUGUUACCUUCUUUCGAUAUGGUGCUUUGCAUGACAACUGUUGUAUGGUACCAUCUUGUUGGCCAAUAAAUACAUCUUAUCCUAUGACCCUUUGCUAUGACCCUUUGCAAAUAAGUACAAGAUUGUUAUAAGCGUCAAUACUCAGUAUAAUUGAUCGCUGCUGUGAGUUCCCUUUCAGCUUAUCGUAGGCACACAUUAUUGCUAGCACGGUAAAGACAACCAACACGAAUGAUGAAGUAAACGUAGCGGUACUUUUGUAUACCAACACCCUUACUUAAAUGUACUGGUGUCAUUCCCUACUGGCACAUAUAUUCUUAUAUGCUAGCCAGAUUGGAAAAUUAACCAAUUAAAAUAAUUAUUUCAAGAUAGAAAUAACUUAUCGGCUUCUCGAAGCAUGUGUAAUUUUAAUUCAAGGACUCAAUGGAAGUUGAAUCACUUCAUCUAGAUUGCCUUCUGGAUUUUGGUUAACUAAAUUUAACAUUUGUGUCGGGGGGAAAUAUUAACGAUUUUCUUACGCUCUCUAAUUAACGGAUACAAGGGCUAGGGCCCACCCCUAAUACCCAUAAUCUCCGCUAACAACACAUCCCAGAGGCACUCCGCUCCGCCUCGCCCGACUUCAGGGUCGCAGGGUCGGACGUGCCCGACCCCCCAAGGCCUCGCCUCGUCUCAGCCGAUGGAGUUCCGCCUCGCCCGACCCUGAGCCCAACGGAUCGGACGCGCCCGACCCCUCGAAGCAGGACUCCGCCUCGCCCGACCCUGAGCGCAAGCGGUCGGACGUGUCCGGUCCCACCUGACAGAGCUCCGCCUACCCGAAGGUACGAGCAGGUCAUCAGACGGAAGCGCGGGCUCUGUGAGUCCCCCUGGGCUCACCCAACCGAUGGGACCGCGCAAGCUUCCAGAUACAGUUCUGACACAUGGAGAGGCGCCCGCGUUCCUCGACAUGACCUGUCAAAAUGUUGGUCUGCGCACUGCUGCCACGACUGCACAGGGCUACACCUGCACCGUCCUACCCCACUGUGACAUCUGUCAUAGGGCACUCAUCGCUCAUACCAUCUAAUGGAGGAGGGAAAACCGCCUAGUUUUCCACGUGGGCUAGCAAGAAGAGCACGUCAGCCACGCCGCCCCGUCAGGGUGCAUGGCUACAGUGGUUGACCAUCACCCGCGACGUGCACAGUCACAGUGGCCAGUCGUCACCACCAACUUGCACAGCUACAGUGGUCGGCCGCCAUGCACGACUCGCGUGUCCGGCUACAGUGACCGACCGCCGAGUCACCGAUGGGACCCAACGGCAACCCCUAUCCCUUAGUAGCAGUACCGACAAGACGCAGAGACAAGAAGGGAAGACGACGUCUCUAGUAGCCCCACUUGCUUCCCUUUUUACCUUUCUACCUGUUUACCUUCCUUACUCCCGGCUCAUUUGUAACCUCUGUAUCCUCCUUGCACUAUAAAAGGAGACCAGGGGGUCUGAGGGCAAGGGACCCUCGGAGACCGAACCCCGAAUUCACCCAAGUACAAACCAACCGAACCACCAGACGAGAAAGACUCACAGAGAUCUGGGAACCAGCUUCCCUCUCUCACCUAUUUGUAGCCUCUACUCCAGACUUGGUACGAGUAACACGAGCAGCCACCCGCACUGGACUCCUCCGCCAGAAACUGGUCCAACCAGUCGGGUCCCUCCCCCUGCUCUUCGUCCUCAUCAUCCUCAUCAUCGUCGUCCUCAUCCGUUGCCGUGUCUGGCCCCUCCGCAGCCUUCAGAACUCCGCUGCAGCUUUCUUUUUCUUCCUCACCGUCUCCUUGUCCUUCCUCUUCUUCUGUGCUUCGUCGAGGAGGCGGUUCCGCUGCCUCUGCACCACGUCCUCUGGCACCGGUGGACGGGAGGCUGUGACAUGGUUUAAGUUACCCUGCAGAUUCGAAGACUCCGCGUCAGAAUAGCAAACCAGGAAAUGCAGGAAAGAAGAACGAGAGUGCAAAUUUCUAACCAGCAGGACAUAGGCCUCGUCCGGGCGCAUCGGAGGGUGCCCCGGCACCGGGAACACGACAUCCCUGUCACCCAAUGCAUCCCGGACACGCUGCUCGAUCUCGGCGUCGGCAAUUGCACCCGUCGCAAGGACGGUGCUGUGGUACGCCCCAACAACUCCGGCCCCGGUCAGGCCCUCCUCCUUCAGAAGGUUGAUGGCUUCGAGGAGACCCCGGAUAUUCUUCUUCUCCUUCUCAACAGGGCCAUAUGUCCACGUUCCCGGUGCCUCCACGAUGACGCGGCCAGUGAACUCCGUCAAGAGGACAUCGGGGCGGUUCUUCACAUAGAGCCACUGCUGAUGCCACCCUUUGUGGGAUGACGGGGUCUUCAUCGAUGUAUACUCCUUGGGCCGAUGGCCACAGAGGUGGAUGCCGGCACACCCCAUCAGCAUCGGAAUCGUCCGCGUCUGGUUUCCUCUCUUCUCGGUCCUCUGAUGAAGAGUGACAGCGAAGAAGUACUUCCACAGGGCGAAGUUGGGCUCGAUCCCCAGGUAUCCCUCCCAAAGCACGACGAACGCCGCGAUGUGCUGGAUUCCGUUGGGGUUGAGGUGCUCCAGCUCAAUGCUAUAGUAGUGCAGCAGCCCCCGGAAGAAGCGACUUGGGGGAACCGCGAACCCCCUCUCGUGGAAGUGCGCGAAGGAGACGAUGUACCCGUCCUCCGGCUGUAGCACGGCCUUGUUCCCGGGAUACCGCCACUCGUUCUCGGCGAUCCUAUCGCGAAGAAGGCCCUUCUUCACGAGACCGAUCACGCGCGCGGUGUUGAAGAUUGACCAAGACCUUGAAUCCAUCGCCGAGGAAGGGGAAGGCUCGACGGCGGUGGUGGAAAGGUGAAUGCUCUGGCUCGAAAGAGGAUGAAAAGUGAACAAGGAGGCGAGAAAGGCUGAAGACGAGUGCGGAGCGGAGCAAGCAAGGUAAGCUCUCUCGUUUUACAGGGGGCGUGCGAGAAACGAAAGGCGAACCGAACGCAUUUAUUGCGACGUCAGGUAUGCCCCAUCGCCUCCGCCUUUCUUCGGAAACCGUACGCAUGAUUUCUUUUUAACCGCAGGGAACGCUACGCCCCCUCGCCCCACGAGCCCGGUGUUUUUUGCCGCUUCGUCUCCUGGAGGUCAUGCGCACAACUUCCUCCACAAGCGGCCCAGGGCCCGCUUCAGGUAAAAAAGGGAUACAGAGCUGAAAACACUCUAACGGCCCAUUACGGUCCAGGGGUUCGAAGGCUGGCCCUCUAGAGGGUUCGACAUCCACCCCAGGACAUUUCUUGAGCAAGGGGUGAGAAGGGACGGGUCCGCUAGCGACCACUACCCUGGUGAACAAAAGCCAAGGGCGUCCCGACCUCACAUUUGAGUCUCGAUUGGCGUUUAAGUUCAUGGUUUUUCCCCGAAGAAAGGCAAAGUGCCCCCGGAUCCGGUUGAACAGACCUGGGAACUAUAUGAACUGGCCGUCCGAAAUCUGGAGUACGCCACCAGCUUGGCCCAAGCCGGACCCGCCCGAACAGGGACCGGGACUCCACUCGAACUGACCCGUUAGCAGCUCACCGAGCACCAUGGUUCGUCCGAUGAGGAUAACAUGGCACGGCUCACCCCCUCCGUCCCAACGAACGGACGCUGAGGGGUAACGACUAAAAGACGAUCCGACCUCUCGAUCGGUCCCCUGCAAUGCGCGGGGGCUCGAGGGCUGGAAUCACAACGAAACGACCAUGCGCAUGGUUACGACUCGGAAUUUUGAGGCAGGAAUGGUCAUUGAAACAAUAGGGAAUCUUCCCAAACCGUACCAUCCUCAGAACACUCUGGCUACCCAAAACUCCCCGGCCAGGCCAAACAAGCAAAACUUUUCUCCUGAUCAAAUCAAGGUACAUGUUAAACAAGACCCCUGACAAACACUCUGCCGAGAGCCAAUCACAGCCUCUGGAGGAGCACCUUGCUCCACCAAAGGCUCGGGGCCUACUGUCAGGGGGAAAUAUUAACAAUUUUCUUACGCUCCCUAAUUAAUGGACACAAGGGCCAAGGCCCACCCCUGACACCCGUAAUCUCCACCAACAACACAUCCCAGAGGCACUCCGCUCCGCCUCGCCCGACUACAGGGUCACAGGGUCGGACACGCCCGACCCCCCGAGGUCUCGCCUCAUCUCAGCUGAUGGAGUUCCGCCUCACCCGACCCCAGGCGUAAGGGGUUGGACGCGCCCAACCCCUCAAAGCAGGACUCCGCCUCGCCCGACCCCGAGCGCAAGGGGUUGGACACAUCGGAUCCCACUAGACAGAGCUCCGCCUCGCCCGAAGGUAUGAGUAGGUCAUCAGACGGAAGCGCGGGCUUUAUGAGUCCCCCCAGGCUCACCUAACCGAUGGGACGCGCACAAUUCUAGAUACAGUUCUGACACGUGGAGAGGUGCCCGCGUUCCUCGACAUGACCUGUCGGAAUGUUGGUCUGCACACUACUGCCACGACUGCACAGGGCUACAACUGCACCGUCCUACCCCACUGUGACAUCUAUCAUAGGGCACUUAUCGCCCAUGCCGUCUAACGGAGGAGGGCAAACCGCUUGGUUUUCCGCGCAGCCUAGCAACUACAGCACGUCAGCCACGCUGCCCCGUCAGGAUGCAUGGCUACAGUGGUUGACCGUCGUCCGCGACGUGCACAGCUACAAUGGCCAGUCGUCACCACCAACUUGCACAGCUACAGUGGUCGGCCGCCAUGCACGACCCGCGUGUCCGGCUACAGUGGCCGACUGCCGAGUCACCAAUGGGAUCCAACGGCAACCCCCAUCCCUCAGUAGCAGUACCGACAAGACGCAAAGACAAUAAGGGAAGACGGUGUCUCCAGUAGCCCUACUUGCUUCGCUUUUUACCUUUCUACCUUUUUACCUUCCUUACUCCUGGCUCAUUUGUAACCCCUGUGUCCUCCUUGCACUAUAAAAGGAGACCAGGGGGCCCGAGGGCAGGGGACCCCCGGAGACCGAACCCCGAAUUCACCCAAGUACGAACCAACCGGACCACCAGACGAGAAACACUCACAAAGAUCUGGGAACCAGCUUCCCUCUCUUGCCUGUUUGUAGCCCCUACUAUAGACUUGGUACGAGUAACACGAGCAGCCACCCGCACUGGACGUAGGGCUAUUCCUGCCCGAACCAGUAUAAACCUCGCGCCCUCUCGUACAACCAUCCAAGCCUUACGCGUAGAGAAACAAAUUUACUAAGCCGGUAGUCUUGACCCGUGAUUCGUGAGACCGACAAUUUGCACAUACAAAUGUUAAAGUACAAAUGUUAAAUCUAGUUACCAAGCAGAAUACGAAAUAGCGGGCUAUAGUGAGGCUAUAGCGGCGCUAACUGCUGCAACAACAGUGUUGUACUAAUUAGCAGGCUAUAGCGGAGCUAUAGCGGUUGAGCACAGCUCUACGCUAAAUAUCAUAGCCCUCAAUUUUGUACAUUGUAUAUACUAUAUAAAUCUAGUUAACAUUUAGUCUAAAUGUUAAAUCGAGUUACCUAAAAUCCUGAAAGCAAAAUGUAUAAAUAUAUAUCUUUUAGGGUAGUAUAAGCUUCGAUUCCUUUUGCUGCUCUGUUAAAUCUCAUCUUUCGUUGUAGCCCAACACUCUAGUAUUGAUUUUGCACCAAGCUUCUUUGAGCCGCUCUGCCCUCUGAUUUUGCUGCGUAGGGGAAUCUUUAUCAGGUUGGGCUACUUCCAGUCGUGCGAUGUAUACCUUUGUAUCUUCUAGAAGGUAGACAGAAAACCCGCGUUCUCUUAAGGCAACAACCAGAAGAUUCUGCAGCGCACGGGGCAUAUCAUUGUUGUAGAAACGACCUUUAGUAUCGAUCUCCAACCCCUUAUAGUACUGGUUUUGCAACCAGUACCGUUAUGUCGGACCUUUAGUACCAGAUCAAAUAACCGGUUCUAAAGGGACUCCUUUAGUACCGGUUGGUAACCAGUAUCAACUUGUUUUGCGGCCAAAAAAAUAAAGAAAAAAAUAGCCAGAAGGCUAGCACACACACACAUCCCACGAAAUAUGCGCGUGCGCGGUCCAUGGGAUUCGAACCCAUGAAAUCAAGCUGCGCGCAACCCUUCGUUACCAUCUCACCUUCAGUACCGGGUCAUAACACCACCCGGUACUAGUAUCGGAUGCUGUAAUGACUCGAUACUAAAAGGCCUCUAGGGACCCUCAAAUUUGGACCCGAUACUAAUGCUAACAUUAGUACCGGGUCAAAGUGCAGCCAGUACUAAAGCAUGGGACGAAAGGUCAUAUUUCUAGUAGUGUAUAGUUGUUGUGUAGGACUGACUUGGCUGUCCUCUCUCUUCUCCAUCCCAUUGGUCUUACGCCGCCGCUCGCACGCGAGCCGGCACCCAACCAGAGGAGUGAGAGCUAGGGGCGGGUUGGGAGGUGGGGGUAGCGACUGGUGGCUAGGGUGAUGGUUGAUGUUGGCGGGGUUAGGGUUUCAUGGUUUUCAAGCUACCUACGGCCGGCGAACCUAGAGGAGGAGGUCGACAUCAGCUGCAACCCGCGGUGGUGGUGGUUUGGCCGGCGCCCCAGGCGAGGCAGCGUGGGAGUGCUGCUGGCGGGUUGGUGUUGGCGCUCAUUAUUGACACAUUUUUAGUACUAUUUUGUUCAUGGAAUAACACUCAAACGUGCUGGUGCUGCUGCCGCCAUCGCCGCCCUAGCCAUAAUAUAAAGGCAAAAUUUGCUAGAGGACAUGCAAAAUGAUGCUAGUUUGCUGGAGGGCACCGUUGACCAUGUAAUAUGCUACAAGACACUCUAGUUGUUCUAGAGUGUAUCAAUUUGCUGAAAGACAUUGCUACGACUAAAAUAAUGUUUCUGGACUGAGUUGGAGAGAGAGAUGGAGUGAAAUGUCUGUUUUGCCCAUGACCCCACUGAUCAGAUCCUUCUUCUUCCACCCUCCUUUCUUCUUUCUUCAACCAUUACCCAGCUCUAGUGUGUUGCAGAUCUACGAGGGUGGCGGCCCGGGGCGAGGGGCAUCGCUUGCCCUCAGACGAGCGCCGCGAGCGACGGCGCGGGGGCAGCAACGGCGCGUCGGAACCUGACCGUUCGUUAGCUCCUCUCGCUGCUGGGGAAGGAGGGGGAGGGGCCAUGGACGGGGUUCCCUCGAAAACCUUAGCCUCGAGCUCAGGCGGCUACGCGCAGGCAGCACUAGGCUCUUCGCGGGGAGGGGGCGCGGCCAAUCAUUGGCACCCCACUGGUCCAAUGCUGAUGAAGAUGGUGCCAGCGUCGUGAAGAUGGUGCCAGCGUCGUGUGAGGACCUCUCAUCUCCUCGAGUUCCAUGGCCAGCACAGGUGAGCGUCCGCUACCACAAAACAGAGGUGUCGUGAGAGUCAAAAAAACUCAUGAAAAUAGCUAAAACCAUCAUGAAAAUAAUCCAUGACACGACACUCUAACGAAAAUCCUCUCACAAAUAUGGUGCCAUCAAAAUACCAUUUUCAUGAGAGUGAACUGUCAUGAUUUUAUUUCGUGAGAGUAUUUCCUAUCAAUGACCUCCACGAAAUACUUUGUGCCACCAGGUCUUCAAGAUCAUUUUCAUGAGAGCCGAACGUCACGAAAGGUCCGCCACAAAUGUUUUUCCUGGGAGCCUCUAACUCUCAUCAAAAGCAUGUGGGCCGCCGCGAAAAACAGCCUGACCAAAUGACAAUUUUCAUUUUCAUGUGCUCUUACCGCCAUGAAAAUGGUCAUUUUCAUGAGAGUUGAUGAAACAAAAAAAUAGUGCCAUUUUCAUGAGAGUUCAAGCAACCAGGAAAAGGCACUAAUAAACAUCCAGAUCCCAUCCAGCACACAUCCAUGCACAUAUAUAACCCACAUAUUGCUCCAGCAACAUCCAUGCAUAUACAAGAUCCAAAUGUCUUGGUAUGAACCUACAUGCAUGUGAUGAACCAGUAACCUGCAAAAAGAGCUCAUAGGAUCUUGUCCUCAUAUUGUAGCUGUGAAAUUCUUGCAAGUAGUGUUGCAAUCAGUUCACUUUGAACCAAAAGAGCUCAAAGGAUCAUGUCCUCAAAGUUCCUCUUAAAGCUUAUGGGUUUGCUGGUGGAACUGGAAGGGCUUGAUGCAGCAUGCCAUUCUGCAAUAGAGAAAAAUUUAGAAAGCUGUACUAGUUAAAAUUGGAUGCAGCAGAGACACAUGAAACUAGUAUUUAUACAAUUCUAUAUAUAUAAUAAUUUGUCCCCUAAAUUUUUAGGAUCCUCUCGACGGUGGUGAGUCUUCCAGUAAGGCAAUUGAAUGUCCAUCGUGAUAAAAUUCUCCUUUGGAUUUAUCAUCUUCUCAACCAGAAAUCCUAGGAGUUCAUCCUUAAGCCUUACCAGUUGUAAUUUGGAAAUAUGUGAAAGUUAAACGAACAAUUAAAAUCUAAGGAUCCUUAUCAUCAUUUCCAUACGUUUGCGAAUUAAAAUAAUGAAGGAUACAAUGUUAGGUGAAAAUUCAAGAAACAAAAUUUUGUAUAGAGAUAAUGGUCCGACAUUAUUACAAGUUAAAGUUGUUUUAAAUAUCCUUGUAAUCUUCCUUUGGUUUCCUCGACGAUUCCAAGACAGUAACCUUGCUUCUAUCAAUGAUAAUUAUAAGGAGAACCCAAUGAAAACUGUGUAUUCAUAUUAGAACUAACUAAGGUUAAUUCGGAUAGGAAAGGAAAUCAAAAAUAGAUGGUACCCACACUUACUUAAAGUUGUAGGGUAGUAGUAUGUAAUGCUUGUAAUUCUGUUGCUCCAAGAAUUUGUAUAUGUGGUUCAAUGUAGACUUUGGUUGAUCCUGUAUCUGCUGUUGGUUGAAUAAGUGUUUCUAACCAUUUCUAGCCGUUAGAACUGGGACUAAAGGGAGCUCUUAGUGCUGGUUGAUAUUACUAGUCGGGACUAAAGAGCCCCCGUUAGAGUUGGUUUUCGGACGUGGAACUAACCACUCCUUUAGUCUCAAGUCCAAAAAUGAUUGAGACAUUUGUUGCUGGAUGGAACACUAGUAGAGAAUUGGCUUUCGAUGCGCCCCCUUUUGUCCCGGUUUAAAGUUGGACUGGGACAAAAGAGGGUGCGCCACGGUAGGUAAAAAUGGAGGGGGGAGUUAGUCCCGGUUGGUAAUUGCAACCGGGACUAGAGGCCCCCCUUUAGUCCCGGUUGCAAUGGCUAGCUGGGGGGCGUCGGUGGCGGCACCUUUUUGUCCCGGUUGGAGUCUCCAACCGGGAUAAAAGGUCCACCCUUUUAUCCCGGUUGGAGGCUCCAACCGGGACAAAAAGUUUAGUCCCGGUUGGAGCUUCCAACCGGGAUAAAAGGGUGUCCCUUUUGUCCUAGUUGGAGCCUCCAACCGGGACUAAACUUUCAACCGGGACAAAAGGUGUGGUUGGAGUUUUUAACUGGGAUAAAAACUCAUCCCCCAUUAUAUACCAAGACAGAGGACUUUCUUCCUCCUCCAGCCCGAGCCAGUCCAGCACAUUCACAGAGAGUUGACCUUCACCUACUCUCCGGUGGUGCCGAAGCAAGGAGGUGCUGCCCGAAGUUUUUUCCCUCAUUUUCGUGGGAAUUUCACUCAGCUAACACAAGUGUUGUGAAGGUUUGCUACUUCAUCCUCGUUUAUGCUUUGAUUUAUGCUUUGGAGAUGGAAAGAUUAUUUGUUAGAAUGUGAUGAAGUAGAAAAUGGAGAGAAUAUUUUGAGCUAGAAUGUGAGGGAGAUUGAUGUGUCAUAUAUAGUAUGCAUUCUUGCAGUGGUUUAAGAAUGAUGCUACCUUGUCCAGACAAUUUAUCUUAUCAAAUUCAAUAUAGUUUUUCAAAUCCAUACUUGUUGAACUUGCAUACCGUGUUCAUCUCUACGAGGAUAUUCUCUGCCGAGCAGCAACGUAUGUCAAGAAGGAGGUUCGAUUCUACGAGGAAGAGUGGAUACGGACAUCGUGACCGUGUCCCCUUUUCCGUAGCAUCUAACCUCUUUCAUGAUGAAGUGCGGUGCCGCCCAGUUGAGAACAUGCUCGCGAGAUGAACACAGUAUGCAAGUUCAACAACUUCUGCAGUAGUAAGGAAAGAAUUUUUGUACAUAGAUGACUUCUGCUACUUGUUGAACUUAUCAAAUUCAAGAAGGUUUUUCAAAUCCAUACUUGUUGAACUUGCAUACCGUGGUCAUCUCGCAGAGGAUGUUCUCCGCCGAGCAGCAACGUAUGUCAAGAAGGAGGUUCGAUUCUACGAGGAAGAGUGGAUACAGACAUCGUGACCGUGUCCCCUUUUCCGUAGAAUCGAACCUCUUUCAUGACGAAGUGCGGUGCCGCCCAGUUGAGGACAUGCUCGCGAGAUGAUCACGGUCUUUAAGUUUAACAACUUAUGCAGUGUUAAGGUAAUAAUUUUUGUACAUAGAUGGCUUCUGCUACUGGAGAAAGUGGCGAUGGUGGGGGUGAUCGUGGUUCCUCUUUCGGCAAGGGGAAAAUCAUAGUUGGCCCUCAGCAUAAGCCAAAGAAAAAGAGCGCACUGGAAAAAGCAAUGCUUCGUUAUUUGCAGCAACGUCAUGAAGAAGUUGUUGCCGCGGGUCAGGAACCUCCUUUUGGUCGUCGUUAUGCUCCACCCUUAGUCCCGGGUGUUUCACAUCCACUUAGUACUACCGUUUCAGGCGGCACAAAUAAACCUAAGGAUGAGGCUAGGUCAGCGGAACUUUCGUCUUCACUGUCCAAGGAUGCUUAAAGUCCUCCUAGAUAAUAACCAGUGGAUGGCUUGUUGUAUUGUAUCAUGUUGUUUGGAUCUUUAAUUUAAAUAUGUGUAUUUGGAUCUUCAUGUUGUUGUAUUGUACCAUGUUGUUUGGAUCUUUAAUCAAUUUUCACACGUAAUCCAUUGUCAAGUGUAAUCCAUUUUCAUGCAUAAUAAGAUGCAGAUGGACCGGCAAUGGAUGUAUAAUGCAGACAGGCAGAGCAAGGUGUUUAUUGAUGGCUUGCAUUAUUGUCUCGAAGUGGCCAAAGCGAACAAGCCAGAGAAUGGGUUCGUAUGUUGUCCAUGCUUCCAAUGCAAUAACAAGAAGGAGUAUUCAUAGGAUUCCUGGGGGACUAUUCACAGCCACUUGUUUAAAUACGGUUUCAUACUUAACUAUUUGGUUUGGACCAAGCACGGUGAACGAGGGGUCGUAAUGGAAGAUGGCGAGAAGGAGGAGGAAGAUGACACCAUUCCAGACUGGGUUGUAGGCCAAGCUUUUGCAGGUACUACAAUGGGCGAGGCUCAUGAAGAUGAGUUUGCAGAAAAUGGCCCUAUUGAUGACUUUGGUCAGGUGAUACGAGAUGCAUACAGAGAUUGCGAAAUUGAGAAGGAAGCAGCAAAGUUGCAGCGCAUGAUAGAUGAUCACCAAAAAUUAUUGUACCCAGGUUGCCAGCUGGGCCAUAAAAAACUAGGUACGACACUAGAAUUUGUGCAAUGGAAGGCAAAAAAUGGUGUGUCCGAUAAGGCAUUUCAGGGGAUGUUGACCAUUGUCAAGAAGAUUCUUCCCGAGAAUAAUGAAUUACCGUCCACAACAUAUGAAGCUAAACAGAUUAUUUGCCCUCUCGGAUUGGAUGUUCAGAAGAUACACGCAUGCCCUAAUGACUGUAUCCUCUAUCGUGGUGAUGACUACGAGAAAUUGGAUGCUUGUCCCGUGUGCGAAGCCCUGCGGUAUAAGAUUAGGUGAGAUGAUCCUUGUGAUGUCGAGGGGCAGUCUCCCAAUAAGAGAGUUCCCGUGAAGGUGAUGUGGUAUUUCCCUAUAAUACCACGCUUGAAGCGCUUGUUCAGGAAAAAGGCGAAUGCUAAGUUGAUGUGAUGGCACAAAGAAGACCGUAAGGAAGAUGAGAUGCUGAGACACCCCGCAGAUGGGGCACAGUGGAGAUCAAUUGAUAGAGCAUUCUCGGACUUUGAAAGUGAAGCAAGGACAUAAGGUUUGGUUUAAGUACUGAUGGAUUCAAUCCAUUCGGUGAGUUGAGUAGUGGCCAUAGUACUUGGCCUAUGACCCUAUUUAUGUUGAACCUUCCUCCUUGGCUAUGCAUGAAGUGGAAGUUCAUUAUGAUGCCGGCGCUUAUCCAAAGUUCAAAACAACCCGACAACGACAUUGACGUGUACCUAAGACUGUUGGUUGAUGACCUUUUACAGCUCUGGAAGGAAGAAGGUGUACGUGUGUGGGAUGAGGAUAGACAAGAGAUCUUUAAUCUACGAGUAUUGUUGUUUGUAACCAUCAAUGAUUGGCCUGCACUGAGUAACCUUUCGGGACAGACAAAUAAGGGAUAUCGGGCAUGCACCCACUGUUUAGACGACACAGACAGCAUGUAUUUGAAGCAUUGUAAGAAGGUCGUCUACAUGGGUCAUCGUCGAUUUCUCCCUGCUCACCACCAGCUGAGAAAGAGCAGGAUGCAUUUCAAAGGGGCGCCAGACCAUCGUAAAAAACCUGCACACCAUAAUGGAAAGUGUGUCUUCAAGAUGAUGAAGGAUGUAAAUGUAGUCUUUGGAAAGGGUCUUGGUAGCCAACCUAUUCCAAACGACAAUAACGGACAUGCACCCAUGUGGAAGAAAAAGUCAAUAUUUUGGGAGCUACCUUAUUGGGAAAUCCUAGAGGUUCGCAAUGCAAUAGACGUGAUGCACCUGACGAAGAAUAUUUGCAUGAACGUGCUAGGCUUCAUGGGUUUUUAUGGGACCUCAAAAGACACAUUGGAAGCACGACAGGACCUGAAAGCCAUGGGGCAACGAGAUGACCUACAUCCGAAAAAGAGAGAUAAUGGAUAGCACUACUUACGUCCUGCCAGUUACACUCUGAGCAAGGAAGAGAAGGAUAGCAUGUUUGAAUGCUUGAAUAGUAUGAAGGUCCCGUCUAGGUACUCCUCGAAUAUAAAGGGAAUAAUAAAUAUGAAAAAAAAGAAGUUUAUAAAUCUCAAGGCCCAUGACUGUCACAUGUUGAUGACCCAGUUGCUUCCGGUUGCACUGAGGGGUGUUCUACUAGAAAAUAUCCAGUUGCCGCUCGUAAAGCUAUGUGCGUUUCUAAAUGCGAUUUCACAGAAGGCAAUCGAUCCAUCCAAGCUAUCAAAGCUACAGAACGAUGUGGUGCAAUGUCUUGUCAGUUUUGAGUUGUUAUUUCCACCAUCCUUCUUCAAUAUUAUGACGCACUUACUGGUUGACCUAGUAAAAGAGAUUGGUAUUCUCGGACUUGUAUACCUGCACAAUAUGUGGCCUUUCAAGUGUUCAUGGCAGUCCUAAAAAACUAUGCUCUUAAUCGUGCCCAUCCAGAAGGAAGCAUCGCCAAGGGAUAUGGAACAGAGGAGGUGAUCGAGUUUUGUGUUGAUUUUAUUGAUUCAAUUGACUCGAUUGGGGUUCCAACUUCACGCCAUGAGGGGAGGCUCCGAGGAAUGGGCACCCUUGGAAGGAAAUCAAGUUUGAGCAAUGAUACUGAUUUGUUCGACAAGGCACACUACACGGUUCUACAACAGUCAUCCUUUGUGUCUCCAUAUAUUGAGCAGCACAGGCAGAUGGUAGUUUCCAAAAACCCGACCAAAUCCGAUGCUUGGCUUACCCGUCUUCACAUGGAAACUUUUCCCUCCUGGUUGCGCCAACAACUUAUGGGUAACUCUGAGAUUCACCCACAGCUUGCCUGGUUAGCCAGGGGACCUGCUAGCACAAUUGUGAAAUUUCAAGGCUAUGAGAUAAAUGGUUAUACAUUUUACACGAGAGCCCAGGACCAGAAAAGCACGAAACCAGAAUAGUGGUGUCCGCAUACAUGCCAUGGACAGAAAUAAUAGCAAGGAGUCGUAUUAUGGUUUCAUAUAGGAGAUAUGGGAACUUGAAUACGGACCGUUGUACAUCCCUCUAUUUCUUUGUAAUUGGGUGAAGCAAACUGCCGUAACCAAAGAUCAGUACGGAAUGACAAUAGUAGAUCUGAGCAAGACUGGAUACAGUGAUGACCCAUUCGUACUUGCCAACAAUGUGCAACAGGUGUUCUAUGUGAAGGACAUGUGUAGCAAACCCAAGAGAAAUCCAGAAGAGACAUGGGAGCCAAAGUGCCACAUAGUUUUUCCAGGUAGAAGAAAAAUCGUGGGAGUCGAGGAUAAAACAAACCAAUCAGAUGAUUAUGAUUAGUUUGAUGGCAUGCCUCCAUUCGCCGUUGAAGUUGAUCCAAGCAUCCUGCUAUCCAAAGAAGAGGCUCCGUACUUACGCCGCGAUCAUGAUCAAGGAACUUUCGUGAAGAAGAAAUUCUACAACGUUGUAUUGUAAUGCGCUAAAUUUACAUGACCUUUGUGUAGUAAUUGAUACAAUUUUUAAUUUACCCUAUGUAUGAUUUGAUGUGUUCUUAAAUUUGUUAGGUGAAGAUUUAUUAGAUAAACAUGAACAAUGUUAACCACAUACAUACAUGGAUUUUUCUGCGCAUUGAAAUUAUUUAAUGGAAUAAUUUCUUGAUCACAGCGAUGUAGUAAAAUAAAUAUUUUAGAGCCUAAAUGAACUGGUAUAGAAUUAAUGACUAACUCACACUUAUUGUCAAUUUACUCGCUAAUUAAAUAUAUUUUUGCAUGUACAAAAUAUGUGAAGGUUUUUGUUUUUCAUCCUGAAUUGCAGUGAAAAGAUAAAUAAAAUCCAUUUCCAAAAAACAGGCGGGAGAAGAAAACUGGGAAAAGGACCUUUUGUCCCGGGUGCCAACAGAAACCGGGACAAAAAGCCCCCCCCCUUUUAUCCCGGUUGGUGGUGGCACCCGAGAUAAAAGGGUAGGCUCCAAGCCCCACUUGGCGGACGCACCCUUUUGUCCCGGGUCCCGUCACCAACCGGGAUAAAAGGGGGGGCCUUUUAUCCCGGUUGGUGAGGGGACCCAGGACAAAAGGCCCUUUAGUCCCGGGUGUCAUUACGAACCGGGAUAAAAGGGGGGUUAAAAGGCACUAUAGCCCCUUCUACCCCCCACGCCAGUUACAGUUAGCAAAAUUUUCACCAAGAUCCCGCGCGCACUCUGCUCCGUCGCUGCCCGUCCGCCUUCCUCGCCAGCCGUCAUCGUCGUCGUCCCCCAUUGCCCCGGCCGUCGUCGUCCCGCCGGCUGACCGUGCCCAGAUAGCCUCCUCCUCCAUCGCCCCGGCCCGCCUCGAUCCUCCUGCGUCGUGCCCGGCCCCUACCUCAUCGACGCCGGCCACCUCCAUCGCGGGGCCUCAUCGCCGCCUCCAUCCUCGUCGCCACCUCGACGCCCUGGGUCGCCGCCUCGUCGCCCCUCGUCGCUGCCUCGUCGCCGUCCUGCCUCCGCCGUCUCGCCGUCCCGCGCGCCUUCGCUCCGUCGUCGCCUCCGCCGUCCCACCGCCCCAGCCACCGCCAUCCCGCCACCCCGGCCACCUCGUCGCCCCGACCACCGUCGACCGCGCGUGAGGUCCGCCGCACCGGCACUGGCGCCGGGAGUACCGCCUUGCUGACGCAAGCCCACCGGCUUGCGUCAACAAGGGCCUUUUUUAAGUUAGAAAAUAAAUAGAAAGGAGUAGUAAUUAGGUAGAAAUUCAAUAGAUUUUUGUAUAUGUGUUACAAAAUCAAAUUAGUGUAAAUUAGUUGUAAUUAGGUUCGUCGCUCUGCCUAGGUUAGAAAUGAAUCGUGUUUCGUCGUGGUUCCGUCCCCGCCUCCGCCGUCCCGCCACCCUGACCGUCGCCGUCCCAACCUAGGCACCGUCUGUGGUUCCGUCCCCGCCUCCGCCGUUCCGCCUCCAUCGCAAAUUCAUGUUAUUGCUAGAAAUUCCAAUAAAUAUGAACAAAUUAGUAGAAAUUUGGUAGAAAUUAAUCAUUGCUGCGGCCACCUCGCUCCACAAAUUCAUGUUAUUGCUAGAAAUUCAUAAAAAUUCAUGUUAUCACUAGAAAUUCGUACAAAAUUCAUGUUAUUGCUAGAAAUUCGUAAAAAUUCAUGUUAUUGCUAGAAAUUCGUACAAAAUUCAUGUUAUUGCUAGAAAUUCGUACAAAUUCAUGUUAUUGCUAGAAAUUCGUCACAAAGUACUACUAAUUUGCAAAAAUUUGUAUAAAUAUUCCGGACUUUGUGGGAUUCAUGUUAUUUUCUGAUUUCAUGUAUAUACCCUUAUGUACAUAUAACUAAGGAGAUUUCUAUGACUUUCAUGUAUGUUUCAAUCAAUAGUUGAAAUGGCAGACGAUGAGACCGCAAGGUAUCUCAUGGAGCAGAUAAUCGCUGGUGAUGGUAGUGGCGACAACCUUCCACUAUCGUACACCGAUGAAGAGGGCACCCAGGCGGACAUGUUCCUCAACAUGUCCGCCGAUGGGAAUGAAGAGCAAAAGCCCCAGCAACACCUUGCCGGGGCGGAAGGUUCCGGCGAGGUAUAUAUAACGAUUCUUGUAUUGUUUCACACCACCGUUACUACUACGUACUAAUUAACGAAUCAUGAACCGUUAGCCCUCUGGAUCGACGCAAGGGCAGAAGACACGAGGUCGUACAAAGGUGAUGGAAGGGAGGCUUGUCAUCACGGAAGUGAUAGAAGAGGGCAGGCCGGUUGCUCCCGAGAAAGUAGCAAAGAAGUACGUGAGUCAGAUCGGGGCAAUCGUCCGGGACAACGUGCCUAUCAGCAUCAGAGAAUGGAAGGGCAGAAGCACUAAUCCGUACGCCCUCCUGGAGACAGAAAGAAUAUGCUGUGGGAAGAUGUCAAGAGACAUUUCACAUUCACCGAAGGAUAUAUUGAGAAGGAUGUGAAAGCGUGGACGCUUAAGAAGAUGGCUACACAAUUUCCAGACAUUUAAGAAGAUGCUAGAUACCCACUACAUUAAGAAGGGCCGAACUCCAGACUUCAACGCGUGGUCAAAGUUGAGGGACCACUAGGAUGCAUUUGUUGAAUAUAAGAGGAGUGAAUACGAUGUGAAAAAGAUCACGACCAACACAACAAAUGCUAGUCAGAAGGGCUACCAUCAUCAUCUGGGGCGAGAUGGUUAUGGCUCAGCAAUUCCCAAGUCGAGGAAGAUGGAACAAGAUCUGAUUGAACGGGGAAUCGUACCGGCAACUAUUGAAUGGCCCGAACGAUCAAAAAAUUGGUACUACGCUCAUGGAGGCUCCCUGUGCCAAGAGGAUGGGACGUUGAUUUUCAAUAACACAAUACGUUAGAAGGCCAAACAUCUUGUGAAGAACAUUGAAGAUUCUAAGGCUGGGAGGUUGAAGGUGGACCGAGAAAAUGAUGAGCUCACAUUGGCCCUUGGUAAUCCAGAGCACCCAGGAUGUUGCCGAGGGUUCGGGGUCGUUCCGUGGAAGUUUGUUUUCCGAGGCGACAGCGCCUCGUACAGAAGCCGGAAGCGAAGAAAGGAACAGAUCGAGGAGAGCUGGUGGCAGAUGCUAGAAUCCAAAGUGCAGGCACAAGAACAAAGAAUGAUGGAGGAAAUCAAUCGUCGAGUGGCCCACGCAGUUGUGGAGUUGGCCCAAUCUGGAGCAUUGCCGAAUCCUAACAACGCCAGCCCUUCUCAAUGCCUCUUGAGCAGUUAUGCUUCUACAGGGGUCCCCGAUGCGCACACGCCCAGGUUACCCGUGGAGGAGCAACGGUUCCCCGUGGAUGCCAUCACGCAACACACCACAUGUGAGCUGCAUGCACCGGUCGGCAACCUCACUAUUAAGGUAUACUUAUACAUAAUAUUUAUGCAAUCUUGUCAAUUGAUCCACGCCUCGAUAUCGGAGUUUAACUUGUUUACUUCUACUAUAUGUACAGGUAGCGUACGGGAGUGCGUUAGCAACCCUGGCGGGGCAGAGCAGUCAUGGCAUGAAGAUUCCACCUGGCUACGCUAGCGUCCGCGUAGAGCAAAUAGUUGAUAGCCAAUAUGAAGGUCUAGAGCUCGACCUCCCGGGAGGUGACAGGGAAAGAACACUGGCAGAUGCGCUUCAUGGGAUCAUUCUAUGGCGAAAACGCUACAUCAUUAUUCCCGGCACGGAGCCAUCUCCUCAGAGCUCAAGACCACUCCCCGUAGAUCCCCAGCAGCGACCUUCUCCUCAUAGCUCGAGACCGUCAUCUCCUGCACAACCUGCUCCAGGACCGUCCCUUCCAUCUAUAUCAAGGUCUCCAUCUCCACCACAUCCUGGUGGUGGGAGCGACGACGACAAUAACAACACCCCUUCCUGAUCACCAUCGCCGGCACCAAGAGCGGCCCCCAUGAAGGAACCUGCACCACCACUAAAAAAGUCACGAGCACCGCCUCCCAAGCAAAGACAGAGAAAGAAGAAAACAAAGGAGCCUGAAGUGACUCGUAAGGAACGCUGGGAGACAAUGUCUCAUGCGGAACAGUGGGCAGAAAUCCAACAAGAGGCCAGUGAGUGGUUCAAGAAACAAGCCGAAGAAAAAAAAGCAACGGAGAUGCAGCCACCGCCAGUAAAUCGAAGAGAUUUAAACUUUUUUAUCAGGAUGGAAGAAGGAGCCAAGAAAAGGAUACCACUCUUAUCAAACUAUGAACGGGCUUUAGUAAAGGCUGAUGAAAAGGAUAAAAGGAAAGGAAAGUCAUCUUCCAGCGGUGCUGUCCCCGACCUCAGCCAUUUAUCAAAAAAAGAUGCUCAACGGGUAAAAGCAAUGCCCUUGGAUCAACAAGCAGAAGUAUUGAAGUUCAUGCAAGAAACAGGUCUGGGACUUGAUGAAUGCCUAGGGCAAGUUGAGACGCCAACUGCACCGCCCCCUGAGCCGAGAUGGCCUUAUGAGCUAGGCAAACCUCUAGUAAAGCCUUCAUUGGUACGAAAGCUAUCAACAAAGAUGUACGCAUUCCAUCAAUGGUACAUGAUGGCAUCCGCUGACUCAAGGGAGAUGCUCGGCCUGAAGGUAAAACCGAUGGAUUUUCACGACAGAGGCGAGAAAGUGCUGUGGCUAGACUUCAAGGAUAUAUACGAAGUGUACCAUCAUGAUGCCAUAGACGUCUCUCUGAUCCGCGCUUGGGUUCUGUAAGUGUCCGUUUAUCUCUACAUGUAAAUUUUGGCGUGCGUCACCGUACUAACUUCGUCUUCCAUUUCAUGUAGGAUGCUAAUUCAGACAUGCCGCCGAGAGGCGUACCUACAUAUAGGCUUCAUGGAUCCAUCUGUAGUUAACCAACAGCAGAUACAAUUAGCAUCGGAGAAAACCUUGGUGGAAGUAUACAAUUUCCUAGACAAACAAACAUUCAAGGAUUUCAUACUAUUUCCAUACAACUUCAAGUAAGUGUGUGUAUACCGUCUACUUUCGAUGUCUUUUUCCUUAUCUCUACAUGUUAGUUAGCUCUAAUAUGCAUGAACAUUUUACGCACGCAGCUUCCACUGGAUCCUUAUUAUAAUUGAGCCUCAAAGAAGCCACGUCACUGUCUUCAAUUCGUUGAGGAAAGAUCCAGUGGAGCACCAAGAAAUGCAACACAUGCUAGGCUUGUAAUAAUUCUGGACCUUUAUCUCUAUGCAAAAGUUUGUUUCCUAAAUUCUAUCCCUGUUACACUAUAUCAUUCAUUAUUCUAAUCCACAGCGUAUGGAAACAAUUCAUAAGGACACAAAAAGGUCCAUUCAAAGAAAAACUUACAUGGAACACAGACUUCCCGGUACAUAUGAAGUCUGCACAUUUAUUACAUUGUAUAACACGAAUAUUUCAUAACUUAUUUUUUUCCGUAUUGAAGUGCUUAAGACAGGAACUCGGAAAUAAUCUAUGUGGCUACUACAUCUGUGAGCACAUGCACAGUUUUAUGGGACCCAAGGGACUAAAGAUGACGCCGCACAACUUUAAAGUACGUAAAAUAAAACUAUUACUAGUUAAUUAUUUUCUAGCUCCUUAUAUGUAUUUGUUCACGUAACAUUCACAAAUUUCCAAAUUAUAGAUGUUAAAUAUUCAACAAGGACUCUUGAAGGAAGAAAGAGUAGCGGCAAUAUGUGAAGGUCUCAUUGGAUUCCUAAUGGACAAGGUGGUAGAUCCAAAAGGAGAAUUUUAUUUUGAUGGACGACAAUUAGACACUCUGAUCAGCAACACCUCGAUGGGAAGAUUGUAGAUAGAUACUUUGAUUUAUUUGUAUAUAUAAUACGCGCUAAUUAUGAUCGAUUUGUACUAGUUGAAUUCUGUAUAUGAAUUGUGUAUAAGAAUUGUGUAUAUAUAUAGUAACUGUAUAAUUACAAAUCCCAUUCGUUUAAAUACUAGUUAAUUUCAUUCUAAAAAAAUCUCAACUACUUAAGGUUAACAAAAGGGCUGCGGUACUACGUACGUGAUGCAUGCAUGAAAAAUUCAGGCGCCAGGCAGGUGCCAUGCAGGGCAUCAUUUAGUCCCGUUUGGAAUCCAGCCGGGACUAAAGGGUAACCCUUUACUCCCGGUUGGGAAACCCAACCGGGACUAAAGGGGGACCGUUACUCCCGGUUAAAAGACCCGGGACUAAAACCCCCCCUUUUGUCCCGGUUGGCUUAUCCCGGAUAAAUUUUCGGGAGAUAUGCACCCUACCAACCGGGACUAAAGGCCAAUUCUCCACUAGUGGAAGGUCCUUUCUCUACCAUGAAUAUUGCCAGAAAGAAUUGAAAGAGACCGCUUGCUAAAAACAUGUCAUAGAUGCGGACCAAGCUACCAAGGAGGUAGACCAAACAUGAUACACACCAUGCGUACCUUGCUGUGCAGACUAUGCAUGGACAAGAUACCCGACCACAUGUUGGCUUUGGUCACAUCAAAAGAAUCAUGUAGGCCAUUAAUAAACUACUUGAAGCGUCAUUCCGUAUCUUAUAUCCAUCAUCUGCAUUACAUUACAUUAAAUAUUAUUAACUAUUUGAAUAAAAUGAACCAAUUUAAAAAUAAUGAAUUGUACAUUACUACAAAAAGCCCUAGCACUGCCAGUUCCAAAAACAUCAUUGUUGACGGCCGUUAAGUACCAAAUAUGACGGUCAAUAUCCUAAAGAAUAAAGGACAAUUGGCAUUUCUUACACACAUAUUUGGUUUCGAAUAAUGUAGUUCUACAUGUCCUUGGAGAUUAUUUGGGUGUGGGUGAAAUAAUACAAAAAGAAGGAGAAAACACACUCCCAUGGCAAAGAAACAUAACUCCGACCAAUGAGAGAUAGCCACAGGGGCAGCACAUGGAUCCAUGGGCCCACAAACUGCAUCAAACCAUCUUACAAGGCGGGUAGCACCCACAACUGUCAUUAGGACCCACCUGGAAGUCUAGCAAAGAAGAAGGUUGUGAGUGGGGCCACGAGGGGUUCGGUUGAAUCAUCUCUAGCUCCCUUCAUCCCCAGCUGGCGCGUGGCGGUGGUUCAUGGUGUCCCGACAUCGGUUAGAGGACAUUCCCCCAAAUAUUCCUCCUGUAAACCAGCUCUAUGAACCUAUAAAUAGAGGGGUGUGCUCUCCAUUCCAACACACACCACAAGUUGAAGCACUCUCUCCCUCUUUAGUUUCCAAGUUUACGGAGAUAGGCUGGAGUAGCUCUGCUAAAGGUUCCAAGUCCACUUGGAGUUAAGCGUAUGUCUCUUGUAUCAUUAUUUCCUAGAGAGACUUUAUGCUAUUCAAGUUAUUUAUCUUCUUCAUAUAGUGUUAUGCUUAGUUCUUAUAUGCAUGAGUUAGUCUAAUACCCUUGCUCUAUUGAUAUGCUCAGCUUAUGUGCUCGUAUGCUAGUCAUGUACCCUUGCUGUCAUAGUAUAGGGUUAUAUGCUGUCAUGUGUGCCUAUAGACCUUGCUACAGUAUAUACUUGUUGUGUAUACAUACCAUUUGUAUAUACAUUAUUACAAGUUAAGGUAGUUUUAAAUAUCCUUGUGUUGACAACCAAAGCUUGAUCUUUUGUUUCCAUUGCCAGCGGAUUCAUCGGCUCAGAGUAGGAUCAAGACAUCAAGUUGAUGGAGUUCUUUAUAUUUCAAGAGGAGUCAUGGAGUUCUUUAUAUUUCAAGAGGAGUUGAUGGUGCUUUCAAUAUUGCAACCAGACAUCAUUGGCUCUGAAGACACCGAAUCAUCGGAGUUCUAUGAUCAGUUUCGGAACAUGAAGCCUUCAUACUCCGAAACUGGGGGGCCUGUGUUGACACCGAAUUAUCGGACUUCUAUAAUUAGUUUCGGAACAUGAAGCCUUCAUACUUCGAAACUGGGGGGUAUGUGUUUACACCAAAAUUUAGAAAUGUGCUCUGAAAGGAAGGACCUGGGAGAUCUAUUGGCUGAAAUACAAAUCCAUCGAAACUAGCCUUAUGCUAAGAGAUCAGAAUAUUGUACAAAGUCUAGAAAGUUCUAUUUACAUCUAAGUAACUCGAUAACUAGCCUUACGCUAAGAGAUCAGAAUAUUGGACAAAGCCUACAAAGUUCUAAUAUAGGUAACGUAAUGACCAGGUGAGGAUAGUUACAAGCUCGCUUGAGAUCGAAGCCGAUGUAGCCCUGCGCGCAAGAAGAAACUCACCUAUUUCUACUCUACUCUUACUCCUAGGGUUUGAUGGCGUGGCGUCAAAAGAUUGUAUUGAUUGAUUGAUUAUUUGAUACAAAGCUCAUGGGCCUAUAUUUAUACCCUUGAGAAAGCUAAAAUCCUAAUCAGUUAUGACAUGAAUCGUGACAGAAAAUCUAACUAAAGAUAGAUCUCCAUGCUUUCCCUUAUUUGGUGGAGUCGAUUUCACUUCAUAUCGGAUCCCUCCCGAUCUUCUAUCGGCUUCUAGCAUCCGGUCAUCUGCGACUGGCCUUGGUCAACAUCAGGUGUCAACAGACUUAUUUCUUCUACAAGUUCAUCGGCUGUCAGAGCCUUGUCUUAGUCAGUUGACUCUAGUAAAAAAUCGAUGUCAAUACAUGCCCCCCAAUUUUUGAAUAAAAUAUUAUAUUUCAAAAUUCUCUUCUCUUGUCAACAGCUUUUGAAAGAAAAAGAGUCACUGCUGCAAUCAUAAUCUUUUUCCCCGGGUUUUGUGAUAGCACCCUCCUCAUUUUAAGGGAUUCACCAUGUGGAAAUUAUAAUAUAACUGCUUCACCCAUUUCGUUUUCUUCACCAAACCAACUAUUGUCAGCCGCUACAACCAAAAAUCAAUUAUUCCCUUCACAUGCCUAGCGACUGCAUCCAUCACUCAUCGUCACCAUUAGUCUCCAUGUGUCAAGGCUUCUUCAACCAGCAAUGGCGACAUUAUCUUCCAUUCCACAGGUACCAUGUAUCCUAGCCAUUCCUUUCCCCUUUCAACCUGAAAUCCAAUCUAGUCACUAUAUAUCAAACCUGUGUUCUUAAUCAAUACUUGCCCCCUUGUACUUAGAAACACCCUUUUGAUCCCCAUAUCCGAUACGCAAGCAGAAUACUUUCUAGGCCCCAUGGGUAGUGAAGACCCAAUAGAAUCUAUUAAUGCUGAAAUACUUGGACAAAGUCUAGAAAGUUCUAUUUACAUCUAAGUAACUCGAUAACUAGCCUUACGCUAAGAGAUUUAAAUAUUGGAUAAAGCCUAGAAAGUUCUUAUAUAGGUAACUGAAAAGUGUGUUGACGCAAAAAUUGGAUGGUUGACUCCUGCGUACUAACACACGGAACCAGGGAGAAUCUGCUUAGCUACUGUUCGGGUUAUAGCCCUCUCGAUCCGUAGCGUGCCAGUUAAUCUGACCUGCUGAUUGACAAGUAAAAAUGUCAAAUUAAGAGCAAAUCAGCUGGUGUUCCGAAUCGCUCCACGGGACGUAUCAGUAGACAGCCGAUACGGGCAAACGACAAUCAGCUAGAUCAGCCGAUUUGCUCUUGUAUUUGACGUUUUACUUGUCCUUCUCAAUCAGCAGGUCAGAUUGACUCGCACGACGCAGAUCGAGAGGGCUAUAACCUAAACAAGAGCUAAGCAGAUUCUCCCGGGUUUCAUGUCUUAGUACACAGAAGUCAACCGUCUGAUUUUAUCAUCAACACGCUUUUUGGCACGCUCAGUGGGACCCGAUUCAUAUCUUAAUGGUAAUUGGUGAUCAAGUUUCAAACAACGUAUCCACUGGUAGAAAACUGAGCAUUAGUCCCGGUUGGUAAGGGUCAUAUCUCUCGGAUAUCCAUCCGGGAUAAACCAACCGGGACAAAAGGGGGGGGUCUUUAGUCCCGGGUAUUUUAACCGGGAGUAAAGGACCCCCUUUAGUCCCGGUUGGUGUCACCAACCGGGACUAAAGGGCCUGCCACGCCAGGCGCGGGACAGGCCCUUUAGUCCCGGUUGGUGACACCAACCGGGACUAAAGGGGGUCCCUUUAGUCCCGGUUGGAUUUCCCAACCGGGACUAAAGGGGUCCCCUUUAGUCCCGGCUCAAUUCCAACCGGGACUAAAUUGCGCUUGCAUGGCACUGGUGACGCCUGAAUUUUUCAUGCAUGCAUCACGUAUACGUAUAGUAGUACCGCGGCCCUUUUAAUUUGUUAACCUUGUAGUUGAGAUUUUUUUAGAAUGAAUUAAAUCAACUAGUAUUUAAACGAAUGGGAUUUGUAAUUACACAACUACUAUAUAUAUACACAAUCCUUAUACACAAUUCAUAUACACAAUUCAACUAGCUUAAUUAGUACAAAUCGAUCAUAUAUACAAAUAAAUCAAAGUAUCUUCCUACGAUCUUCCCGUCGUGGUGUUGCUGAGAGGAGUGUCUAAUUGUCGUCCAUCGUAAUAAAAUUCUCCUCUUGGAUUUACCACCUCGUCCAUUAUGAAUCCAAUGAGACCUUCACAUAUUGCCGCUACUCUUUCUUCCUUCAAGAGUCCUUGUUGAAUAUUUAACAUCUAUAAUUUGGAAAUUUGUGAAUGUUACAUGAACAAAUACAUAUAAGGAGCUAGAAAAUAAUUAACUAGUAAUAUAUUUAUUUUACGUACUUUAAAGUUGUGCGGCGUCAUCUUCGGUCCCUUGGGUCCCAAAAAACUGUGCAUGUGCUCACAGAUGUAGUAGCCACAUAGGUUAUUCCCGGGUUCCUGUCUUAAGCACUUCAGUGCGGAAAAAAAAUAAGUUAUGAAAUAUUCGUGUUAUACAAUGUAAUAAAUGUGCAGACUUCAUACGUACCGGGAAGUCUGUGUUCCAUGUAAGAUCUUCUUUGAAUGGACCUUUGUGUGUCCUUAUGAAUUGUUUCCAUACGCUGCGGAUUAGAAUAAUGAAUGACAUAGUGUAACAGGGAUAAAAUUUAGGAAAUAAAUUUUUGCAUAGAGAUAAAGGUCCAGAAUUAUUACAAGCCUAGCAUGUCUUGCAAUUCUUGGUAGUCCACCGGAUCUUUCCGUAACGAAUCAAAGACAGUGACGUGGCUUCUUUCAGGCUCAAUUAUAAUAAGGAUCCAGUGGAAGCUGCGUGCGUAAAAUGUUCAUGCAUAUUAGAGCUAACUAACAUGUAGAGAUAAGGAAAAAGACAUCGAAAGUAGACGGUAUACACACACUUACUUGAAGUUGUAUGGAAGUAGUAUGAAAUCCUUGAAUGUUUGUUUGUGUAGGAAAUUGUAUAUUUCGGCAAAGGUUUUUUCCGGCGCUAAUUGUAUCUGUUGUUGGUUAACUACAGAUGGAUCCAUGAAGCCUACAUGUAGGUACGCCUCUCGGCGGCAUGUCUGAAUUAGCAUCCUACAUGAAAUGGAAGAUGAAGUUAGUACGGUGACGCACGCCAAAAUUUACAUGUAGAGAUAAUAAACGGACACUUACAGAAUCCAAGCGCUGAUCAGAGAGACGUCCAGGGCAUCAUGAUGGUACACUUCGUAUAUAUCCUUGAAGUCUAGCCACAGCACUUUCUCCCCUUCACCGUGAAAAUCUAUCGGUUUUACCUUCAUGCCGAUCAUCUCCCUCGAUUUGGCGGAUGCCGUCAUGUACCAUUGAUGGAAUUCGUACAUCUUUGUUGACAGCUUCCGUACCAUUGCCGGCUUCACUAGAGGCUUGCCUAGCUCAUAAGGCCAUCUCGGCUCAGGGGGCGGUGCAGUUGGCGUCUCGACUUGCCCUAUGCAUUCUUCAAGUCCCAGACCUGUUUCUUCCAUGAACUUCAAUAUAUUUUCUUGUUGAUCCAAGGGCAUUGCUUUUACCCGUUGAGCAUCUUUCUUUGAUAAAUGGCUGAGGUCGGGGACUGAACCGCUGGAGGAUGAUUUUCCUUUUCUUUUAUCCUUUUCAUCAGCCUUUACUAGAGCCCGUUCAUAGUUUGACAAGAGUGGUAUCCUUUUCUUGGCUCCUUCCUCCAUCCUGAUAAAAAAGUUUAAAUCCCGCCGACUUACUGGCGGUGGCUCCAUCUCCCUUGCCCUUUUUAAUUCGGCUUGUUUCUUGAACCACUCACUGGCCUCUCGUUGGAUUUCUGCCCACUGUUCCGCAUGAGACAUUGCCUCAAAGCGUUCCUUGCGAGCCACUUCAGGGUCGACCUUUGUUUUCUUCUUUCGAGGCUGUCUUUGCUUGGGAGGCGGUGCUCGUGACUUCUUGAGUGGUGCUGCAGGUUCCUUCGAGGGGGCCGCUCUUGGUGCCAGCGACGGUGAUCGGGGAGGGGUGUUGUUAUUGUCGUCGUCGCUCCCAGCACCAGGAUGUGGUGGAGAUGGAGACCUUGAUAUAGAUGGAAGCGACGGUCCUGGAGCAGGAGAUGCCGGUCUCGAGGUAUGAGGAGAAGGUCGCUGCUCGGGAUCUACGGGGAGCGGUCUUGAGGUCUGAGGAGAUGGCUCCGUGCGGGAAAUAAUGAUGUAGCGUUUCUUCCAUAGAAUGAUCCCAUGAAGCGCAUCUGCCAAUGUCUUUUCCCCGUCGCCUCCCGGGAAGUCGAGCUCUAGACCUUCAUACUGGGCAUCUACUAUUUGCUCGACGCAGACGCUGGCGUAGCCUGUUGGAAUGUCCAUGCCAUGACUGCUCUGCCCUGCCAGCGUUGGUAACGCACUCCCAUACGCUACCUGUACAUAUAGCAGAAGUAAACAAGUUGAACUCCGAUCUCGAGGCCUGGAUCAAUUGACAAGAUUGCAUAAAUAUUAUGUAUAAGUAUACCUUAAUAGUGAGGUUGCCGACCGGUGCAUGCAGCUCACAUGAGGUCCGUUGCGUGAUGGCAUCCACGGGGAACCGUUGCUCCUCCACGGGUAACCUGGGCGUCUGCGCAUCGGGGACCCCUGUAGAAGCACAACUGCUCCCGAGGCGUUGAGAAGGGCUGGCGGUGUGAGGAUUCGGCAGUGCUCCAGAUUGCGCCAACUCCGCAACUGCGUCGGCCACCCGCCGAUUGAUUUCAUCCAUCAUUCGUUGUUCUAGCAUCUGCCGCCAGCUCUCCUCCAUCUGUUCCUUUCUUCGCUUCCGGCUUCUGUAAGAGGCGCUGUCGCCUCGGAAAGCGAACUUCCACGGAACCACCCCGAACCCCCGGCAACGUCCUGGGUGCUCUGGAUUACCGAGGGCCAAUGUGAGCUCAUCAUUUUCUCGGUCCACCCUCAACCUCCCAGCCUUGGAAUCUUCAAUGUUCUUCAUGAGAUGUUCGGCCUUCUCACGUAUUCUGUCAUUGAAAAUCAGCGUCCCAUCCUCUUGGCUUAGGGAGCCUCCAUGAGCGUAGUACCAGUUCUUUGAUCGUUCGGGCCAUUCAAUAGUUGCAGGUAUGAUUCCCCGUUCGAUCAGAUCUUGUUCCAUCUUUCUCCACUUGGGAAUUGCUGAGCCAUACCCACCUCGCCCCAAAUGAUGGUGGUAGCCCUUCUGACUAGCAUUUGCAACGUUGGUCGUGAUCUUUUUCACACCUUCUUCACUCCUCUUGUAUUCAACAAAUGCAUCCCAGUGGUCCCUCAACUUGGGCCACGCGUUGAAGUCUGGAGUUUUGCCCUUCUUGAUGUAGUGGGUGUCCAGCAUCUUCUUGAAUGUCUGGAAUUGAGUAGCCAUCUUCUUAAGUGUCCACGCUUUGACAUCCUUCUCGCUAUAAUCUUCGGGGAAUGUGAAAUGCCUCUUCACGUCUUCCCACAGCAUAUUCUUUUCUGUCUCUGGAAGGGCGUACGGAUUAUCGCUUCUGCCCUUCCAUUCUCUGAUGCUGAUAGGCACGUUGUCCCGGACAAUUGCCCCGAUUUGACUAACGUACUUCUUUGCGACUUUCUCGGGAGCAACCGGCCUGCCCUCAUCUGUAACUUCGGUGAUGACAAGCCUCCCUUCCAUCACCUUUGUACGACCUCGGGUCUUCUGCCCUUGUGUCGAUCCGGAGGGCUAACAGUUUAAGAUUCGUUAAUUAGUACGUACUAGUAGCGGUGGCGUGAAACAAUACAAGAAUGGUUGUAUAUACCUCGCCGGAACCUUCCGCCACGGCAAGUUGUUGCUGCGGCUGUUGCUCUUCAUUCACAUCGGCAGACAUGUUGAGGAACAUGUCCGCCUGGGUGCCCUCUUCAUCCGUGUAUGAUAGUGGAACGUUGUCGCCACUAUCAUCACCAGCGAUUAUCUGCUCCAUGAUAUACCUUGCGGUCUCAUCGUCUGCCAUUUCAACUAUUGCUGCAAACAUACAUGGAAUCAUACAUGACAGUCAUAGAAAUCGUCUUAAUACAAAUUUGUAUAUAAUCACAGUUCGGAAUCAUACAUGUAUAUAAUGAAAUCAUAAAAUAACAUGAAUCGUACAAAGUCCGGAAUCUUUAUACAAAUUUCUAUGAAUUUAUACAAAUUUCUAUGAAUUUAUACAAAUUUCUAUGAAUUUCUAUGAAUUUCUAUGAAUUUCUAUGAAUUUCUAUGAAUUUCUAUGAAUUUAUACAAAUUUCUACGAAUUUCUAUGAAUUUCUAUGAAUUUCUAUGAAUUUAUACAAAUUUCUACGAAUUUCUAUGAAUUUCUACAAAUUUCUACGAUUUUCUAUGAAUUUCUACAAAUUUCUACGAAUUCCUACGAAUUUUGACGAAUUUCUACGAAUUUUGACGAAUUUCUACGAAUUUCUACGACGGCGAUAAGGGCGGCGAAGGCGGGACGGCGGCGGUCAGGGCGGCGGAGGCGGGACGGCGGCGGUCAGGGCGGCGGAGGCGGUUCACCGGAACCACGGGCGGUGCCUAAGCUACUACGUUGUGAUGGGCGGCAGGACGGCGGCGAUCACGGCGGCUACUCGGCGGCGAUCACGACGGCUACAAGGCGACUGUCACGGUAGCUACUCGGCGGGACGGCGGCGAUCACGACGGCGGGACGGUAGUUAACAACCUAACUACAAAUCUAACUUAACAAACUAACUAGAAAUCUAAAAAUCUAACUUAACAAAAUUAGAAAUCUAAAAAUCUAACUUAACAAAAUUACAAUUCCAUCUAAAAAAACAAAAUUAAAAAUUAAAAGAAAACGGCCAGCUCUCCCGGCGCACCGGCCGGCGCGGCAGACCUCUCGCGCGCGGGGCGGCGGCCGGGGCGGCGGGACGGCGGCGGCCGGGGCGGCCUGACGGCGGCGGCUGGGGCGGCGACGAGGACGAAGACGACGACGGCGGGAUGACGGCGGCCGAGGCGAAGACGACGACGGCGGCCGGCGAGGGGCGACGAGGAUGGAGCUGGCGACGAGGGGCGAUGCAGCCGGCGAGGGAGGCGGACGGGCGGCGACGGGCGGAGAGGGAGGCGGACGGGCGGCGACGGGCGAGGGAGGCGGACGGGCGACGACGACGGCGCAAUGCGGGACUUCGACGGCGCAAUGGGGGACGACGACGGCGGCGGCCGGCGAGGGAGGCGGACGGGCGGCGACGGGCGGAGAGCGCGGGACUUGCGAAAAUUUCGCUAAGUGUGGAACUGGCGGGGGGUAGAAGGGAGUACAGUGCUUUUAACCCCCCCCCCCUUUUAUCCCGGUUCGUAAUGGCACCCGGGACAAAAAGGGCCUUUUGUCCCGGGUCCUGUCACCAACCGGGACAAAAGGCCCCCCCUUUUAUCCCGGUUGGUGACGGGACCCGGGAUAAAAGGGUGCGCUCCCAGCCCCACCUGGCGGGGGCACCCUUUUAUCUCGGGUCCCGUUACCAACCGGGACAAAAGGCCCCCCCUUUUAUCCCGGUUGGUAACGGGACCCGGGACAAAAGGGUGCCCCCGCCAGGUGGGGCUGGGAGCGCACCCUUUUAUCCCGGGUCCCGUCACCAACCGGGAUAAAAGGGGGGGGCCUUUUAUCCCUGUUGCAAAUGGCAACCGGGAUAAAAGGGUACGUUCGGGCGGGAGACGAAACGUACCCUUUUAUCCCGGUUGCCGUUUGCAACCAGGAUAAAAGGGGGGCCUUUUAUCCCGGUUGCUGUUAGCACCCGGGACAAAAGGUCCUUUUUCCUAUUUUUCUUCUCCCGCCUGUUUUUUGGAAAUGGAUUUUAUUUAACCUUUUCACUGCAUUCCAGGAUGAAAAACAAAACCUUCUCAGAUUUUGUACAUGCAAAAAUAUAUUUAAUUAACGAGUAAAUUGACAAUAAGUAUGAAGUAAUCAUUAUUUCUAUACCAACUCAUAUAGCCUGUAAAAUAUUUAUUUUACUGCAUUGCUGUGAUCAAUAAAUUAUUCAAUUAAAUUUUUUGAAUGCGCAGAAAAAUCCAUGUUAGUAUGUGGUUAACAAUGUUCAUGUAUAUCUAAAAAAUCUUCACCUAACAAAUUUAAUUACAAAUUUUAUCAAUUAAUACACAAAGGUCAUGCACAUUUAACGCAUUACAAUACAACGUUGUAAAAUUUCUUCUUCACGAAAGUUCCUUGAUCAUGAUCGCGGCGUAAGUACGGAGCCUCUUCUUUGGACAGCAGGAUGCUUGGAUCAACUUCAACGUCGAAUGGAGGCAUGCCAUCAAACUGAUCAUAAUCAUCUGAUUGGUCUGUUUUAUCCUCGACUCCCACGAUUUUUCUUUUACCUAGAAGAACUAUGUGGCACUUUGGCUCCCAUGUCUCUUCUGGAUUCCUCUUGGGUUUGCUGCACAUGUCCUUCACAUAGAACACCUGAUGCACAUCAUUGGCAAGUACGAAUGGGUCAUCACUGUAUCCAGUCUUGCUCAGAUCUACUAUUGUCAUUCCGUACUGAUCUUUGGUGACGGCAGUUAGCUUCACCCAAUUGCAAAGAAAUAGAGGGAUGUACAGCGGUCCGUAUUCGAGUUCCCAUAUCUCCUGUAUGAAACCAUAAUACGACUCCUUGCUAUUAUUUCUGUCCAUGGCAUCUAUGCGGACACCACUAUUCUGGUUCGUGCUUUUCUGGUCCUGGGCUCUCGUGUAAAAUGUGUAACCAUUUAUCUCAUAGCCUUGGAAUUUGACGAUUGUGGUAGCAGGUCCCCUGGCUAACCAAGCAAGCUGUGGGUGAAUCUCAGAGUUACCCAUAAGUUGUUGGCGCAACCAGGAGGGAAAAGUUUCCAUGUGAUGACGGGUAAGCCAAGCAUCGGAUUUGGUCGGGUUUUUGGAAGCUACCAUCUGCCUGUGCUGCUCGAUAUACGGAGACACAAAGGAUGACUGUUGUAGAACAGUGUAGUGUGCCUUGUCGAACAAAUUAGUAUCAUUGCUCAAACUUGAUUUCCUUCCAAGGGUGCCCAUUCCUCGGAGCCUCCCCUCGUGGCGUGAAGUUGGAACCCCAAUCGAGUCAAUUGAAUCAAUAAAAUCAACACAAAACUCGAUCACCUCCUCUGUUCCAUAUCCCCUGGCGAUGCUUCCUUCUGGACGAGCACGAUUACGAACAUAGUUUUUUAGGACUGCCAUGAACCUCUCGAAAGGCCACAUAUUGUGCAGGUAUACAGGUCCGAGAAUACCAAUCUCUUUUACUAGGUGAACCAGUAAGUGCGUCAUAUUAUUGAAGAAGGAUGGUGGAAAUAACAACUCAAAACUGACAAGACAUUGCACCACAUCGUUCUGUAGCUUUGAUAGCUUGGAUGGAUCGAUUGCCUUCUGCGAAAUCGCAUUGAGAAACGCGCAUAGCUUUACGAGCGGCAACCGGACAUUUUCGGGUAGAACACCCCUCAGUGCAACCGGAAGCAACUGGGUCAUCAACAUGUGGCAGUCAUGAGCCUUGAGAUUUGUAAACUUCUUUUGUUUCAUAUUUAUUAUUCCCUUUAUAUUCGAGGAGUACCCAGACGGGACCUUCAUACUAUUCAAGCAUUCAAACAUACUAUCCUUCUCCUCCUUGCUGAGAGUGUAACUGGCAGGACGUAAGUAGUGCUGUCCAUUAUCUCUCUUUUCCGGAUGUAGGUCAUCUCGUUGCCCCAUGGCUUUCAGGUCCUGUCUUGCUUCCAAUGUAUCUUUUGAGGUUCCAUAAACACCCAUGAAGCCUAGCACGUUCACGCAAAGAUUCUUCGUCAGGUGCAUCACGUCUAUUGCGUUGCGAACCUCUAGGAUUUCCCAAUAAGGUAGCUCCCAAAAUAUUGACUUUUUCUUCCACAUGGGUGCAUGUCCGUUAUCAUCGUUCGGAAUAGGUUGGCUACCAAGUCCCUUUCCAAAGACUACAUGUACAUCCUUCAUCAUCUCGAACACACGCUUUCCAUUACGGUGUGCAGGUUUUUUACGAUGGUCUGGCGUCCCUUUGAAAUGCAUCCCGCUCUUUCUCAGCUGGUGGUGAGCAGGGAGAAAUCGACGAUGACCCAUAUAGACGACCUUCUUACAGUGCUUCAAGUACAUGCUAUCUGUGUCAUCUAAACAGUGGGUGCAUGCCCGAUAUCCCUUAUUUGUCUAUCCUGAAAGGUUACUCAAUGCAGGCCAAUCGUUGAUGGUUACGAACAACAGUGCUCGUAGAUUAAAGAUCUCUUGUCUAUCCUCAUCCCACACACGUACACCUUCUUCCUUCCAGAGCUGUAAAAGGUCAUCAACCAACGGCCUUAGGUACACGUCAAUGUCGUUGCCGGGUUGUUUUAGGCCUUGGAUAAGCGCCGGCAUCAUAAUGAACUUCCGCUUCAUGCACAGCCAAGGAGGAAGGUUGAACAUACAAAGGGUCACAGGCCAAGUACUAUGACCACUACUCAACUCACCGAAUGGAUUGAAUCCAUCAGUGCUUAAACCAAACCUUAUGUUCCUUGCUUCACUUUCAAAGUCUGGGAAUGUUCUAUCAAUUGAUCUCCACUGUGCCCCAUCUGCGGGGUGUCUCAGCAUCUCAUCUUCCUUACGGUCUUCUUUGUGCCAUCGCAUCAACUUAGCAUUCGCCUUGUUCCUGAACAAGCGCUUCAAGCGUGGUAUUAUAGGGAAAUACCACAUCACCUUCACGGGAACUCUCUUCUUGGGAGACUGCCCCUCGACAUCACCAGGAUCAUCUCGCCUGAUCUUAUACCGCAGGGCUUCGCAGACGGGACAAGCAUCCAAUUCCUCGUAUUCAUCACCACGAUAGAGGAUACAGUCAUUAGGGCAUGCGUGUAUCUUCUGAACAUCCAAUCCGAGAGGGCAAAUAAUCUGUUUAGCUUCAUAUGUUGUGGACGGUAAUUCAUUAUUCUCGGGGAGAAUCUUCUUGACAAUUCUCAACAUCCCCUGAAAUGCCUUAUCGGACACACCAUUUUUUGCCUUCCAUUGCACAAAUUCUAGUGUCGUACCUAGUUUUUUAUGGCCCUGCUGGCAACCUGGGUACAACAAUUUUUGGUGAUCAUCUAUCAUGCGCUGCAACUUUGCUGCUUCCUUCUCAGUUUCGCAAUCUCUGUAUGCAUCUCGUAUCACCUGACCAAGGUCAUCAGUAGGGUCAUUUUCUGCAAACUCAUCUUCAUCAGCCUCGCCCAUUGUAGUACCUGCAAAAGCUUGGCCUGCAACCCAGUCCGGAAUGGUGUCAUCUUCCUCCUCCUCCUCGCCAUCUUCCAUUACAACCCCUAGUUCACCGUGCUUGGUCCAAACCAAAUAGUUAGGCAUGAAACCGUAUUUAAACAAGUGGCUGUGAAUAGUCCCCCAGGAAUUCUUUGAAUACUCCUUCCUGUUAUUGCAUUGGAAGCAUGGACAACAUACGAACCCAUUCUCUGGCUUGUUCGCUUUUGCCACUUCGAGAAAAUAAUGCAAGCCAUCAAUAAACACCUUGCUCCGCCUGUCUGCAUUAUACAUCCAAUGCCGGUCCAUCUGCAUCGUAUUACGCACGAAAAUGGAUUACACUUGACAAUGGAUUACGCGUGAAAAUCGAUUAAAGAUCCAAACAACAUGGUACAAUACAACAACAUGAAGAUCCAAAUACACAUAUUUAAAUUAAAGUCCCAAACACUGCAUAAGUUGUUCAACUUGAAGACCGUGAUCAUCUCGUGAGGAUGUCCUCAACUGGGCGGCACCGCACUUCGUCAUUAAAGAGGUUAGAUGCUACGGAAAAGGGGACACGGUCACAAUGUCCGUAUCCACUCUUUCUCGUAGAAUCGAACCUCCUUCUUGACAUACGUUGCUGCUCGGCGGAGAACAUCCUCGGCGAGAUGAACACGGUAUGCAAGUUCAACAAGUAGCAGAAGUCAUCUAUGUACAAAAAUUCUUUCCUUACCACUACAGAAGUUGUUGAACUUGAAGACCGUGUUCAUUUCGCGAGGAUGUCCUCAGCUAGGCGGCACCGCACUUCGUCAUGAAAGAGGUUAGAUGCUACGGAAAAGGGGACACGGUCACGAUGUCCGUAUCCACUCUUUCUCGUAGAAUCGAACCUCCUUCUUGACAUACGUUGCUGCUCGGCGGAGAACAUUCUCGCCGAAAUGAACACGGUAUGCAAGUUCAACAAGUAUAUGGAUUUAAAAAACCAUAUUGAAUUUGAUAAGAUAAACCGUCUAGACAAGGUAGCAUCAUUUUUAAACCACUGAAAUAAUGCAUACUAUAUAUGACACAUCAAUCUCCCUCACAUUCUAGCUCAAAAUACCUCUCCAUUUUUCUACUUCAUCAUCACAUUGUAGCAAAUAAUCUUUCCAUCUCCAAAGCAUAAAUCAAAGCAUAACACGAGGAUGAAGUAGCAAACCUUCGCAGCACUUGUUGGCUGAGUCAAAUUCCCACGAAAAUGAGGGAAAAAAGUUCGGGCAGCACCUCCCUUGCUUGGGCACCACCGGAGAGUAGGUGAAGCUCAGCUCUCUAUCAAUGUGCUGGACUGCUCGGGCUGGAGGAAGAAGAAAGUCUCUGUCUCGGGGUAUAGUGGGGGAUGAGUUUUAAUCCCGGUUAAAAACUCCAACCGAGACAAAAGGAAACACCUUUUGUCCCGGUUGGAAAGUUAGUCCCGGUUGGAGGAUCCAACCGGGAUAAAAGGGACACCCUUUUAUCCCGGUUGGAGGCACCAACCGGGACUAACCCUUUUAUCCCGGUUGGUGCCUCCAACCGGGAUAAAAGGGUGUCCCUUUUAUCCCGGUUGGAUCCUCCAACCGGGAUAAAAGGGUCCCGCCACCGACGGCCCCCGCUAGCCGUUGCAACCGGGACUAAAGGGGGGCCUUUAGUCCCGGUUGCAAUUACCAACCGGGACUAAUGCUCCCCUCCAAAUUCCCGCACCCCGGCGCACCCCCUUUUGUCCCGGGCCACUUUUAAACCGGGAUAAAAGGGGGUUGAUCGAAAGUCAGUUCUCUACUAGUGAUCGGUGACUCCGCUCGAGGAGAAUUGUUUAUAUCAAGCAUAGAAAUGACAACGUUGGAAGUGGAGGAUAUAUUUUGCUCUGUUGAUUUAAUUGCCGCGAGAGUGGCGGACAAGUUCUAAUGAUUGAAGAUCAGAAGCGUCUCGUGGAGAAUUUUUCAGAAGCUAUAUUUGGAAUUAUUAUAUUAUCUCAGGAGCAGAUUAAAUAUAACGCCACCACUGAAAGCCGAUGAGAUGUAUCUAUCGGCUACAUGCUAUUCAGAUGAAUUUGAUGACAGAUUAAUUACGGAGGAGACCGACCGAUACAACAUUAUGGUUUCUUACUGCUGAUCUGUUAUGAAAGAGGAUGUGAGAAGCUGAUAAUCAAGCAACAAUAAAAUGAUAUACACGCAGGGCAUUAAAUAUUGAGUUAAUGAUUGGGAGUACUACCAUUAUCUUAUGAAAAGUCCAUCGGCUAACCAAACAGCGUCAGCCGAUGGAAGCAAAUAGUGUCAGCCGAUAGAAUGAUGUUAUAUAAGUAUAUAUAUCGGCCUCCGAGCCAAUGGGAAGUAGGAACUAUCAGCCGAUGCACACAUCCAUGGACAUAGCCGAUAAGACAUUGUAUCGGCUGCUUGGCAAAUAAAAAUAGCAUCGGCUGACCGCUUGUUAAAAUAUUAUCGGCCGAUUGCUUGGCAAAAUAGUAUUGGCUGACUGCUUGGCAAAUAAAAAAAUAAUAGGUUGACCAAAAAAGGAUAGCAUUGCCUGAUUGCUUGGCAAAUAAAAAAAAUUACGUCGGCUGAUUGGUUCCAGCAAAAUAGUAUCGGCUGCUUGUUGAUCAGAAAAAGCCGAUACUGUUACAGCUCCCGCAACUGUGCUUUGCUGUCAUCGGCUGGGUUGUUCGUGCUCCAUCUGCAAAUAUUUGUCCCGGCUAGAAAGUAUCGUACGUGCAUUGGGAUUCGGCAGUACAAAUCACGUACACGCGUAUGGUCUGCUCAGAAGCUGUCUGUUCGACGAAGUUCCAGGCCAAUGGUGGAGACUUGAUGACCAUGGUGACCUGCAUUAAUCAACAUGAAGUAUGUAUCGGCUGUUCGGUGAUUGGUAGCAAAUCAGCUUUCUCAUAGCCGGUGACAUAUGGGGCAAGAAAUAUCAGGCUUAAAAAAGGACAGUACGAUCAAUGUCGAAAGUUGUAGCCGACGGUUCUAUUAUUGUGCAGUCGAUGGAACAUAGAAGAUGCAUCUGAAUGAGCAAAAGGAAGGGAGCCGAUAGAAGGGAAUUUAAGUUGCAUGAGAUCCAAUUAAAUUAAGAUGACGAGAGGUGUUGACAUCGAAUCAUCGGACUUCUACGAAGUCUUCAUACUCCGAAACUAGGGAGUCUGUGUUAACACCAAAAUUUAGAAAUAUGCUGAUGCAAAAAAAUAAUGAAAUCUCCUAAAUAAGGCUCAAGAAAGAAAAAGCAAGAAAAGAAAAUCAAUCGCACGCGGCAAGAAUUGAAUAAAAUAUUCUAGAGGUAGAGUUGGUUAGGAUAAGCUUAAUUAGGGAUAGAGUUGGAUUAGUUAGAGAUAGUAUUUUGAUUAGAAAAGAUUGUGUACAUGACUUGUACGUGGUGCGUCAGAGGCCAUCCGCCCUAUAAAUAUAAGGGGUCGUGGCCAUUGUAAUUAUCAUCACACGAUCAAUAUACAACAUAUUUAUCUUUUACCUUUUCGGCUUCACGCCAUUGUAUUAGGAGUAGGAGUAAUGUAGCUUCCUGACGAGUUCCUUCUAGCAAGCUGUGCUGCAUUGACCUUGAUCUCUGGCGAGCUGCAAAGUUCCGUCACCAGGUGUUCUAGGCUUUAACCACCGGGCGCAUCGCUUGUGGUUUCGUCUAGUUUCAUCUACAAGGUAUCGAAUAUCAUGGAUCUUUAACUUACGCAUCGCUUCUGUCUUGAUCUACGGUAUUCACCAGUUAUCCUGCCUUGGUUAAGUCUGCAUCGGCUGAUAUUUAUCUGUUCUAUCAUCUUGCCGUUCAGUUUGCUUUAAUUAGCUUUAGAUCGGUUCAUUAUAGAUGAUAGAUCGCUUAAUAGCCUGUUGCAUCUUAAUCUUGGUUACCCCUUCAAGUGCUGUUGGGAUUAAGUUUCGUUAUGAUUGGAUUCAUCGGCUGGUGGGGUUGGUGGGGUUCAGAUUAACAUCGUGCUAAAUAUUUCUAGACUGCAACUACUGGACGCAUCGCUGUGGUUUCAUCUAGAGAUAUUGGUAGAGAGUUUAGUUUAGAUCUCAUCGGUUCGUGGCUCUAGCUAUGGUGGAGCGGCAGCUGAAUAGCAUCCUGUUUUCUAUCGGUCGCCUGGCCGAUAGUUAUUGCAAAAUAUAUUAAAUCGCCUGGAUGGCCGAUGGAUCACUCACGCUCGUCAAGGAUCAUAUCGGCCUGAUCGGCCAGUUGCCUCGGACUUCAAAGGAUUAUUUUCACCUUGUCAGUUGAAUGGUCAAACUGGCUGGCACGCCCGCGCACACCAUGCGCGCCGAUUUGGAUUUUGCACUGGAGUUAAGUAGAUCUUCCAGGUCCUCAUGUGGUGACGAAGGAUCCACCACCAUCAGGAUUUUGCGUCAACACAUUUUGGCACGCCCAGUGGGACACGGUUAUAAGGUUCAUAUUUUUAUUCAUAUAAAAAAGCAUCUUCGGCAUCAUCGGCCAAAUGAGUGUUCAUCGGCUUGUUAGAAUUAAUUCAAUAUAAUAUUUCAGCAAAAGCAGCCGAUGUAGCGAUUGGAGAUAAGGCCAAGUCAAGUCUGCGUGUAUACGCAUGUUCCGGUGGGAUCAUCUUCAUAAAUGCCAAUGACGAUUAGAGAUGAAGCUUCCUGCAAAAUGAUUGGCUACUCUAUCCGGGAAGAAUUGCUUUUUUAUGAGGCAUAUAUAGAGACCCAUGUUGCAAUUAGGGGGCGUAUUCGUGCAUUGGCUGAAAUAAAAAAAUGCAUCGGCAUAUUGAAAAUUGCAUCGGCCGAUUGACAGUCGUAUCAGCUGAUUGGAAAAAUAAAAAGGGAUCAGGGAUCCGCCGAUUGAAAAUUGCAUCAGCUGAUGGAAAAUGAGAGCAACAGUUACAAUAUUUUUUUUAAAAGAAAGCAAGUAUCGGCAAGCAGUAGCCGAUGGAUUUGUAUUUCAGCCAAUGGGGUUUUUGUUUCAGCUGAUAGUACUACUGGCUGAUGGCAAGUCCAAUGGAGUUAAAAUUGCAUUGACUGAUUGAAAUAAAAAUUAAGUAUCGGCUAAUUUAUGGCCAAGUAGCAUCUGCUGAUUUGUUGCAAAGUAGUUUCGGCUGAUUUAUGGCAAAAUAGAAUCGGCCGAUUUAUGGCAAAGAAGCCAAUAGACAAAAGCAUCGGCUGGUAGAGAAGCCGAUUGAGCAAGCAUCUGUUGAUGAGCUAUGUAUGGGAAAAAGUAUUGGCUGCUUAAACAAUUGACAAAAGCCAAUUGGUCAGACUGAGAAGCCAACUGGGAAAGCAUCGAUCGAUGGAUUGCGUAUGGGAGAGAGUAUCGGUUGAAGUCUUUAGUAUUGACUGCUAGAUAUUUGAGCAAGCGUCGGCCGAUUGACUGCUUGGUAAAAAAAACAUCGGGCUGAUUGCUUGGUUAAUAAAAAAAUUGCAUCGUUCAAGCAAAGAUUGCAUGGGCUGAUUGGUUCAAGCAGAAUAGUAUCGGUUGCUUAUAGAAUAUAUCGGAUAUUAAUUUCGAAGCAUGAAAAUAUUCAUACUCCGAAACUGGGGGGCCUGUGUUGACAACAAAAGCUUGCUGGUUACUGCAUCAAGUUUUGGUGUCAACAUACUUGAUCUUUUGUUUCCAUUGCCAGCGGAUUCAUCGGCUCAGAGUGGGAUCAAGACAUCAAGCUGAUGGAGUUCUUUAUAUUUCAAGAGGAGUCAUGGAGUUCUUUAUAUUUCAAGAGUAGUCGAUGGUGCUUUGAAUAUUGCAACCAGACGUCAUUGGCUCUAAAGAUACCGAAUCAUCGGACUUCUAUGAUCAGUUUCGGAACAUGAAGCCUUCAUACUACGAAACUGGGGGCCUGUGUUGACACCGAAUCAUCGGACUUCUAUAAUUAGUUUUGGAACAUGAAGCCUUCAUACUUCGAAACUGGGGGGCCUAUGUUAACACCAAAAUUUAGAAAUGUGCUCUGAAAGGAAGGUAUCGGCCGAUGAUGCAAAAAAAUAAUGAAAUCUCCUAAAUAAGGCUGAAGAAAGAAAAGCAAGAAAAGGAAAUCAACGCACACGGCAAGAAUUGAAUAAAAUAUUCUGGAGAUAGAGUUGGUUAGGAUAAGCUUGAUUAGAGAUAGAGUUGGAUUAUUUAGAGAUAGUAUUUUGAUUAGAAAAAAUUGUGUACAUGACUUGCCUUGUACGUGGUGCGUCAGAGGCCAUCCGCCCUAUAAAUAUAAGGGGUCGUGGCCAUUGUAAUUAUCAUCACACGAUCAAUAUACAACAUAUUUAUCUUUUACCUUUUCGGCUUCACGCCAUUGCAUUAGGAGUAGGAGUAAUGUAGCUUCUCGACGAGUUCCUUCUAGCAAGCUGGGCUGCAUCGACUUCGAUCUUCGGUGAGCUGCAAGUUCCGUCACCAGGUGUUCUAGGCUUUAACCACUGGGCGCAUCGCUGUGGUUUCGUCUAGUUUCUUCUACCAGUUACCGAGUAUCUUGGAUCUUUGACUUAUGGCACAUCGCUUCUGUCUCGAUCUACGGUAUUCACCAGUUAUCCCGCCUUGAUUAAGCUUGCAUCGGCUGAUAUGUAUCUGUUCUUUCAUCUUGCCGUUCAAUUUGCUUUAGUUAGCUUUAGAUCGGUUCAUCAUAGACAAUAGAUCAUUUAAUAGCAUGUUGCAUCUUGAUCUUAGCUAUCCUUCGAGUGUUGUUGGGAGUAAGUUCCGUUGUGAUUGGAUCCAUCAGCUAGCAGGGUUUAGAUUAACAUCCUGCUAAAUAUUUCUAGACUGCAACUACCGGGCACAUUGUUGUGGUUUCACCUAGAGAUAUUGGUGGUGACGUUAGUUUAGAUCUCAUCGGCUUGUGGCUCUAGCUAUGGCGGGGCAACAACUCAACAACAUCCUGUUUUCAAUCGACCGUCUAACUGAUAGCUAUUGUAAAUUAUAUUAAAUCGGCUGGAUGACGAUGAAUCACUCACAUUCAUCAAGGUACUGGAAUCGGCUUCACAGCCGAUAUAUUUGUCAUGAUUUAUUUUGUUGCACCAUUAUCGCUACUGUGCUAGGAUUAUAUCGGCCUAAUCGGCCAGUUUCCUCGGACUUCACAACGACUAUCAUCUCCUUGUCAGUUGAAUGGUCAAACUGACUGGCAUGCCCGCGCACACCACACGUGCCGAUUUGGAUUCUGCACUGGAAUUAAGCAGAUCUCCCAGGUUCUCAUGUGCUGAUGCAGGGUCCACCACCGCCAGGAUUUUGUGUCAACACCUUGUAAUCUUCCUUUGAUUUCCUCAAUGAUUCGAAGACAAUAACCUUGCUUGUAUAAAUGAUAAUUAUAAGGAGAACCUAGUGGAAACUGUGUAUUCAUAUUAGAACUACCUAUGGUUAAUUAGGUUAGGAAAGGAAAUCGAAAAUAGACCGUACCCACACUUACUUAAAGUUGUUGGGCAGUAGUAUGUAAUGCUUGUAAUUCUGUUACUCCAAGAAUUUGUAUAUGUGGUCCAAUGUAGACUUUGGUUGAUCCCAUAUCUGUUGUUGGUUAAAUAAGUGUUUCUGGCCAUUUCUAGCCGUUAGAACCGGAACUAAAGGGGGCUCUUUAGUACGGGUUGAUAUUACUAACCGGGACUGAAGAGCCCCCAUUACAGUUGGUUUUUGGACGCGGAACUAACAACUCCUUUAGUCCCGAGUCCAAAAACGACUGAGAUAGAAGAUCCUUUCUCUACCGUGAAUAUUGCCAGAAAGAAUUGAAAGAGACCGCUUGCUAAAAAUAUGUCAUAGAUGUAGACCAAGCUACCAAGGAGGUAGACCAAACAUGAUACACACCAUGCGUACCUUGCUGUGCAGACUAUGCAUAGACAAGACACCCGACCACAUGUUGGCCUCGGUCACAUCAAAAGAAUCAUGUAGGCCACCAAUAAACUACUUGAAGCGUCAUUCCGUAUCGUAUAUGCAUUGCCGGUUCAUCUGCAUUACAUUACAUAAAGUAGUAUUAACUAUUUGAAUAAAAUGAACCAAUUUAAAAGUAAUGUGUUGUACUCUACUAUAGAAAGCCCUAUCACUGUCGGAUCCAGAAACAUCAUUGUUGAUGGUCGUUAAGUACCAAGACGGUCAAUAUUCUCAAGAAUAAUGGAGAAUUGGCAUUUCUUACACACAUAUUUGGUUUUGAACAAUGUAGUCCCACAUGUCCUUGGAGAUUAUUUGGGUGUGGGUGAAAUAAUACAAAAAGAAGGAGAAAACACACUCCCAUGGUGAAGAAACAAAACUCCGACCAAUGAGAGAUAGCCACAGGGGCAGCACACGGAUCCAUGGGCCCACAAACCGCAUCAAACUGUCUUACCAAGGCGGGUAGCACCCACAACCAUGAUUAGGACCCACCUGGAUGUCUACCAAGAAGAAGGUUGUGAGUGGGGCCAGGAGGGGUUCGGCUGAAUCAUCUCUAGCUCCCCUCAUCCCCAGCUGGUGCAUGGCGGUGGUUAAUGGUGUCCCUACAUCGGUUAGAGGAGAUUCCCCCAAAUAUUCCUCCUGUAAACCACCUGUAUGGACCUAUACAUAGAGGGGUGUGCUCUCCAAUCCAACACACACCACAAGUUUAAUCACUCUCUCCCUCUUUAAUUUCCAUGUUUAUGGAGUUAGCCUAGAGUAGCUCUGCUCAAGGUUCCAAGUCCACUUGGAGUUAAGCAUAUGUCUCUUGUAUCGUUAUUUCCCAGAUUGACUUUAUGCUUAGUUCUUAUAUGCAUGAGUUAGUCUAAUAGCCUUGCUCUAUUGAUAUGCUCGGCUUAUAUGCUCGUAUGCUAGUCAUAUACCCUUGCUGCCGUAGUAUAGGCUUAUAUGCUCUCAUGUGUGCCUUUAGACCUUGCUACAAUAUAUACUUGUUGUGUAUACAUACCAUGUAUAGGCUAGUCGAUCUAUACCAUGGCAUUGGUUCAAUAGCCAUGUUUUUGGUGGCUCCAACCCUAGUCAGAAUAGCUCGGGACAGCUAGAGUGUUGUUAAAAAUGCAAGAGUGAUGGUUGGGUUGUUUAGCAUCGUUGGAUAUGGGUUUUCCCCACGGGUUUCUAAGAGUAGGCGGCAGCUAGUGACAGCCCUGUCCGUCCUUCGUAAUCCCCCCACAUUCAAGUACGCCAUAGAAGUUCAUAAAUUAGCAGUAACUACACCGGCAGACCGGUAGGGUAUUGUCUCCCUAUAGUACCUUGGUGCAUAGAACUAGGUCAUAUACACUGUGUGUCUAUGUUUACGCUGAUAUGAUCUGUGCAGUAUAUAGCAUGUAUAUAUGAACCUAGAGCUAACUCCUAGUCCAUUCUCCGUAGCUUAGUUAUCUUGAGAUGAUUCUUCUGUGUGUGUAACACUACCCAUCUUAUCAUUAUCCUUAAUCCUGUCUUGUGUAAUAUAUCUACUCAUCCUAUGAUAUACUCAUAUGCAUAGUAAACUAUUUUGACCUACCCGCCUUCCUUUGGGAAAUACGAUACCCUGGAAUAAUCCUAGGUGAAAUGCUACAACGGUAUAUCCAUGUGCUUACGGAAUUAUUCCUGACCAUUAAAUAUACCAACAAUCAUCACUAUCUAUUUUGGGCAUCGUUAGUGAAGGGUCGGCAGUGAUGGGCAUCCCCUUCACCAAUGGAGCUGGAACUGGCGGUGAUGGCCAUUAAAAAAAAUGGGACCCCACCCAGCGUACCCCGCAACCCGGCCGGCUGCGCCUCCCAUCAUCCCCGCCGGUCGCCCUUCCUCUUUGCCGGCCGAGCAUGGUUCCGGCCCUCGUCCCUACCGCCUCGCCUCCAUCGCGACCCCCUGCCGAUGCCCUCAUGCCUGGCCCCCCUCGUCUGGCCGGCCACCCUCCCGAUGCAUCCACCGGGGCCCUCGCACCACCAACCACCCUAGCCUAGAGAGAGAGAGGAGGAGGGAGGUGAGGCCACGCACCUCGUCCUACAACGCCGCUGUUGCUCCUCGGCCCACCGCGCCUCACCCCACACCACAGCCGCACCUCGCCAUCUUACCGGCCGCGACGCCCCAUCUCACCGGCCACCGUUCCUCACCCCCACAUCGGUCAUCGCUGCUCCUUGCCCUACUGCUGCUCUUUGCAGCCGCGAAUGAGGGGCGAGUGGAGGGGGAGGGGCGGGGCAGGAGGAGGGCAAGAUCCGGGAGGAAGGGAGAGAUUUUGGGAGGUGGAGAUGGAAGGAUAUGGCGGAAGGUAGAGAUCUAGAGGGAGAGAGCGGGGGGGAGAGGGGGGCAUGUGGGGAGAGAGCGCAUGUGGGGUGGGGCCGGGCUGGUGGGAUGGAAGGUAGAGGGGCCGGAGGGCGCAGUGCAUUCAACUGGAUUAAGUAAAUAUUUCGGAUUCGAGACCCCAGCUUUAUUAUCACCGCUGGUCCGUAGUACCAUUCGGUGCCGGCUCAUAAUUUAAUUUGAACCGGUGGUGAUGUUUUAUUAUCACUGCUGGUUUCAAUUUUCACCAUCGGAUCAUAUAAAAAUCCGGCGGUUAAAAAUCCGCUGGUUUCGAUGAAAACCGACAGUGAUAGGACGACUGUGAUAGUCUCUUCUCUAGUAGUAGUAUAUUAGUACCGGCUGCCGGAUGGUGUUGCCGACGAGUACUUCUCCAGGGGCGAUUCAGUACUGAUGUUAGCAAAGCUUGUUCUCUAUGAAUUUGGGGAUGGAAAGCUAGUUCUCUAGUUGUGAUUUGUUACAUAUAUCUCUAUGAUAGUCUAGAAAUUGCAUGUCCUUCGUUGACAUAGUUGAAGCUGCUUCAAGAAUUUACUUCGUGCAGUCGUGCAGCAUAUUGGAUUAUCACCUAGACAGGAUACAUAGGUGAAGCAUUGCAUGUGAUUGUGGCUGAUAAUUAUGCAGGACGCUGUUGCAAUCAACCAUCAAGAAGACUGGAGCGAUGGGGUUGCCUCAUCAACAAUUUUUAUAUAUGGCUGCAGUAUUAUUAAGCCCACGUCAAUAAUUUUUUCUCCGCAGCAUAUAUAUGGUUACUCAGUUCGCUGGAGUAUCGCUGUGGAAAAACAUACGUACUGCGCCUCGGAACUAACUGGCAUUCAGGCCAUCAACGACCAGAUAUUUGGGACAACCAACAAAUAGUAGGUGGUUCCUAAGUUGUAGUCGUAUGUACUAAUGCGCCUCGAUGGGGUUUUCUUCAGAUAUUUUAUUGCCGUUCAAUGAACAAGCAGAUACAUAACCUGUGCAGAAAAUUCCAUCUCCACGCAUGCCACUGCACCAACAAGAUCCUCAGUCGACGAUGAUGGCUCAGCCUGUUCCUUCUGCCACCAAAUCCUCAAUCUUCCCUCCAGCAACGGAGAAUGCACCUUUAGUACCUUCAGUAUCAGAUGUUGCAAUCGGUACCGUGAAACCGAGACUAAAAUCCUUACUUUGCAGGGGGCAAAACAAUCUUGCAAAUAUAUAUUUUGAAUUCCAACAAAAUUUAAGAAAUGUUAAAGAUGACUAGCUGAGAGUCAACAGACAAGAUAUGAUAUUAGGAAUGUGGGAGGAUGAAUGCAUUUGUACAGGGGUCAUACUAUUUCCAGACUCUUCUAUAUUUCCAUAUGACUACCUACUUCAAUGUCACGCGAGCCAUUCAAAAAGAUACAUGGUACACUUGUAUGUCUAAUCCAUUAUUGAUUAUUUCCUCUUGUCAUCUCUUACAAGUAUUUCUCCAUACUAUAGAAACGUGCAACACAUUUUUAGGAUAUGGACACGCAUGAUUAAUAUGCUUGGACUAGUAUACAGGUCAUCUUUGGAUGAGUACAUAUGAAUGCCAGGGAGGGACUGAUGGAUAUAAGGAAAAGGGACCAUGCAUAAAUAAUGACAUAUGUAACAUGGCAAUCUUCAUUGCCAUGCAACUCCUAUCAACAAUCAUGGAAUACAUACUACUGCUCCAGAAGGGUGGUGUGCAAAUUUAUUUUACCUCGCGGUGAAAAUCUCCAGAGCAGGCCUGAAGUUAAAAUAAGAGGCAGUCACUAUCGAUCAUGACAGUCUCGAAACUGUACAGCACUAUGCUAGUCCUAGUCCUCAUGUCGUUCGUGCUGUCGUGUAGCAUGAUGGAUUAUUAACUGGGCAGGACACGGAGAUGGCUAGCGAUGACAGAGGAUGACGUACAUGAUAUUCACCUCUGAAAUGAAGCGUAGGCUAAUGAAGCACAAUUGCAUGUGAGUGUGGCAGAUAUUUAUACAGGACAGUGAUUGCAAUAAUCGACCAUCGAGAUCGAAGACAGGGGCGAUGGGGUUGCCUCAUCAAUAAUUCGCGCAACCAGACAAGCUGCAGACUCAAUAUGGUACGAAGCUAUUUGGUCAGCCCACAUGCUCUGAUAUAACAUUGGCAUCUGCUGAUCUACAGUAUAUAUGACCAGAAAUAUUGUGCCACCUCAAUAAUUUUCCGAAGUAUCGUUGGGGAAGCACCUACAUACUAUGCCUCGGAACUAACUGACAUGUUGGCCUAGGCGGUCCAGGCCGAUUGGACAGGCUCUUCCUUAUGGCUCCUCACGUCCCCUUCGUUUCCGAGUAAUCUCAGGUGUUCUGAAGUUUUCUUUUCACUUGCAUGUGGACCUUAUAUAUCAAUAGCUUCGGGAUAAGAAUGCCUCUUGAUAACCUUCCAAAUCGUCGCUUGAUUCACUUUGAUUCCAAAAUCAUCUUGCCAUAUCUUUUGAGACUUAGGCCCUAAGGCAUCAUGGAGGAUUGCUCGCCAAGAAUGAGCACCAUUGGGCUCCUGAGGACCCUAGGCCGAUCAGCCUGGGCUCUAUAGGUUGAUUGGCCCAGGCCCUCUCUGGGCCCAUUGGCCUUCAUCUUUCUCUGAGUCGACGCUUAUUGAGGGCUUUGUCCAAUUAUAGUCCAUUAUAGUCUAAUUUCCAAAAAAAUAGAAUAUCCUCCAAAAUACAAUACAUUUGUGAAAACAGCCCAAUUAUUAGGUAUGAUCAAUAGUCUAGGUAUUAAAUUAAUGUUAUUAUUUAAGAUAAAUAGGGAUAAAGGGUGUCAUUAAUAACGAGCACCAACCAGCGUACCAGCUGUUAACACUAACCGAUGCUAAUAUGUACCCUUUAGUACCGGCUAUUUCACCCGGUACUAAACGAGACAAGAGCACCCUAACAGAGGUUAAUACCAUCCAUUUCAUGAGUAAAAUACUAUGAUUCAAAAAUAAUUCAAAUCCCUUAAGACAAUACCUAUCAAAUGAGUAGAUUGUAAAUAGAGUAAAACAAUGUCCUAAUGAAACGGAACACUUCUGGUUCGUGUAGAGCACAAUAUAGAAAACAGUAGGGUAGCUGUACGAUUGACACGUGGUCCAUUAAUUAUUGAGCCAUCACUAUGGACAUGUCUUCAUGAGUAGUGUACUAGUCAUGACACAUGGUAUGUAGUAGGUGGAGGUAUUGAGUUAGCCAUGCCAUGAGCACUUAGUUACAACAAACACUUUGCCAUUAUCGAGCAUCCCAAAUCACUACAAAAUCCAUAGUUUACCAUAUACUACAAAAUCUGAGUUAAAAUAAGAGCAUACACGGAAGAGUCCGAAUGCACCGGUUUAGGACCAGGCACAUUGAAUUACUAGAAAAAGUUAUCGGACAAGGUUUUGGGUAACCGCAUGAAAAAUGUUGGAUUUUACUGAACACUUAGUUACAAUUACCAUGCCGUGAGCACUUAGUCACCACAAACAUUUAACCACUUUAGAUCAUCCUGAAUCCCUAUAAAUUCUGUACCUUACACCGUACCAUGAAAACGACAAGAACAGAGACAGAUGCAGUGAAAAUCUCCAGAGCAGGCCUGAAAUUAAAAUAAGAGGAGGCAGUCUCUAUCGAUCAGGACACGGAGAUUGCUAGCCAUGACAGAGGAAGACAUGAUAUGAUAUUCACCUCUGAAAUGCAGCGUAGACUAAUGAAGCACAAUUGCAUGUGAGUGUGGCAGAUAAUGGACCAUCGAGACCAUCGAAUGGUAUGAAGCAUGAUUAUCACCUAGACAUGAUAUCCUAGACAGGACGGUGAAUUGUAAAAAGAGUAAUCUUGAUCAAAGAAUGUCCUAAUGAAACGGAACAUUUUUGGUACGUGUAGAGCACAAUAUAGAAAACAGUAGAGUAGUUGUACGAUUGAAACUGCAUCCAUCCACGUGGUCCAUGAAUUGUUGAGCCAACACUGUGGACAUGUCUUCAUGAACACCAUCUAGUGAGGACAGGAUGCAGAAAAAUAUAAAAACAUGUCAUAGGGAGGCAGACCAAUCUUGCAAGGAGGUAAACGAAACGUGAUACACGAUCUGCCUACCUUGUCGUGGAUACCCCAAGAGAAGAUGUCAUAGAGGUGCAGACCAAGCUAGCAAGGAGGUAGAUGAAACGUGAUACACGGCCUGCCUACCUUGCCGUGGAUAUUAGCCCUGAUAUCAUUCUAUUGUUCAAGGAAUAACACUCAAUGCUGCUGCUGCUGCUGACCUGGCUCCAUAAAGUUGUAUUCCUCUAGCCGCUUGCACUAACUUUAUCUGAAGUAUUAUUCUCUCUGCCCUGAUAUCUGAAGUAUUAUUCUCUCUGCUGACUUUGCUGAAGAACCUACAUAAUAUGUCUUGGAACUAACUGACAUUGAUUCACAGACAAACUCUACAAGGUGCUGUUGUUGCCAUAUUUUAGAGCAUCCCAAAGGACUAUAAAUAAUAUAGUUUACCAUAUACCGUAUACCAUUAUAUGUUAGCUAAAAUAAGAGCAUAACAUGUCGCAGGAGUCCAAAAGCACCGGUUGAGGACCAGGUACAUUGAAUUACUAGAAAAAGACAGGGGGCAAUGUUUAGGUAGCCACAUGAAAAACAUUUGAAUUUACUGUUCCAUGAACACUUAGUUACCAUGCCGGGAGCACCUAGUUAACACUAAAAUUUAGCCACUUUAGAUCAUCCCGAAACACCCUCAAUAGCGACAAAUUUUGAUUUAAAUGCCGUCACCAAUGAUCCUCAAUAGCGACGUGUUUAGGUUUAAAUCCCGUCACUAAUAACCCUUGGUAGUGACGUGUUUUGGUUUAAAUCUCAUCCCACUGAUCCUCAAUAGUGACGUGUUUUUAGCAACACACGCUAUGAAUGACUUGUCAUUGGUGACAUGUUAAAUGCGUUAUCUCAAUGGCAAAUCAUUGGUGACGUGUUUUAAAAAAACAUGUCACUGUGAGAGUUAUUGGUGAAGGGUAAUUAAAAUGCAUCACUAAUUUUGUAGCAUUAGUUAUGAUAUAAUUUAGUAACGCAAAAAUCUACCAUCAGUAAUGAGGUUUAGAGCCGUCGCUAAUGUGGGUUUCUUACGAGUGAUGCAAGCUCUACAAGGUGCUGUUGUUGCCAUUUUAAAGCAUCCCAAGUGACUACAAGUUAAUAGCAUAGUUUACCAUAUACCAUAAAAAUAUUAGUUACAAUAAGCACAUCCGCAUGUGGAAGAGUCCGAAUGCACCAGUUGAGGACUAAACACAUUGAAUUACUAGAACCAAAUGUAAGACAAAGAAAGGGGUCAAGGUUUGGGUAACCGCAUUAAAAACAUUGGAUUUUACUGUACCAUGAACACUUAGUUACCAUUACCAUACCUUGAGCAUCUAGUUACCACAAACAAUAAUUUAGCCACUUUAGAGGUUCCAGAAUCACUAUAAAUAAUAUACCAACACCGUACCAUGAAAACAUCAAGAAGAGAGACGGGUACAUGGACCACCAUCAAGUGAGUAGUGACAGCACGCACAAGAAUACCCGGAACCUGUUAGCUUGUCUGUAGUGAUCUGUUUUCUUCCCCAUAAAAUCCAUGAGUAUUGCCACAAAUAAUGAAAGAGGCUGACCAAGCUAACAAGGAGGUAGAGAAAACGUGAUACACGUAGGUUUCAUUCAAGACAUCCAUGUAAGAUUCAUUCAAAACAUUCAUGGAAAUUUCUUGUAAGUUUUCAUGUAAAUUUCAUUCAAGACAUUUGUUAGAGGUGUUGUAUAUAUAUACCUUAACGUACAUAUAUCUAUGAUUUCAUGGUUGUUAGUGAUGGCAGAUGAGGAGCAUGCAAGGUAUUUAAUGGAGCAGAUUAUUGCUAGUGGUAGUGGCUCCAACCUGCCCGUAACGUACACCAACGAAGAGAGCAGCCAGGCGGACAUGUUCCUCAACAUAUCCGGUGAUGGCAAUGAAGAGCCCGAGCAAAACCUUGCCGUGACGGAAGGUUCCAGUGAGGUAUAUAUCAUUUCCAUUGUUUUACCCCAUCUAUAAUUUCAUAUUCAUUAUUACUAUGUACUAAUUAAUGGAUCUUGAACCAUUAGCCCUCUAGAUCAACGAACCGAAAUAAGCCCCGAGGUCUUACAAAGAUAAUGCAGGGAAGGCAUCACAUCACGGAAGUCACAGAAGAGGGCACAUCAGUUGCUCCCGAACAUGUGGCAAGAAAGUACGUGAGUCAAACCGGGCAAUGUGCCCAUCAGCAUUAGGGAAUGAAAGGGCAAUAGAAAUGAUCUAUACACGCCCCCGGAUACACAAAAGGAUAUGCUGUGGGCAAAUAUCAAGAAACACUUCACAUUUCCCAAAGGAUAUGUUGAAAAAGAUGUGAAAGCGUGGAUGCUGAAGAAGAUGGUCACCGAAUUCCAGACAUUCAAGAAGAUGUUGGAUGUCAACUUCAUCAAGAAGGGUCGAACUCCGGGUUUCGAUGAGUGGCCAAAGUUAAGGGACCACUGGGAGUCAUUUGUCAAAUACAAGACGAGUGAAGGUGGUGCGAGUAAGGUUCGCAUCAAUGUUGCCAAUGCUAGCAAGGAGUACCAUCAUCAUCUAGGGCGACGUGGUUACAGCACUGCAAUUCCCAGAUGGCGCAAGAUGGAACAAGACCUGAUCGAUCGGGGUAUCGUACCAGCAACUCCUGACUGGCCUGAUCGAUUGAAAAAUUGGUAUUAUGCUCAUGAAGGCAAUCUGAGCCAACAGGAUGCGACAUUGGUCUUCAAUAAAACAAUACGUCAGAAGGCCGGAAGGCUUAUUAGGAACAUUGAAAAUGCUAAAUCUGGGAGGUUCAAGGUGGAUAGAGAGAAUGAUGAGCUCACAUUGGCCCUUGGGACUAUCAUCUCUAGCAUUUCCAGCUCCAGGACUGUCGUCACCACCGGGACCGUCGCUUCUUGCUCGAUCACAGUCUCCAUCUCCAGCACAUCCUGGUGGUGCGAACGAUGACGACAACAACACCCCUCCCUGCCCACCAUCGCCGGGACUAAGACCCGCAUCGAGUAAGGAACCUGCAGCACCACUGAAGAAGUCGCGACCACCGCCUUCCAAGCCAAGUCAGCAAAAGAAGAAAGCAGAGAAGCCUAAGCCCACUGAGAAGCCAACAACCGAUAUGACCGAUGCGGAAAGAUGGAAGGCACUCAAAGAAGAAUGCAGGGAGUGGUUCUGUAAAAAGAACCAAAGAAAGAAAAGGAAAGCAGAUGGAGCCACCGCCAGUAGAUCCAAGAAAAUUAUAAUUUUUUAUUAAGAUGUCAAAAGGAGCCAAGAAGAUGAUUCCACAACUAUCAAACUACGACCGGGCGUUAGUCAAGGCUGAUGAGAGUUAAAAAAGGAAAGGAAAGUCAUCUUCAAGUGGUACUGUCCCCCACCUCGAGGAUCUACCAGAAAAAGACGCUAAAAAGAUAGUAGCAAUGCUCUUGGAUCAACAAACACAUAUAUCAUGAGAUUCAUGCAAGAAACAGGUAUGUGCCUUGCUGAAUGUCUAGGGCAAGUUGAUAUGCUAGCUCUAGAGCCAUUUGUACCGAAAUGGACCUUUGAGCUAGGCAAGCCUCUAGUAAGGCCUGAGCUGGUACAGAAGCUAUCCACAUAGCUAUAUGAAUACCAUGAAUGGUACAUGAAGCAGUCUGCCAAUGAGAGGAAAAUGUUCGGUCUCAGGGAAAAACUGAUAUUUUUUUUCGGCGAAGGCGAGAAAGUCUUGUGAUGGAAUUCAAGGAUAUAUAUGAAGUGUACCAUCAGGAUGCCCUUGAUGUCUCUCUCAUCAGCGCCUAGGUUAUGUAAGUGUAUGUUUAUCUAUACGUAAUUUUUGUCUCAUAUCAUUAUUUCUUUUGCGUGCGUCACCCUACUAACUUCGUCUUCCAUUUUAUGUAGGAUGCUAAUUCAGAUGUGCCGCAUAGAAGCGCACUUCCAUGUUGGCUUCAUGGAUCCAUCCCUAGUUAACCAAAAGCAGAUACGGAAGUAGCUAGAGAAAAUGUUGGAGGUGGUAUACAACUUCCUGGACAAACAAAACUAUAGAAUAGGGGCAAUAUGUGAAGGUCUUGUAGGAUUCCUAGUGGACAAGGUGAUAAAUCCAUAAGGAGAAUAUCAUUACAACGGACGAGCAUUAGACACACUGAGCAACACCUAGACGGGAGGAUCCUAGGAAUGACCUAGACAGAUUUUGGUAUAAAUAGUAAUUGUGUAAAUACUAGUUUGAUUUGUAUAGGAAUAUACUAAGAAUUGUAUAUAUAGUAAUUGUACAAAUACUAGUUUGAUUUGUAUAAAUACUAGAUUGAUUUUAUUAUAAAAAAGUUUUAAGUCGUACGUGCAUGCGCCUACAAAGGCGCGUAUGCCCUUUAAUCCCGGUUGGAAAAACAAACCGGUACUAAAGGGGCUCGUGCCGCACCUGGCAUGACCGCCCCUUUAGUCCCGGUUGAACGACCCAGGACCAAAGAUCUGCCCCGUCUCAUAAAUUUUAUCCUGGAUGCUUUUUAGAGAGAUUUGAGGCCUAUCAACCAAGACUAAUAUCGAGUUUUCUACCAGUGGAACUAACUAACGUUCACAUGCUUCUGACAUUCACCUGCCAUUUGGUGUAGACAAGGGCACCCUAACAUAUGGUUAAUAUUAUUCAUGAAAGAAAAUCCUUUGAUUCAAAAAUACUUCAAACCUAAUAAUACAAUACUUCUCACAUCUGAAAAAUAUGAGAUGGCCCGACAGUAUUCUAACCGACGCAAUAAUAUUUUGAGGGCAGCACUACUACAGCGACCCUCAUUCGUGCCGGUGCUGGAACCCCUAUCACGACCCUGAUACAAAUGAGGGUACAUUAUUGUUGCCAGUGCUAGAAUAGCCACGAAUAACUUGCUAAACAUGCUGUUACACUCACUACUAGAAAAAUAACCUCUCGUCCUGAGGCUUAGUACCGGUCACUUUUUUGCCCAGUACUAAUGUUAGUAUUAGUACCGGAUCCAAAUUUGGGAUCCCCCAGAGACCCUUUAGUACCAGGUGGAGUCUCCACCCGAUACUAAAGGCUUUGUUACCGGGUGAAGGAUCCUCCCGGUACUAAUGGGGGAUUUUUAGUACCGGGUGGGAACCCCACCCGAAACUAAAAUCUCCCAUGCGGACCCCUCCCCCCCCCACGCGUUGCCUCUGUCCUCCCUCCUCCUCCUCUGAGUAGUUAUCCCUUCCUCAUCCCUCCUCCUCCUCCCACACGUGGGGUGAGGUGAGGUGGCAGUAGCAACGACAGGUGGUGUGGCGGGUCACGGCGGGCCGGAUGCGGAGCCGCAACGGUGGUCGGCGGGAUGGGGUGGGGCAGAGCGGCAUGGCAGGGCGGAGCGGUGGGACGGGGCCGAGGUGGAGGUGCCGGGCGGAGGUGGAGUGGCAGGACAGAGGCGGAGGCGGAGCGGCGGGUCGGCGAGCGGGUGGAGGGUGGCGACGAUGGGGCGGGCAGAGGCAGAGGGGUGGGUGGAGGGGCGGCGUGGUCCACCGGCGGGGGGGGGGGGGGGAGAGGGAGGCGUGGGGGGUGCGGUUGGUGAUUUCAAUUUUCUUUUAAUUUUUUAACACCCUUCAGUACCAGUUAUUUUAACCGGGUCUAAAGGGAUCCCCUCUUGUACCGAAUUGCUAGUACAGGAUGCACAACCGGUACUAGAGGGAGGUUCCCAACCGGUACUAGAGCCACUUUCCCCGGUAGUGACUUUUUCACCGAUUAGAAUAUGUUAUUAUUCUAAUCAGCUUUUGUUGAUCUCCUGUAUAAUUUAGUACCUAAUUCUACUAGCAAUUGUUAACGCCGACACGUAUUGGGUAUAGUCCUAACAGUGUCUAACUAGGGCACUACAUUUGUUAACCUAUAACUACUGGUAUCGAUUAGCCCUGGUUAGAAUACUGUCAAGGCAGCCAGAAAAAAUUGUUUGCCAAUUCUGCUAUCCAUCAGAACCAUGACUAGUACCGUAUUGUAAUAAACGAAUUACACAAAUAACUGAUGCACACAAAGGAAUAUGCACUCGCAUGUGCUAGACGUUCGUAGCAACAACAAAUUACUCUCAUCAUCAAUUAAACAUAAUAGAUUAAACAUUAACUGAACAUAGUUCAACACGUACAUCAACAAGACAAAGCAGUUUAAACAUCAACUGAACAGAACUGAAAACAUACAUCAACUGAUGAUAAACUUCGACAUGAACACAACACAUAAACAUCAACUUCAAUAGAACUUAAUAGAGCAUAUUAAACAACAACAUCGACAAAACAUAUAAACCCAGCUCAGUAGCUCAAGCAUCAACUAAAACUGCUGAAUUAAAAUAACAUAACAUAGUGUAGUUCAUCAUGAUGAUAACUAACAGAACCGAAAAGCCUAACUGGGUAAAAGAGCAAUUCAUUCAUAAUGCUUCAGCACUUACAUCACCGGAGUAUGCAACUGGCGGCGUCGCUUACGUCACUAUCACCGCGCUUGGCGAGUAAAGGAGGAGGAGGUGGCAUAGUAAUCGAAGAGGAGGCCGCUGUCGGCGGGUUUAGACUACGUGGAGGUGUGGGUAGGGUUAAGGUGGCUCUGUGGACGAGUAUAUAUAAGAGGUCUGGGCUUGUUAGAAUAAGAUAACAUUCUAACUGGCCAAAUUCGGAUCCGGUUAGAAUAAAUUGUUCUAACCAGCCUUAAUUCGAGGUGGUAAGGAUAAGUUAACAUUCUAAUCAGCUCUAUUUGGAGCCCGAUUGAAUGUUCUUGUUAUUCAAAAAAAGAUCAAGUUCAUCAAUUUUUUUCUAGAAAAACAUCAAGAUAAUUUAAACACGAUAUAUAACAAGAUUAAUACAUUUAAAAAUUGUUUUCUCCAAUAAUUAACGAUAUUUAACAAAUUCAAAAAAAAUCCAAAUUAACAGAACAUAAUAACCAAUUGUUCGAAAAAAUCAAAAUAGUCCACACAGUAUCAUAUUACAAAUUCAGAAAAAUAUCAAAAUAAUCCCUGAUCCACUCGAUACCGUCGUAGAACUUUGAAAUACUGAGCUUCUUGAUUCAUCUGAGGUCCACGUACUCGUCUCAGUAACACUAGUGGUGGCCAUGCAUCUUGUAGAUGUCUUCUAAUGAAUUAAGCUUGACAUACAAGGUCGUGCCUUCCACUCCUUGAGGAUUGCUUAUGACGUUUCUGCAAAUAACGAAGCAUUGCUUUCUCCAACAUGAUUAUUUUCUUCGGCUUAUCCCAAGGGACAACUAUGGUUUUCCCCUUGCCGGAAGAGGAACGAUGAUCGCCCCCACCAUCGCCACUUCCUCCAGUAGCAGAAGCCAUCUAUGUACAAAAAUUCAUACCUUAGCACUACAGAACUUGUUGAACUUGAAGACUGUGAUCAUUAGGCGAGCAUGUUCUCAACUAGGUGGCACCGCACUUCGUCAUGGAAGAGCUUCGAUUUUACAAAAAAGGGGACAUGAUCUUCCAUGAUGUCCGUAUCCGCUCUUUCUCGUAGAAUCAGAGCUCCUCCUUGAUAUACGAUGCUGCUCGGCGGAGAACAUGCUCACCGAGAUGAACACGGUAUGCAAGUUCAACAAGUAUGGAUUUGAAAAACCAUAUUGAAUUUGACAAGACAAACUAUCUAGAUAAGCGUAGCAUCAUUCUUAAACCACUGCAAGGAUACGUACUAUAUAUGACACAUCAAUCUCCCUCACAUUCUAGCUCAAAAUACCUCUCCAUUUUCUACUUCACAUUCUAGCAAAUAAACUAUCUAUCUCCAUUCUACACAUCAAGUUGUUUUAACUAAUACAAAUCGUAUAUAACAAGCAAAAUAUCCAUCACAUUCUAGCUCAAAAACAUGUAUAAAUACAAAUCCUCUUCAUUCUCCCUUUUUCUAACAAACAAACUCAUUUUUCUCCCUCUCCAAAGCAUAAAUUAAAGCGUAACAUGAGGAUGAGGUAGCAAACCUUCACAACACAUUGGAUGAGUGAAAUUCCCACGAAAAUGAGGGAAAAAAAUUCGGGCAGCACCUCCCUUGCUUCGGCACCUCUAGAGAGUAGGUGAAGCUCAGUUCUCUAUUUUUGUGGUGGACUAGCUUGGGCUGGAGGAGGAAGAAAGGCCUCUGUCUUGGUAUAUAAUGGGGGAUGAGUUUUUAUCCCAGUUAAAAGCUCCAACUGAGACAAAACGGCCAAUCUUUUGUCCCGGUUGGAGCCUCCAACCGGGACAAAAGGGGCACGCCAUCGACGCACGGGAGCUAGCCGUUACAACCGGGACUAAAGGGGGGCCUUUAGUCCCGGUUGCAAAUACCAACUGGGAUUAAAUCUCCCCUCCAUUUUUGCCUACCGUGGUGCGCCCCCUUUUAUCCCGGGUCAACUUUAAACCGGGACAAAAGGGGGCGUCGAAGAUCAGUUCUCUACUAGUGACCCCUCCCCACCUAUCUCUCUCCCUCCAUGCUCCUCGAUCUGUGCCUCCCCUCCCCUCCCCUUCCACUCGCCCCUCACCGACGGUAAGGAGCAGCGGCGGGGCGAGGUGAGGUGGCAGCAGCAAUGGCAGGUGGUGGGUCGCAGCGGAGCGGCUACGGUAGGCAGCCGGACGGGGCAGAGCGGCGGGGCGGGGUGGAGGCGGAGGUGGCGGGUAGAGGCGGAGCGGCGAGGCGGAGGCGGAGGUGGAGGCGGAGUGGUGGGACGGCAGGGCCGGGCGACUAGUAUAGGUGGGCGGGCGGAGGGCGGCGACGGCGGAGCGGGCGGAGGCAGAGGGGCAGCGGGGGCCGCCGGCGGGGGGUGUGAUCGGGGAUUUCAAUUUUUUUUAAAUUUUUUAACACCUUUUAGUCCAACUGGUUCUAAAGGGACCCCUCUAGUAUCAAAAUUGCUAGUACCGGUUGCACAACCGGUACCAGAAGUGGUUCCUAACUGGUACUAGAGCCACUUUCCCUGGUAGAGACUUUUUUACCAGUUAGAAUAUGUUAUUAUUUUAAUCAGCUUUCGCUGAUCGCCAGUAUGAUUUAGUACCUAAUUUUACUGGCGAUUGUUACCGCUGACACGGAUUGGGUAUAGUCCUAACAGUGUAUAACUACGGCACUACAUUUGUUAACCUAUAACUACUUGUAUCGAUUAGCCCUGGUUAGAAUACUGUCAAGGCAGCCAGAAUUUUUUUUUUUUGCCAAUUCUGCUAUCCAUGAGAUCCAUGACUAGUACCGCAAUGUAAUGAAUGAACUGCACAAAUAACUGAUGCACACAAAAGAAUAUGCACUUGCACGCUAGACGUUCGUAACAACAAAUUACUCUCAUCACCAAUUGAACAUAAUAGAUUAAACAUUAACUGAACAGAAUUCAACACGUACAUCAACACGACAAAGCAGUUUAAACAUCAACUGAACUGAACUGAACACAUACAUCAACUGAUGAUAAUUAUCGACAUCAACAGAACACAUGAACAUCAACAUCAAUAGAACUUAAUAGAGCAUAUUAAACAACAACAUCGACAAAACAUAUAAACCCAGCUUAGUAGCUCAGGCAUCAACUAAAAUUGCUGAAUUAAAACAACACAACGUAGUGUAGUUCAUAAUGCUUCGGCGCUUACACCACUGGCGGGUCGCUUACGUCGGCAUCACCGCGCUGGCUGAACCUCCGACACCCCCACCACGGCAAACGGAGGUGAUGGCGGAAGGUGAGGCAACGACAGUAGCUGGUGAGCUCCCGCUCCAAUGUCUCGCGAGUAAAGGAGGAGGAGGUGGCAUGGGAAUCGAAGAGGACACUAGUAGAGAAACGACUUUCCAUCCACCCCCUUUUGUCCCGGUUUAAAGUUGGCCCGGGACAAAAGGUUCACCAACCGGGAUUAAAACUCGGUCACUGGUGGGGGGCUCACCAACCGGGACCUUUUAUCCCGGUUGCAAAGGCUAGUGGGAAAAAAUUACUCUGAGAGGCCUUUUAUCCCGGUUUGAAACACCAACCGGGAUAAAAGACCCCCCCUUUUAUCCCGGUUGGUAACACCAACCGAGAUAAAAGGGUCAAGAGCCUUUUAUCCCGGUUGGAAACACCAACCGGGAUAAAAGGGGGUCUUUUAUCCCGGUUGGUGUUUCCAACCGGGAUAAAAGGGUCCCCCACGAGUUAAUACAAAAGGAUAGUAUCCCCUACAUAGUCAGAUGUGGUGUGUAGGUGGGAUGGUAAGGAAGCUACGCGCGAGGCUGGAGGUUGUGGGUUCGAAUCCCACGAACCGCGCACGCGCAUAUUUCGCGUGAAAAAUCGCGUGACUUGCGACUUGCGCGUGUGGGGGGGCCUCCUGGGAGCUCGGGAAUUUUUUUUUUUUGCAGCGCCGGCCGUGGGUGAACCCUUUUAUCCCGGUUGGUAUUACCAACCGGGAUAAAAGGGGGUCUUUUGUCCCGGUUGAGUGACCCGGGAUAAAAGACCCCCCCUUUUGUCCCGGUUGGUUUAUCCCGGAUGCAUUUUCGAGAUCUUUGCACCCUACCAACCGGGAUAAUAGGUGAGUUCUCCACCAGUGGGAGGCCGCCGCUGGCGGGUUUAGACUACGUGGAUGUGUGGGUAGGGUUAAGGUGACGGUGUGGACUAGUAUAUAUAAGAUGUCUGGGCUUGUUAGAAUAAGAUAACAUUCUAACCGGCCAAAUUCGGACCCGGUUAGAUUAAAUUGAUAUUCUAACCGGUCCUAUUUCUAGGUGGUAAGAAUAAGUUAACAUUGUAAUUGGCUUUAUUUGGAACCCGAUUGAAUCUUCUUGUUAUUCAAAAAAACAUCAAGUUCAUCAAUUUUAAUCCAGGAAAACAUCAAGAUAAUUUAAGCACGAUAUAUAACAAGAUUAAUACAUUUAAAAAUUGUUUGAUUCACAAAUUAACGAUAUUUAACAAAUUCAAAAAAUCCAAAUUAACAGAACACAAUAACCAAUUGUUCGAAAAAAUCAAAAUAAUCCACACACAUUAAUAUAUUACAAAUUCAGAAAUAUAUCAAAAUAAUCCCCGAUCCACUCGAUACCGUCAUAGGACUUUUAAAUACUGAGCUUCUUGAUUCGUCUGAGGUCCACCUACUCGUCUCAGUAACACUAGUGAUGGCCAUGCAUCUUGUAGAUGUCUUCUAACGAAUCAAGCUUGACGUACAAGGUCAUGCCUUCCGCUCCUUGAGGAUAACCAUCUUUGGUGAUCUUGAAAUGGCAGACGGUGGAUGUGCCAAAGGUACGUGACGAUCCUUCUAAAUGUAUGCCACCACAACUUCCGUCUGAUCGCCAUGGGUGACACCAAGAAGAGCUACCAUGCGGCAAGGGACGAACAAUUUAUCAAUUAGUGCCGCUGUCCAUCGCCAUCAUCUAAUCCAGCCAUAUCUUGUUGUAUAUUUAAGUAUAGAAAUUAAGAUUUAAAAAUAAACAGAAUAAAUUGAGAUCGAUUAUGUAUGUAUAUCAGAACAUUAGCUUUUGGAAAAAGGGCUUCGAUGGAAGAGAGGCACGGGGCAUAGAGACAACAACGAGUGACAAUAUGUCAGAAGAAUACCCGAUCACAAUUAUUGGCACACACAGCCGAUAUUUACAGUAGUCAAUACCCCUGGUAAAUAACCACACCAUCAAGAGUAAAUAGUGACAAUAUGCAGUAUAUACACGACAUAGCCUUGGCUGCCGUGGAAGCACCAGAAGGGAGACAAAUAACAGGGACCACUACAUCAAGUAGAUAGUGACAAUAUGCAAAAGAAUACCCGCGCCUGUUAGCAUGUGUGAACUGACCACACCACGAAACGUGAUACACGGCAAGCGUACCAAGGCCUUGCUGUGCAGACUAUGCAUGGACAACACAUGGUACCUGACCGCUUUUGGCCUCAGACACAUCAAAAACUGCAUCGUUCCACGUUGUACAUCCAUUGCUAGUUUAUCUAUAUUACAUAAUAUAUUAUUAGCUAUUUGAAUAGAAUGAACCAAUUAAAAAAUUACGUUGUAUUUUAGUACCGGCUGCAGGAUGGUGUUACCAACCAGUACUAAUUGGCCUGUAGGAGUGAUGGUUAUUAGACUUGGUACUGUUGUUAGCAUCAUUAACCUAAUUGUGCGCCGUAUGAAUUUGGGGAUGCAAAGCUAGCUCUCUAUGAAUGUGAGGGAUGGAAAGCUAGUUCUCUAGUAGUAAUUAUAUAUAUGACAGUCAGGAAAUCGAACACUAUGCUGCUACGAGUCACCAUCAUUUCCUUCAUUGACAAUCUGACAUAGGUGAAGCUGCUUCAAUAAUUUCCUUCGCGCAGUCGUGGAGCUUAUUGGAUUAUCACCAGGACGGGACACGGAAAUGGCCAGCAAUGAAGCUGAUUGCCGUCUGAGGAAGACUACAUACUUACCUAUGAAAUGAAGCGAUUGCAUAGACUAAUGAAGCAUUGCAUAUUUGCAUGUGAGUGUGGCAGAUAAUUCUGCAGGACAUGAUUGCAAUCCACGCACCAUCGAGAAGACUGGGGCGAUGGGGUUGCCUCAUCAAUAAUCACGUGGAUGCAUGCAUGCAUGUUCCCUCAACCGGACAAGGGUCUGAUAUAUGGCUAUAGUAUUACUGAGCCCACAUCAAUAAUUUCCGCUGGUGUAUCGUGUGGGAAGAAUCAACAUACUACACCUCUGAGUUCUUGGAACUAACUGACGUUCACAUGCAACCUCCACAAGGUGCUGUAUGCUUUUGACAUUCACCUGCCAGUUCGUGUAGAGGACACCCUAACGUAUGGUUAAUAUUAUCCAUUUCAUGAGUAAAAUACUGUGAUUCAAAAAUACUUCAAAUCCCUUGAGACAAUACUUCUCACUUGACUAACCACUAACCAACCCCGAAACCCUAACUCAACUCCGAACCCUAACCCCUAACGGCAUAACCACUCCGUUUUGCCGGCGAGAUGGAGGAACUGGCUGGAAGGUAGAGAGGGCAGCGGUCCAGGGUUGAAAACGACGGGCGAGCGCAGUAACAUGUGGAGGAGGAAGUGCCACGUAUUCGUUCACCGCUAUUGGGCAGCGACACACGACACGCCCAAUAAGAUCUUCGCACGGUAGAAGGACGUCAUGUAUUCAAUAAUGUUAUUGGUCCCCCAUGUGCAGAAGGGCGCGCGCGUAUGGAAUAACAAGUAGGGACACUGCAACUAAUCUACUCUGCUCGUCCAGUCCCUAGCCUAUAAAUAGAUGCCAUGCUAGCUCUUGUUGUGCUCACAAUUAAUCCGAUUACACACGAGCUUCUCUCCCUGGCCAAGACACAACCAUAGUAUGAUGAAGAACAUGGCACUAGCCGGCAAUGGUAUGAAGAAGUUAAUCCUCGCUGUUCUCUUACUGUGUCUAGUUAUAGGGCAGAUACAAGUGGAAGCUAAGAGCUGCUGCCCAUCCACCACUGCAAGAAAUGUCUACAAUACCUGCCGUUUCACGGGUACAUCCCGUCCAACGUGUGCAAAACUGUCAGGCUGCAAAAUUAUCAGCGGGAACAAAUGCAAGCCCCCUAACGACCACCUCACCCUUGACCCGGACACUGGUAAAUAAUAAAUUUAUCUCACUUGAUUUCUUCGUGAUUUGAGUCGUUAAUGUAUUUUCCAUCUGAUGAAACGUAUUGGUUUUGCAUUGAAGAGGAAGUUAAUGUGCUUAACUUCUGCAAGUUGGGGUGUGCGUCGUCUGUGUGCAACAACAUCAACGCUGGUAAGCAACUUUUGCUCAGACAGAGAAAACAAUAAUCAUUAAUUAGCGGCAGCUAGAAUCCUAUAAUCUAAUAUAUAUAUAUAUAUAUAAUUUUAUCAGCUCUGGGAAAUGAAGAGGCGAACGAUGCCGUUGAGAGUUGCGACCAAGCCUGCUCUAGCUUCUGCAGCGUGCAUGUUGGCAGCGCCACCGUGGUUGCUUAAGCAAAUGCAUCCAACUAGAUCGUCCUUGUGCUGAAUAAUUGGAUAUCGUAUCCACUUAAAGCUGCCUUGUGUAGUACGUCUUUGUGUCUCUCUUUAUAUUCCAAUAAGGUCGGUGAUCUUGAUGCCACACACUCAGAUGUGUGUUCAUCUCCAGAUACUACUCCAUGCUACCUGCCCUUUGUGUUUUGUUCAAUAACUGGGUAUCAUAUCCCAGCCAGUAUGCCGUCUGUUUUGUGUUUGUUUCCUUCUAGUUCCAAAGGGGUCAUCAUGAUGUUACCUUCUUUCAAUAUGGUGCUUUGCAUGACUACUGUUGUAUGGUACCAUCUUGUGGCCAAUAAGUACAUCUUAUCCUAUGACCUUUGCUAUGACCCUUUGCAAAUAAGUAGAAGAUUGUUAUAAGCGUCAAUACUCCGUAUAAAUUGAUCGCUGCUGUGAGUUCCCUUUCAGCUUAUCGUAGGCAUACAUUAUUGCUAGCACGGUAAAGCCAACCAACACGAAUGAUGAAGUAAACGUAGCGGUACUUCUGUAUACCAACACCCUUACUUAAAUGUACCGGUGUCAUUCCCUACUGGCACAUAUAUUCUUAUAUGCUAGCCAGCUUGUAAAAUUAACCAAUUAAAAUAAUUAUUUCAAGAUAGAAAUAACUUAUCGGUUUCUGGAAGCAUGUGUAAUGUGAAUUCAAGGACUCGACGGAAGUUGAAUCACUUCAUCUAUAUUGCUUUCAGUAUUUUGGGUAACUAAAUUUAACAUUUGCACAUACAAAUGUUAAAGUACAAAUGUUAAAUCUAGUUACCCAAGCAGAAUAUGAAGAUAGUUUAUAGUAUAUAUAUACUAUAUAAAUCUAGUUAACAUUUAGUCUAAAUGUUAAAUCUAGUUACCUAAAAUCCUGAAAGCAAAAUGUAUAAAUAUAUAUCUUUUAAGGCAGUAUAAGCUUCGAUUCCUAUUGCUGCUCUGUUAAAUCUCAUCUUUCGUUGUGGCCCAACACUCUAGUAUGCAUGUUGCACCAAGCUUCUUUGAGCCGCUCUGCCCUCUGAUUUUGCUGCGUAGGGGAAUCUUUAUCAGGUUGGGCUACUUCCAGUUGUGCGAUGUAAAGAUUCGUAUUUUCUAGAAGGUAGACAAAAAACUCGCGUUCUCUUAAGGCAACAACCGGAAGAUUCUGCAGCGCACAGGGCAUACCAUUAUUGUAGAAACGACCUUUAGUACCGAUCUCCAACCCCCUUUAAAACUGGUUUUGCAACCGGUACCGUUAUGUCGGUCCUUUAGUACCAGAUCAAAUAAGUACCGGUUGGUAACCAGUAUCAACUUGUUUUGCGGCCAAAAAAAUAAAGAAAAAAACAGUCAGAAGGCUCGCGCACACGCGCAUCACAUGAAAUAUGCGUGUGCGGGGUCCAUGGGAUUCGAACCCAUGAAAUCAAGCUGCGCGCGACCCUUCGUUACCAUCUCACCUACAUAGCGCAUAUGCUUUCCUGAAGUAACCCGUGGAGGAGGCUUUAGUACCGGGUCAUAACACCACCCGGUACUAAAAAUGACUCUUCAGUACCGGGUCAUAACACCACCCGAUACUAGUAUCGGAUGGUGUAAUGACCCGAUACUAAAAGGCCUCUAGGGACCCUCAAAUUUGAACCCGGUACUAAUGCUAAUAUUAGUAGCGGGUCAAAGUGCAGCCAGAACUAAAGCAUGGGAUGAAAGGUCAUAUUUCUAGUAGUGUAUAGUUGUUGUGAAGGACUGACUUGGCUGUCCUCUCUCUUCUCCAUCCCCUUGGUCUUACGCCGCCGCUCGCACGCGAGCCGGUGCCCAACCAGAGGAGUGAGAGCUAGGGGCAGGUUGGGAGGUGGGGAUAGUGACUGGUGGCCAGGGUGAUGGUUGAUCCUGGUGGGGUUAGGGUUUUAGGGUUUUCGAGCUUCCUAUGGUCGGCGAACCUAGAGGAGGAGCUCAACAUCAGCUGCAACCCGCGAUGGUGGUGGUUUGGCCGGCGCCCGAGGCGAGGCAGCGCGGGAGUGCUGCCGGUGGGUUGGUGUUGGCACUCAUUAUUGACAACUAUUUUGUUCAUAAAAUAACACUCAAACUUGCUGCUGCUGCUGCUGCUGCCAUCGCCACCCUAGCCAUAAUAUAAAGGCAAAAUUUGCUAAAGGACAUGCAAAAUGAUGCUAGUUUGCUGGCGGGCAUCGUUGACCUUGUAAUAUGCUACAAGACACUCUAGUUGUGUAUCAAUUUGCUGAAAGACAUUGCUAUGACUAAAAUAAUGUUUCUGGACUGAGUUGGAGAGAGAGAUGGAGUGAAAUGUCUGUUUUGCCCAUGACCCCACUGGUCAGAUCCUUCUUCUUCCACCCUCCUUUGUUCUUUCUUCAACCAUUACCCAGCUCCAGCGUGUUGCAGAUCUACGAGGGUGGCGGCCUGGGGCGAGGGGCAUCGCUCGCCCUUGGAGGAGCGCUGCGAGCGACGGCGCGGGGGCGGCAACAGCGCGUCAGAACCUGACUGUUCGUUAGCUCCUCUCGCUGCUGGGGAAGGAGGGGGAUGGGCCAUGGACGGGGUUCCCUUGAAAACCUCAGCGUCGAGCUCGGGCGGCUACGCGCAGGCAGCACUAGGCUGCUUCACGGGGAGGGGGCGCGGCCAAUCAUUGGCACCCCACUGGUCCAAUGCUGAUGAAGAUGGUGCCAGCGUCGUGUGAGGACAUCUCAUCUCCUCGAGUUCCAUGGCCAGCACAGGUGAGCUGCCGCUACCACAAAACAGAGGUUUCGUGAGAGUCAAAAAACCUUAUGAAAAUAGCUAAAACCAUCAUGAAAAUAAUCCGUGACAUGACACUCUCACGAAAAUCCUCUCACAAAUAUGGUGCCAUGAAAAUACCAUUUUCAUGAGAGUGAACUGUCAUGAUUUUAUUUCGUGAGAGUAUUUCCUAUCAAUGACCUCCACGAAAUACUUUGUGCCACCAGGUCUUCAAGAUCAUUUUCAUGAGAGCUGAACAUCAGGAAAAGUCCGCCACAAAUGUUUUUCUUGGAGCCCCUAACUCUCAUGAAAAUCAUGCGGGCCGCCACGAAAAACAGCAUGACCAAAUGACAAAUUUCAUUUUCAUGUGUUCAUACCGCCAUGAAAAUGGUCAUUUUCAUGAGAGUUGAUGAAACAAAAAAUAGUGCCAUUUUCAUGAGAGUUCAAGCAACCAGGAAAAGACACUAAUAAACAUCCAGAUCCCAUCCAGCACACAUCCAUGCACAUAUAUAACCCACAUAUUGCUCCAGCACACAUCCAUGCAUAUACAAGAUCCAAAUGUUAAUAUAGUAGACAUCCAUGCCUGAACUAGUCUGCCACACAAGUCAUUGAUGCUACAAAUCCUACAAUCGCAGCAUGUGCAUACAAGUCACAGAAUGAGACAAUGUACCCAAAACUAAAAGGUUAGCAUCAACUGUGCUUCAACCAAAGUUGUCAUCCCAACUCUCCUCUUCAUCCAUGCCAUUCUUGUCGUGGCCGUCACUGUCAGUCCCCAUGGCAUUGCCAAUGCUGUGCAUGUCUUGGUAGGAACCUACAUGUGAUGAACUAGUAACCUGCAAAAAGAGCUCAAAGGAUCUUGUUCUCAUAUUGUAGCUGUGAAAUUCUUACAAGUAGUGUUGCAAUCAGUUCACUUUGAACCAAAAGAGCUCAAAGGAUCUUGUCCUAAAAGUUCCUCAUAAAGCUUAUGGGUUUGCUGGUGGAACUGGAAGGGCUUGAUGCAGCAGAUGCCAUUCUGCAAUAGAGAAAAAUUUAGAGAGCAGUACUAGUUAAAAUUGGAUGCAGAAGAUACACAUGAAACUAGUAUUUAUACAAGUCUAUACAAUUAAAAUCUAAGGAGACUUAUCAUCGUUUUCAUGUGUUGUGAAUUAAAAUAAUGAAGGAUACACUGUUAGGUGAAAAUUCAAGAAACAAAAUUUUGCAUAGAGAUAAAGGUCCAACAUUAUUACAAGUUAAGGUAGUUUUAAAUAUCCUUGUAAUCUUCCUUUGGUUUCCUCAACGAUUCGAAGACAAUAACCUUGCUUCUAUCAAUGAUAAUUAUAAGGAGAAUCCAGUGGAAACUGUGUAUUCGUAUUAGAACUACCUAAGGUUAAUUAGGUUAGGAAAGGAAAUUGAAAAUAGAUGGUACCCACACUUACUUAAAGUUGUCGGGCAAUAGUAUGUAAUGCUUGUAAUUCCGUUGCUCCAAGAAUUUGUAUAUGUGGUCCAAUGUAGACUUUGGUUGAUCCCGUAUCUGCUGUUGGUUAAAUAAGUGUUUCUAGCCAUUUCUAGCCAUUAGAACCGGGACUAAAGGGGGCUCUUUAGUACGGGUUGAUAUUACUAACCGGGAUUAAAGAGCCCCCAUUAGAGUUGGUUUUUGGAUGCGGAACUAACAACUCCUUUAGUCCUGAGUACGAAAACAACUGACAUAUUUGUUGCUGGAUGGAAGGUCCUUUCUCUACCGUGAAUAUUGCCAGAAAGAAUUGAAAGAGACUGCUUGCUAAAAAUAUGUCAUAGAUGUAGACCAAGCUACCAAGGAGGUAGACCAAACAUGAUACACACCAUGCGUACCUUGCUGUGCAGACUAUGCAUUGACAAGAUACCCGACCACAUGUUGGCCUCGGUCACAUCAAAAGAAUCAUGUAGGCCACCAAUAAACUACUUGAAGCGGCAUUCCGUAUCGUAUAUGCAUUGCCGGUUCAUCUGCAUUACAUUACAUAAAGCACUAUUAACUAUUUGAAUAAAAUGAACCAAUUUAAAAGUAAUGUGUUGUACUCUACUAUAGAAAGCCCUAUCACUGCCGGAUCCAAAAACAUCAUUGUUAAUGGUGGUUAAGUACCAAAUAUGACGGUCAAUAUUCUCAAGAAUAAUGGAGAAUUAGCAUUUCUUAGACACAUAUUUGGUUUUGAACAAUGUAGUUCCACAUGUCUUUGGAGAUUAUUUGGGUGUGGGUGAAAUAAUACAAAAAUAAGGAGAAAACACACUCCCAUGGCGAAGAAACACAACUCCAACCAAUGAGAGAUAGCCACAGGGGCAGCACACGGAUCCAUGGGCCCACUAACCGCAUCAAACCAUCUUACCAAGGCAGGUAGCACCCACAACCGUCAUUAGGACCCACCUGGAAGUCUACCAAGAAGAAGGUUGCGAGUGGGGCCAGGAGGGGUUCGGUUGAAUCAUCUCUAGCUAGCUCCCCUCAUCCCCAGCUGGUGGGUGGUGGUGGUUGAUGGUGUCCCUACAUCAGUUAGAGGAGAUUCCCCCAAAUAUUCCUCCUGUAAACCACCUCUAUGGACCUAUACAUAGAGGGGUGUGCUCUCCAUUCCAACACACACCACAAGUUGAAUCACUCUCUCCCUCUUUAGUUUCCAAGUUUAUGGAGUUAGGCUAGAGUAGCUCUGCUCAAGGUUCCAAGUCCACUUGGAGUUAAGCAUAUGUCUCUUGUAUCGUUAUUUCCUAAAUUGACUUUAUGCUUAGUUCUUAUAUGCAUGAGUUAGUCUAAUACCCUUGCUAUAUUGAUAUGCUCGGCUUAUAUGCUCGUAUGCUAGUCAUAUACCCUUGCUGUCGUAGUAUAGGCUUAUAUGCUCUCAUGUGUGCCUGUAGACCUUGCUAUAGUAUAUACUUGUUGUGCAUACAUACCAUGUAUAGGCUAGUCGAUCUAUACCAUGGCAUUGGUUCAAUAGCCAUGUUUUUGGUGGCUCCAACCCUAGUCACAAUAGCUCGGGACAGCUGGAGUGUUGUUAAAAAUGCAAGAGUGGUGCUUGGGUUGUUUAGCAUCGUUGGAUAUGGGUUUGCCCCACGGGUUUCUAACGGUAGGCGGCAGCUAGUGACAUCCCUGUCCGUCCUUCGUAAUCCCCCCACAUUCAGGUACGCCAUAAAUGUUCGUAAAUUAGCAGUAACUACGCCGGUACACCUGUAGGGUAUUGUCUCCCUGUAGUACCUUGGUGCAUAGAACUAAGUCCUAUACACUGUGUGUGUAUGUUUACGCUGAUAUGAUCUGUGCAGUAUAUAGGAUGUAUAUAUGAACCUAGAGCUAACUCCUAGUCCGUUCUCCAUAGCUUAGUUAUCUUGAGAUGAUUCUUCUGUAUGUGUAACACUACCCAUCUUAUCAUUAUCCUUGAUCCUGUCUUGUGUAAUAUAUCUACUCAUCCUAUGAUAUACUCAUAUGCAUAGUAAACUAUUUUGACCUACCCGCCUUCCUUUGGGAAAUAUGAUACCUUGGAAUAAUCCUAGGUGAAAUCCUACAACGGUAUAUCCAUGUAAAUGCGGAUUUAUUCAUGACCAUUAAAUAUACCAACAAUCAUCACUGUGAGUUUUGGGCGUCGUUAGUGAAGGGUUGGUAGUGAUGGGCAUCCCCUUCACCAAUGGACCUGGAACCGGCGGUGAUGGCUAUUAUAAAAAAGGGGACACCACCCAGCGUACCCCACGACCCGGCCGGCCGCACCUCCCAUCAUCCCCGCCAGCCGCCCUUCCUUUUCGCCGGCCGAGCAUGGUCCCGGCCUUUGUCCCUACCACCUCGCCUCCACCGCGACCCCCCGCCGAUGCCCUCGUGCCUGGCCCCCCUCAUCUUGCCGGCCACCCUCCCGAUGCGUCCACUGGGGCCCUCGCACCACCAACCGCCCUUGCUUAGAGAGGGAGAGAGAGGAGGGAGGUGAGGCCACGCACCUCGUCCUACACCGCCGCUGUUUCUCCUCGGCCCACCGCGCCUCACCCCACACCACAGCCGCGCCUUGCCAUCUUACCGGCUGUGACGCCUCAUCUCACCGGCCACCGUUCCUCACCCCCACUUCGGUCGUCGCCGCUCCUUGCCCUACCGCUGCUCUUUGCCGCUGCGAAUGAGCGCCGAGUGGAGGAGGAGGGAUGGGGCAGGAGGAGGGCAAGAUCCGGGAGGAAGGGAGAGAUCUCGGGAGGUGGAGAUGGAAGGAUAUGGCGGAAGGGAGAGAUCCAGAGGGAGAGAGCAGGGGAGAGAGGGGGGCGUGUGGGGAGAGAGCGCGUGUGGGGUGGGGCCGGGCUGGUGGGAUGGAAGGGAGAGGGGCUAGACGGGCGCAGUGCAUUCAACUGGAUGAAGUAAAUAUUUUGGAUUCGAGACCCCAGCUUUAUUAUCACCGCUGGUCCGUAGUACCAUCCGGUGCCUGCUCGUAAUUUAAUUUGAAUCUGCGGUGAUGUUUUAUUAUCACCAUCGGAUCAUAUAAAAAUCCGGCGGUUAAAAAUCCGCUGGUUUCGAUGAAAACCGACGGUGAUAGGAUGACUGUGAUAGUCUCUUCUCUAGUAGUGGUAUAUUAGUACCGGCUGCCGGAUGGUGUUGCCGACCAGUACUUCUCCGGGGGCGAUUCAGUACUGCUGUUAGCAAAGCUUGUUCUCUAUGAAUUUGGGGAUGGAAAGCUAGUUCUCUAGUUGUGAUUUGUUACAUAUAUAUCUAUGAUAGUCUAGAAAUUGCAUGUCCUUCGUUGACAUAGUUGAAGCUGCUUCAAGAAUUUACUUCGUGCAGUCGUGCAGCAUAUUGGAUUAUCACCUAGACAGGAUACAUAGGUGAAGCAUUGGAUGUGAUUGUGGCCGAUAAUUAUGCAGGACGCUGUUGCAAUCAACCACCAAGAAGUCUGGAGUGAUGGGGUUGCCUCAUCAAUAAUUUUUAUAUAUGGCUGCAGUAUUAUUAAGCCCACGUCAAUAAUUUUUUGUCCGCACCAUAUAUCGAUGGGGUUGCCUCAUCAAUAAUUCGCGCAACCAGACAAGCUGCAGACUCAAUAUGGUACGAAGCUAGUUGCUCAGCCCACAUGCUCUGAUAUAACAUUGACAUCUGCUGAUCUACAGUAUAUAUGACCAGAAAUAUUGUGCCCACCUCAAUAACUUUCUGAAGUAUCGUGGGGAAGAACCUACGCGUACUAUGCCUCGGAACUAACUGACAUAUCGGCCCAGGCGGUCUAGGCCGAUUGGACUGGCUCUUCCUUGUGGCUUCUCACAUCCCCUUCGUCCCCAAGUAAUUUCAGGUGUUCUGUAGUUUUCUUUUCACUUGCAUCUGAGCCUCCUAUAUCAAUAGCUUCGGGAUAAGAAUGCCUCUUGAUAACCUUCCAAAUCCUCGCUUGAUUCACAUUGAUUCCGAAAUCAUCUUGCCAUAUCUUCAGAGACUUAGGUCCUAAGGCAUCAUGGAGGAUUGCUCGCCAAGAAUGAGCACCAUUGGGCUCCUGAGGACCCUAGGCCGAUCAGCCCGGGCUCUAUAGGUCGAUUGGCCCAGGCCCUCUCUGGGCCUGUUGGCCUUCAUCUUUCUUUGAGUCGACGCUUAUUCAGGGCUUUGUCCAAUUAUAGUCCAUUAUAGUCUAAUUUCCUAAAAAACAGAAUGUCCUCCAAAAUACAAUGCAUAUGUGAAAACAACCCAAUUAUUAGGUAUGAUCAAUAGUUUAGGUAUUAAAUUAAUAUUAUUAUUUAAGAUAAACAGGGGUAAAGGGUGUCAUUAAUAACAAGCGCCAACAAGCGUCCUAGCUGUUCAAUAAAUUUUUUCUAGUACCGAUUGGUAACACUAACCGGUGCUAAUAUGUACCCUUUAUUACCGGUUAUUUUACCAGGUACUAAAGGAGACAAGAGCAUCCUAACAUAAGGUUAAUAUCAUCCAUUUCAUGAGUAAAAUACUAUGAUUCAAAAAUAAUUCAAAUCCCUUAAGACAAUACCUAUCAAAUGAGUAAAUUGUAAAUAGAGUAAUCUUGAUCAAACAAUGUCCUAAUGAAACGGAACACUUCUGGUUCGUGUAGAGCACAAUAUAGAAAACAGUAGGGUAGCUGUAUGAUUGACACGUGGUCCAUUAAUUAUUGAGCCAACACUAUGGACAUGUCUUCAUGAGUAGUGUACUAGUCAUAAUACAUGGUAUGCAGUAGGUGGAGGUAUUGACUUAGCCAUGCUAUGAGCACUUAGUUACAACAAACACUUUGCCAUUAUCGAGCAUCCCAAAUCACUACAAAAUCCAUAGUUUACCAUAUACUACAAAAUCUGAGUUAAAAUAAGAGCAUACACGGAAGAGUCCGAAUGCACGGCACAUUGAAUUACUAGACAAAAUUUAUGGGACAAGGUUUUGGGUAACCGCAUGAAAAAUAUUGGAUUUUACUGAACACUUAGUUACAAUUACCAUGCCCGUGAGCACUUAGUCACCACAAACAUUUAACCACUUUAGAUCAUCCUGAAUCCCUAUAAAUUCUAUACCUUACACCGUACCAUGAAAACGACAAGAACAGAGACAGAUGCGGUGAAAAUCUCCAGAGCAAGCCUGAAAUUAAAAUAAGAGGAGGCAGUCACUAUCGACAGGACACGGAGAUUGCUAGCCAUGACAGAGGAAGACAUGAUAUGAUAUUCACCUCUGAAAUGCAGCGUAGACUAAAUGAAGCACAAUUGCAAGUGAGUGUGGCAGAUAAUGGACCAUCGAGACCAUCGAAUGGUAUGAAGCAUGAUUAUCACCUAGACAUGAUAUCCUAGACAGGACGGUGAAUUGUAAAAAGAGUAAUCUUGAUCAAAGAAUGUCCUAAUGAAACGGAACAUUUUUGGUACGUGUAGAGCAAAAUAUAGAAAACAGUAGAGUAGUUGUACGAUUGAAACUGCAUCCAUCGACGUGGUGCAUGAAUUGUUGAGCCAACACUGUGGACAUGUCUUCAUGAACACCAUCUAGUGAGGACAGCAUGCAGAAAAAUAUAAAAACAUGUCAUAGGGAGGCAGACCAAUCUUGCGAGGUAGACGAAACGUGAUACACGAUCUGCCUACCUUGUCGUGUGGAUACCCCAAGUGAAGAUGUCAUAGAGGUGCAGACCAAGCUAGCAAGGAGGUAGAUGAAACGUGAUACACGGCCUGCCUACCUUGCCGUGGAUAUUAGUCCUGAUAUCAUUCUAUUGUUCAAGGAAUAACACUCAAUGCUGCUGCUGCUGCUGACCUGGCUCCAUAAAGUUAUAUUCCUCUAGCCGCUUGCACUAACUUUAUCUGAAGUAUUAUUCUCUCUGCACUGUAUAUAUGGUUACGGAGUUUGCUGGAGUAUCCGGGGGGAAGAACCUACAUAAUAUGUCUUGGAACUAACUGACAUUGAUUCACAGACAAGGUGCUGUUGUUGACAUGGUACAGUAAAUAAUAUAGUUUACCAUAUACCGUAUACCAUUAUAUGUUAGCUAAAAUAAGAGCAUAACAUGUCGCAGGAGUCCAAAAGCACCGGUUGAGGACCAGGUACAUUAAAUUACUAGAAAACAAAAGGGGACAAGGUUUAGGUAGCCACAUGAAAAACAUUUGAAUUUACUGUACCAUGAACACUUAGUUACCAUGCCGGGAGCACCUAGUUAACACUAACAUUUAGCCACUUUAGAUCAUCCCGAAACACCAAUGACCCUCAAUAGCGACAAAUUUUGGUUUAAAUGCCGUCACCAAUGAUCCUCAAUAGUGACGUGUUUAGGUUUAAAUCCCAUCACUAAUAACCCUUGGUAGUGACGUGUUUUGGUUUAAAUCUCAUCACCACUGAUCCUCACUAGUGACGUGUUUUUAGCAACACACGUUAUGAAUGACUUGUCAUUGGUGACAUGUUAAACGCGUUAUCUCAAUGGCAAAUCAAUGGUGACGUGUUUAAAAAAACAUGUCACUGUGAGAGUUAUUGGUGAAGGGUAAUUAAAAUGCAUCACUAAUUUUGUAGCAUUAGUUAUGAUAUAAUUUUGUAACGCAAAAAUCUACCAUAGUAAUGAGGUUUAGAGCCAUCACUAAUGUGGGUUUCUUAUCGUAGUGAUGCAAGCUCUACAAGGUGCUGUUGUUGCCAUUUUAAAGCAUCCCAAAUGACUACAAGAGUCCGGUUGAGGACUAAACAAAUUGAAUUACUAGAACCAAAUGUAUGUCCAGAACAAAGAAAGGGGUCAAGGUUUGGGUAACCGCAUUAAAAACAUUGAAUUUUACUGUACCAUGAACACUUAGUUACCAUUACCAUGCCUUGAGCACCUAGUUACCACAAACAUUAAUUUAGCCACUUUAGAGGUUCCACAAUCACUAUAAAUAAUAUACCAACACCGUACCAUGAAAACAUCAAGAAGAGAGACGGGUACAUGGACCACCAUCAAGUGAGUAGUGACAGCACGCACAAGAAUACCCGGAACCUUUUAGCUUGUCUGUAGUGAUCUGUUUUCUUCGCCACAAAUAAUGAAAGAGGCUGACCAAGCUAGCAACGAGGUAGAGCAAACGUGAUACACGUAGGUUUCAUUCAAGACAUCCAUGUAAGAUUCAUUCAAAACAUUCAUGGAAAUUUCUUGUAAGUUUUCAUGUAAAUUUCAUUCAAGACAUUUGUUAGAGGUGUUGUAUAUACACUUAACGUACAUAUAUCUAUGAUUUCAUGGUUGUUAGUGAUGGCAGAUGAGGAGCAUGCAAGGUGUUUAAUGGAGCAGAUUAUUGCUAGUGGUAGUGGCUCCAACCUGCCCGUAACGUACACCGACGAAGAGGGCAGCCAGGCGGACAUGUUCCUCAACAUGUCCGGUGAUGGCAAUGAAGAGCCCGAGCAAAACCUUGCCGUGACGGAAGGUUCCAUCGAGGUAUAUAUCAUUUCCAUUAUUUUACCCCAUCUAUAAUUUCAUAUUCAUUAUUACUAUGUGCUAAUUAAUGAAUCUUGAACCGUUAGUCCUCUAGAUCAACGAACCGAAAUAAGCCCCGAGGUCUUACAAAGAUAAUGCAGGGAAGGCUUCACAUCAUGGAAGUCACAGAAGAGGGCACAUCGGUUGCUCCCGAACAUGUGGCAAGAAAGUACGUGAGUCAAACCGGGGCAAUCGUAAGGGACAACAUGCCCAUCAGCAUCAGGGAAUGAAAGAGCAAUAGAAAUGAUCUAUACGCACCCCCGGAUACACAAAAGGAUAUGUUGUGGGCAAAUAUCAAGAAACACUUCACAUUUCCCAAAGGAUAUGUUGAAAAAUAUGUGAAAGCGUGGAUGUUGAAGAAGAUGGCCACCCAAUUCCAGACAUUCAAGAAGAUGUUGGAUGCCAACUUCAUCAAGAAGGGUCGAACUCCGGGUUUCAAUGAGUGGCCAAAGUUAAGGGACCACUGGGAGUCGUUUGUCGAAUACAAGACGAGCGAAGGUGGUGCGAGUAAGGUUCACAUCAAUGUUGCCAAUGCUAGCAAGGAGUACCAUCAUCAUCUAGGGCGACGUGGUUACAGCUCUGCAAUUCCCAGAUGGCGCAAGAUGGAACAAGACCUGAUCGAUCGGGGUAUCGUACCAGCAACUCUUGACUGGAUCGAUUGAAAAAUUGGUAUUAUGCUCAUGAAGGCAAUCUGAGCCAAGAGGAUCCGACAUUGGUCUUCAAUAAAACAAUACGUCAGAAGGUCGGAAGGCUUAUUAGGAACAUUGAAGAUGCUAAAGCUGGGAGGUUCAAGGUGGAUAGAGAGAAUGAUGAACUCACAUUGGCCCUCGGGACUGUCAUCUCUAGCACUUCCAGCUCCAGGACUAUCGUCACCACCGGGACCGUCGCUUCCUGCUCGAUCACAGUCUCCAUCUCCAGCACAUCCUGGUGGUGCGAGCGACGACGACAACAACACCCCUCCCUGCCCACCAUUGCCGGGACUAAGACCCGCAUUGAGUAAGGAACCUGCAACACCACUGAAGAAGUCGCGACCACCACCUUCAAGGCAAGUCAGCAAAAGAAGAAAGCAGAGAAGCCUAAACCCACUGAGAAGCCAGCGACUGAUAUGACCGAUGCGGAAAGAUGGAAGGCACUCAAAGAAGAAUGCAGGGAGUGGUUCAGCGAAGGCGAAGGUGAGAAAGUCGUAUGAAUCGAAUUCAAGGAUAUAUAUGAAGUGAACCAUCAGGAUGCCCUUGAUGUCUCUCUCAUCAGCGCCUAGGUUCUGUAAGUGUAUGUUUAUCUAUAAGUAAAUUUUGGCUCAUAUCAUUAUUUUUUUUGCGUGCGUCACCCUACUAACUUCGUCUUCCAUUUUAUGUAGGAUGCUAAUUCAGACGUGCCGCAUAGAAGCGUACUUCCAUGUUGGAUUCAUGGAUCCAUCCCUAGUUAACCAAAAGCCGAUACGGAAGUAGCUAGAGAAAACGUUGGAGGUGGUGUACAACCUCCUGGACAAACUAAACUACAGAAUAGGGGCAAUAUGUGAGGGUCUUGUAGGAUUCCUAGUGGACGAGGUGAUAAAUCCAUAAGGAGAAUAUCAUUCCAACGGACGAGCAUUAGACACACUGAGCAACACCUAGAUGGGAGGAUCCUAGGAAUGACCUCGACAGAUUUUGGUAUAAAUAGUAAUUGUGUAAAUACUAGUUUGAUUUGUAUAGGAAUAUACUAAGAAUUGUAUAUAUAGUAAUUGUACAAAUACUAGUUUGAUUUGUAUGAAUACUAGAUUGAUUUUAUUAUAAAAAAGUUUUAAGUCGUACGUGCAUGCGCCUACAAAGGCGCGGAUGCCUUUUAAUCCCAGUCGGAAAAACAAACUGGUACUAAAGGGGCUCGUGCCGCACCUGGCAUGACCACCCCUUUAGUCCCGGUUGAACGACCCAGGACUAAAGAUCUCCGCGUCUCAAAAAUUUUAUCUCGGAUGCUUUUUAGAGAGAUUUGAGGCCUAUCAACCAAGACUAAUAUCGAGUUUUCUACCAGUGAAACUAACUAACGUUCACAUGGUUUUGACAUUCACCUGCCAUUUGGUGUAGACAAGGGCACCCUAACAUAUGGUUAAUAUUAUUCUUGAAAGAAAAUCCUUUGAUUCAAAAUACUUCAAACCUAAUAAUACAAUACUUCUCACAUCUGAAAAAUAUGAGACGGCCCGACAGUAUUCUAAUCGACGCAAUAAUAUUUUGAGGGCAGCACUACUACAGCGACCCUCAUUCGUGCCGGUGCUGGGACUCCUAUCACGACCCUGAUACAAAUGAGGGUACAUUAUUGGUGCCAGUGCUAGAACAGCCACGAAUAACUUGCUAAACGUGCUGUUACACUCACUACAGGGACCAAGAAGGUAGAUAAAUUACACGACAUAGCCUUGGUUGCCGUGGAAGCGCCAAGAAGGGAGACAAAUUACAGGGACCACACCAUCAAGUAGAUAGUGACAAUAUGCAAAAGAAUACCCGCGCCUGUUAGCAUGUGAACUGACCACACCACGAAACGUGAUACACGGCAAGCGUACCAAGGCCUUGCUGUGCAGACUAUGCAUGGACAACACAUGGUACCUGACCGCUUUUGGCCUCAGACACAUCGAAAAACUGCAUCGUUCCACGUUGUACAUCCAUUGCUAGUUUAUCUAUAUUACAUAAUAUAUUAUUAGCUAUUUGAAUAGAAUGAACCAAUUAAAAAAUUGCGUUGUAUUUUUAGUACCGGCUGCAGGAUGGUGUUACCAACCAGUACUAAUUGGCCUGUAGGAGUGAUGGUUAUUAGACUUGGUACUGUUGUUAGCAUCAUUAACCUAAUUGUGCGCCGUAUGAAUUUGGGGAUGCAAAGCUAGCUCUCUAUGAAUGUGAGGGAUGGAAAGCUAGUUCUCUAGUAGUAAUUAUAUAUAUGACAGUCAAGAAAUCGAACACUAUGCUGCUACGAGUCACCAUCAUUUCCUUCAUUGACAAUCUGACAUAGGUGAAGCUGCUUCAAUAAUUUCCUUCGCGCAGUCGUGGAGCUUAUUGGAUUAUCACCAGGACGGGACACGGAAAUGGCCAGCAAUGAAGCUGAUUGCCGUCUGAGGAAGACUACAUACUUACCUAUGAAAUGAAGCGAUUGCAUAGACUAAUGAAGCAUUGCAUAUUUGCAUGUGAGUGUGGCAGAUAAUUCUGCAGGACAUGAUUGCAAUCCACGCACCAUCGAGAAGACUGGGGCGAUGGGGUUGCCUCAUCAAUAAUCACGUGGAUGCAUGCAUGCAUGUUCCCGCAACCGGACAAGGGUCUGAUAUAUGGCUAUAGUAUUACUGAGCCCACAUCAAUAAUUUCCACUGGUGUAUCGUGUGGGAAGAAUCAACAUACUACACCUCGAGUUCUUGGAACUAACUGACGUUCACAUGCAACCUCCACAAGGUGCUGUAUGCUUUUGACAUUCACCUGCCAGUUCGUGUAGAGAAGGACACCCUAACGUAUAGUUAAUAUUAUCCAUUUCAUGAGUAAAAUACUGUGAUUCAAAAAUACUUCAAAUCCCUUGAGACAAUACUUCUCACUUGACUAACCACUAACCAACCCCGAAACCCUAACUCAACUCCGAACCCUAACCCCUAACGGCAUAACCACUCCGUUUUGCCGGCGAGAUGGAGGAACUGGCUGGAAGGUAGAGAGGGCAGCGGUCCAGGGUUGAAAACGACGGGCGAGCGCAGUAACAUGUGGAGGAGGAAGUGCCACGUAUUCGUUCACCGCUAUUGGGCAGCGACACACGACACGCCCAAUAAGAUCUUCGCACGGUAGAAGGACGUCAUGUAUUCAAUAAUGUUAUUGGUCCCCCAUGUGCAGAAGGGCGCGCGCGUAUGGAAUAACAAGUAGGGACACUGCAACUAAUCUACUCUGCUCGUCCAGUCCCUAGCCUAUAAAUAGAUGCCAUGCUAGCUCUUGUUGUGCUCACAAUUAAUCCGAUUACACACGAGCUUCUCUCCCUGGCCAAGACACAACCAUAGUAUGAUGAAGAACAUGGCACUAGCCGGCAAUGGUAUGAAGAAGUUAAUCCUCGCUGUUCUCUUACUGUGUCUAGUUAUAGGGCAGAUACAAGUGGAAGCUAAGAGCUGCUGCCCAUCCACCACUGCAAGAAAUGUCUACAAUACCUGCCGUUUCACGGGUACAUCCCGUCCAACGUGUGCAAAACUGUCAGGCUGCAAAAUUAUCAGCGGGAACAAAUGCAAGCCCCCUAACGACCACCUCACCCUUGACCCGGACACUGGUAAAUAAUAAAUUUAUCUCACUUGAUUUCUUCGUGAUUUGAGUCGUUAAUGUAUUUUCCAUCUGAUGAAACGUAUUGGUUUUGCAUUGAAGAGGAAGUUAAUGUGCUUAACUUCUGCAAGUUGGGGUGUGCGUCGUCUGUGUGCAACAACAUCAACGCUGGUAAGCAACUUUUGCUCAGACAGAGAAAACAAUAAUCAUUAAUUAGCGGCAGCUAGAAUCCUAUAAUCUAAUAUAUAUAUAUAUAUAUAAUUUUAUCAGCUCUGGGAAAUGAAGAGGCGAACGAUGCCGUUGAGAGUUGCGACCAAGCCUGCUCUAGCUUCUGCAGCGUGCAUGUUGGCAGCGCCACCGUGGUUGCUUAAGCAAAUGCAUCCAACUAGAUCGUCCUUGUGCUGAAUAAUUGGAUAUCGUAUCCACUUAAAGCUGCCUUGUGUAGUACGUCUUUGUGUCUCUCUUUAUAUUCCAAUAAGGUCGGUGAUCUUGAUGCCACACACUCAGAUGUGUGUUCAUCUCCAGAUACUACUCCAUGCUACCUGCCCUUUGUGUUUUGUUCAAUAACUGGGUAUCAUAUCCCAGCCAGUAUGCCGUCUGUUUUGUGUUUGUUUCCUUCUAGUUCCAAAGGGGUCAUCAUGAUGUUACCUUCUUUCAAUAUGGUGCUUUGCAUGACUACUGUUGUAUGGUACCAUCUUGUGGCCAAUAAGUACAUCUUAUCCUAUGACCUUUGCUAUGACCCUUUGCAAAUAAGUAGAAGAUUGUUAUAAGCGUCAAUACUCCGUAUAAAUUGAUCGCUGCUGUGAGUUCCCUUUCAGCUUAUCGUAGGCAUACAUUAUUGCUAGCACGGUAAAGCCAACCAACACGAAUGAUGAAGUAAACGUAGCGGUACUUCUGUAUACCAACACCCUUACUUAAAUGUACCGGUGUCAUUCCCUACUGGCACAUAUAUUCUUAUAUGCUAGCCAGCUUGUAAAAUUAACCAAUUAAAAUAAUUAUUUCAAGAUAGAAAUAACUUAUCGGUUUCUGGAAGCAUGUGUAAUGUGAAUUCAAGGACUCGACGGAAGUUGAAUCACUUCAUCUAUAUUGCUUUCAGUAUUUUGGGUAACUAAAUUUAACAUUUGCACAUACAAAUGUUAAAGUACAAAUGUUAAAUCUAGUUACCCAAGCAGAAUAUGAAGAUAGUUUAUAGUAUAUAUAUACUAUAUAAAUCUAGUUAACAUUUAGUCUAAAUGUUAAAUCUAGUUACCUAAAAUCCUGAAAGCAAAAUGUAUAAAUAUAUAUCUUUUAAGGCAGUAUAAGCUUCGAUUCCUAUUGCUGCUCUGUUAAAUCUCAUCUUUCGUUGUGGCCCAACACUCUAGUAUGCAUGUUGCACCAAGCUUCUUUGAGCCGCUCUGCCCUCUGAUUUUGCUGCGUAGGGGAAUCUUUAUCAGGUUGGGCUACUUCCAGUUGUGCGAUGUAAAGAUUCGUAUUUUCUAGAAGGUAGACAAAAAACUCGCGUUCUCUUAAGGCAACAACCGGAAGAUUCUGCAGCGCACAGGGCAUACCAUUAUUGUAGAAACGACCUUUAGUACCGAUCUCCAACCCCCUUUAAAACUGGUUUUGCAACCGGUACCGUUAUGUCGGUCCUUUAGUACCAGAUCAAAUAAGUACCGGUUGGUAACCAGUAUCAACUUGUUUUGCGGCCAAAAAAAUAAAGAAAAAAACAGUCAGAAGGCUCGCACACACGCGCAUCACAUGAAAUAUGCGUGUGCGGGGUCCAUGGGAUUCGAACCCAUGAAAUCAAGCUGCACGCGACCCUUCGUUACCAUCUCACCUACAUAGCGCAUAUGCUUUCCUGAAGUAACCCGUGGAGGAGGCUUUAGUACCGGGUCAUAACACCACCCGGUACUAAAAAUGACUCUUCAGUACCGGGUCAUAACACCACCUGAUACUAGUAUCGGAUGGUGUAAUGACCCGAUACUAAAAGGCCUCUAGGGACCCUCAAAUUUGAACCCGGUACUAAUGCUAAUAUUAGUAGCGGGUCAAAGUGCAGCCAGAACUAAAGCAUGGGAUGAAAGGUCAUAUUUCUAGUAGUGUAUAGUUGUUGUGAAGGACUGACUUGGCUGUCCUCUCUCUUCUCCAUCCCCUUGGUCUUACGCCGCCGCUCGCACGCGAGCCGGUGCCCAACCAGAGGAGUGAGAGCUAGGGGCAGGUUGGGAGGUGGGGAUAGUGACUGGUGGCCAGGGUGAUGGUUGAUCCUGGUGGGGUUAGGGUUUCAGGGUUUUCGAGCUUCCUAUGGUCGGCGAACCUAGAGGAGAAGCUCAACAUCAGCUGCAACCCGCGAUGGUGGUGGUUUGGCCGGCGCCCGAGGCGAGGCAGCGCGGGAGUGCUGCCGGUGGGUUGGUGUUGGCACUCAUUAUUGACAACUAUUUUGUUCAUAAAAUAACACUCAAACUUGCUGCUGCUGCUGCUGCCAUCGCCACCCUAGCCAUAAUAUAAAGGCAAAAUUUGCUAAAGGACAUGCAAAAUGAUGCUAGUUUGCUGGCGGGCAUCGUUGACCUUGUAAUAUGCUACAAGACACUCUAGUUGUGUAUCAAUUUGCUGAAAGACAUUGCUAUGACUAAAAUAAUGUUUCUGGACUGAGUUGGAGAGAGAGAUGGAGUGAAAUGUCUGUUUUGCCCAUGACCCCACUGGUCAGAUCCUUCUUCUUCCACCCUCCUUUGUUCUUUCUUCAACCAUUACCCAGCUCCAGCGUGUUGCAGAUCUACGAGGGUGGCGGCCUGGGGCGAGGGGCAUCGCUCGCCCUUGGAGGAGCGCUGCGAGCGACGGCGCGGGGGCGGCAACAGCGCGUCAGAACCUGACUGUUCGUUAGCUCCUCUCGCUGCUGGGGAAGAAGGAGGGGGAUGGGCCAUGGACGGGGUUCCCUUGAAAACCUCAGCGUCGAGCUCGGGCGGCUACGCGCAGGCAGCACUAGGCUGCUUCACGGGGAGGGGGCGCGGCCAAUCAUUGGCACCCCACUGGUCCAAUGCUGAUGAAGAUGGUGCCAGCGUCGUGUGAGGACAUCUCAUCUCCUCGAGUUCCAUGGCCAGCACAGGUGAGCUGCCGCUACCACAAAACAGAGGUUUCGUGAGAGUCAAAAAACCUUAUGAAAAUAGCUAAAACCAUCAUGAAAAUAAUCCGUGACAUGACACUCUCACGAAAAUCCUCUCACAAAUAUGGUGCCAUGAAAAUACCAUUUUCAUGAGAGUGAACUGUCAUGAUUUUAUAAGCGUCAAUACUCGGUAUAAAUUGACUACUGCUGUGAGUUCCCUUUCAGCUUAUCGUAGGCAUACAUUAUUGCUAGCACGGUAAAGAGAACCAACACGAAUGAUGAAGUAAACGUAGCGGAACUUUUGUAUACCAACACCCUUACGUACCGGUGUCAUUCCCCACUGCCACAUAUAUUCUUAUAUGCUAACCAGCUUUGAAAAUUAAGCGAUUAAAAUAAUUAUUUCAAGAUAGAAAUAACUUAUCGGCUUCUCGAAGCUUGUGUAAUGUGAAUUCAAGGACUCGAUGGAAGUUGAAUCGCUUCAUCUAGAUUGCUUUCAGGAUUUUGGGUAACUAAAUUUAACAUUUGCACACACAAAUGUUAAUGUACAAAUGUUAAAUCUAGUUACCCAAGCAGAAUAUGAAGAUACUCUAUAGUAUAUAUGUACUAUAUAAAUCUAGUAAACAUUUAGUCUAAAUGUUAAAUCUAGUUACCUAAAAUCCUAAAAGCAAAAUGUAUAAAUAUAUAUCUUUUAAGGCAGUAUAAGCUUCAAUUCUCUGUUAAAUCUCAUCUUUCGUUGUGGCCCAACACUCUAGUAUGCAUGUUGCACCAAGCUUCUUUGAGCCGCUCUGCCCUCUGAUUUUGCUGCGUAGGGGAAUCUUUAUCAGGUUGGGCUACUUCCAGUUGUGCGAUGUAAAGCUUCGUAUCUUUUAGAAGGUAGACAAAAUACCCGCGUUCUGGAAGAUUCUGCAACGUGCACGUUGGCGCUGCCACCGUGGUUGCUUAAGCAAAUGCAUCCAACUGAAUCGUCCUUAAGCUGAAUAAUUGGAUAUGGUAUCCACUGCUUAAAGCUGCCAUGUUUAGUACGUCUUUGUUUUUCUCUCUUUAUAUUCCAAUAAGGUCGGUGAUCUUGAUGCCACACACUCAGAUGUGUGUUUAUCUCCAGAUACUACUCCAUGCUACCUACCCUUUGUGUUUUGUUCAAUAACUGGGUAUCAUAUCCUAGCCAGUGUGCCAUCUGUUUUGUGUUUGUUUCCUUCUAGUUCCAAAGGGGUCAUCAUGAUGUUACCUUCUUUUGAGGUGUCUAUGAUGACUUCGUUAAUAUCAAUAUUAACCAAUUCAAUCUGUCUUAACUAUUUGUAAGGGGUAUGAUGUAUGCAUGAUUAUAACAAUGAUUGCGCAUACAAUCGCCGCCAAAGAAACGGUCAAUACCAUUAAGACAUAUUACAGACAAUUCUCAUAAUCUAUAAUGAAUAUACAUAUUCACUACUGCAGAAGACUGUCAUUUGUAUCGGCUCAUACGUGCCAGGGCAAAGGUCACCCUUGCAUUAAGUACAUUUGCACGGUAAAGACAACCAACACGAAUAAUGAAGUAAACAUGCCGGUGCUUUUGUACACCAACACGCUUACUUAAAUGUACUGGUGUCAUUCCUCACCGGUAGCCGGCUUGAAAAUUAACCAAUUAGAACAAUUAUUUAUUGUAUCGGUGUGAUUUUUGACCUAUUGGAAUAUGAAUUUGACCGUUACUGCAUUCGUCAAGACUCAAGAGAGAAAUAACUGAUCGGCUUCUUAGAGCGUGUGCAAUGUGAAAUCAAGGACUGGAUGGAAGUUGAAGCGCUAGCACUAGUAGAGAAACGACUUUCCAUCCACCCCCUUUUGUCCCGGUUUAAAGUUGGCUCGGGAUAAAAGGUUCACCAACCGGGACUAAAACUCAGUCACUGGUGGGAGGCUCACCAACCGGAACCUUUUAUCCCGGUUGCAAAGGCUAAUGGGAAAAAAAGACUCUGAGAGGCCUUUUAUCCCGGUUUGAAACACCAACCGGGAUAAAAGACCCCCCUUUUAUCCCGGUUGGUAACACCAACCGAGAUAAAAGGGUCAAGAGCCUUUUAUCCCGGUUGGAAACACCAACCGGGAUAAAAGACCCCCUUUUAUCCCGGUUGGUGUUUCAAACCGGGAUAAAAGGGCCCCCACGAGGUGACUGGAAGGUGACUGGAAGGGGAUUAAAUCGUGGGGGACCCUUUUAUCCCGGUUGGAAACACCAACCGGGAUAAAAGGGGGUCUUUUAUCCCGGUUGGUGUUUCCAACCGGGAUAAAAGGGUCCCCCACGAGUUAAUACAAAAGGAUAGUAUCCCCUACAUAGUCAGAUGUGGUGUGUAGGUGGGAUGGUAAGGAAGCUACGCGCGAGCUCCGGAAUUUUUUUUUUUUUUUUUUGCAGCGUCGGCGCUCUCUACCCUUUUAUCCCGGUUGGUAUUACCAACCGGGAUAAAAGGGGGUCUUUUGUCCCGGUUGAGUGACCCGGGAUAAAAGACCCCCCCUUUUUUCCCCGGUUAGUUUAUCCCGGAUGCAUUUUCGGGAUAAAAGCACCCUACCAACCGGGAUUAAAGCUCACUUCUCUACCAGUGUAGCUUCAUCUUCCGCUGCAAGUUAAUUGCUUGGAUAAGAAGUUGUAGCCGCUGCAAGUUAUAAAUAGUCCCGCUGAUGCUGUGCUCCGAAGUCUAUACUAUAUAUGCGGAAACUAGAUUGCUUUCAGGAUUUUGGGUAACUAAAUUUAACAUUUGUACAUAAAAAUGUUAGUUUACGAAUGUUAAAUCUAGUUACCCAAGCAGAACAAGAAGAUAGUAUAUAGUAUAUACUAUAUAAAUCAAGUUAACAAUUAGUCUAAAUGUUAUAUCUACUUACCCAAAAUAUUGAAAGCAAAGAAAGAAUAAGUAUAUAUCUUUUGUUGGAAAAUUGGUCCACGGAGAGGCCCAUUUAGGCCUCGUUCGUUUCACCGGGAUGGGAUUCCAGUCAGGAUUACUUCCAAGUUCGGUUUGAGUGAUUCCACCCGUGUCACUCAAUCCGGCUAGGAUUCAUUCUAUGGGUGAGGAGGUAUGGUUUCAAUCCAGGCCAUCUAAUGUAGAAGGAUUCCAAUCCAGGCCGGUUUUCGUUCCAGGCCAGACUAAAACGAACAACACUUUCAAUGCAAGUCUGGUUUCAAACCGGGCCAUUUCAAACCACCCGGAAUGGACCUCGUUCCAGGCCAAUCCGGUGAAAACAAAUGAGGCCUUAAUGGAAUCCCAAAGCAAGAGUUCAGUGGCAUUCUAUAGUCCCAUGCUGCUAGUUUGAGUUGGUCGAAGCCAACUUAAAUAGGAGAGCUCUCUCACUUCUCUAAAUACGUAACUGAAGGAGAGAAGGGGGCUUGGGUUACACAACGCACGCACGCACGCAUAUUUGCGUUCUUUUCGCGUAACCAACCGCGUGACUUGAAACUUGCGACGUAGCGUGCUGCUAAGUCAAGUUGAUAUAACCUUUUUGCCGUUUGCAUGUAAUCUUUUGACAACGGUCAUUGGAGGUGAUAAGCACGCAGUCAAUACCUUAAUCUUGAGUUAAUAGGGUGGUUACUACUGCCAAUUAGUGGGGCAAUUUUGUAGGGGAAACGGUUAGCAGAGGGCUACCGUCUUCUCUAUAAGAAGUUCUGGAGACGUCCAGGAACACACAUGUACAUGUGAGAGACCCACAAAUUCCUUCCCUUCUCCCUUUUCCAUGUGGUGAAGUGUGCUGUGGUACUGAGCUGCUUGAUCUCGCCGCUCUUCUCCUUGGCAUGCACCGAGGAGGAGGGUGAGCGGUAUCUCCGAGCUAUUGCCGUCAGGAAGCCUGCACGAGGGACAACAAAAAGUUUUUGGGUAGCGCAACUGCCAGCACAACUCUCCCUCCGCCUCUUCUUCACGGUUGAUGGCCACCACAAGCAUAAACCUCGCCUUCGCAUCCACGCAAAAGGGUCGCUGGGGUGCCUUCUUGCAUCGCUUCUCAGCCUCCUUGACUUGCGGCCAGCCAAGAACUGCGCCACCACCUCGGGUGCACGCCACCACUCCAGGGCUGCUACCCCAUGCCUGCGGCCGCCGCCGGCCACCACGCGUGUGCAACCGCGUCGCACCGCUUCCUUGCUUUGUGCCACCACUGCUGCUGUACCACCAGCUCCACCACCUUGGGCUGGUCGCCAGAGUGACUGAUAACUUAUUAUCUGUAACUACUAUUAACUCAGGGAUACAUGCGUCUUUUGCUUCUCCUACUAAUAUGUCCUAAAAUAUCUAGGAUGCCUUAUAUUUCUGGACAGAGGAAGUAUUUGAAUAAAAUGAACCAAUUUAAAAAAAUGUGUUGUACACUACUACAGAAAGACCUAUCAGUGUCAAACCCAAAAAUGUUGUCACCGCCAGUUUUGGGCAUCAUUGGUGAAAGGUUGGCGGUGAUGGGCUUUCCCUUCAACAACGGCACUGGAGCCGACGGUGAUUGACAUUAGAAAACAAAAAAGGGGACCCUACCUAGCCACCCCUGCAACCCGGCCGGCCGUGCCUCCCCUCAUCCCCACCACCUCGCCUCCCCAUGACCCCCCGCCGGCGCCCUUGCGCCUAGCCCCCUCAACUGCCCAGCCGGCCACCCUCAUCACGAGAGAGAGGUGCAUGUUGUAUAAUUGCGUGAAUUUUUUAAUGUUUAAUUUCAUGUAAGUUCCGUGUAAUAAAUUGUACAAGUUUUAUUGUAUAUAUGAAUUCCAUAUAUAUAUAUAUAUAUUUAUAAUUUAAUGUAUGGUUUCAUGUGUAUAUUUCAAUCAUGUGUAUAUUUAGUAGAUUGCCGAUUUUCUUUUUCUACUAGACAAGGGUUGAUGUAUAAUUACGUGUAUAUGUUUAUUGUACGGGCAAUUAGGACAAGUUUUGUAUAAAUUUCUUUUAUUUGAUGGUUGUUGUAUGGUUUCAUGUAUAUACAUUUAUUGUACUACUUUAGACAAUUUUUAAUUUAAUGUUUCUAUGAUUAGAUGUGUGUAUAACUAAUUGUAUUAUUAGUUAAGAUGGGAGCUAAAGAGGAUGAAAGGUAUAUAAUGGAGCAGAUUAUUGCUAGCUCAAACGUUGCAAGAACCUACACCGAGGGUGAGGGUAGCUAGGUGGACAUGUACCUCAACAUGUCCAGUGAUGGCAAUGACGAUGAGGAGCACGAGCAUGACAUCUAUGAUAAUGCGGAACAAGACAUUGCAGAAUUGGAAGGUUCUAAUGAGGUGUGCUUCAUGUUGACAAUCUAGUUGGCUUUUUUUCGUUGGUCACACCUUAGUUACCAUAGAACUUCGUCUCGGGAGAAGAUUGGUGGUGGUAUGGUGAUUGGAAUUUUAUUUCCACGAAAUCUGAUUUCCAUCGAAUCAUAUCCCUUGUAUUUAUCUUCUUUUUAUUUGUGAGAGCAUCUUCUUUAUGCUUGCAAAACAAUUCAAGUGCACAUACUACCCCUAGGGUGACGAUUGGGAGUAGAAAUAAUUGCCAACAAAACAACACCACAUCCUAAGAUUCUUAACUUGUGGCAUAAUUAGUCUAGUAAAAAGAAAGAUAAAAACCUAAUGGGUGUAUGUGAGUGCAAUGUGUAUAUGCAUAUGAGUGGAAGGCAUAUAAGCAAAGACAAUAUUUACACAUAGUUCUAAACACCAUGUUUACAGCUAGGUUGCUGAAUUUCUCCAUAGCCAUAGAGAUUAAUUAACCAAGGUCAAAACACGAUGUCUAUCCCAAGAUCAGUAAUUAUUUAUAGCACAAGAAAAAGAAAGCGCAUUGCAAAGUUUAUAAACCAACCAAUACAGCAUGAAAACAAGAUGAAUAGCUAGCAAGGUUUAUUAAACUGAAUGAUGACGGUCUGUAAGCAAGUUUAAACACCAUCUUUACACAAGAUUGCAAAUGGAAAAUGCCCAUAUGAAGCACUAACAUGGAUAUGAAAUCAUUCAUCAUAAAGCGUAAAGAACAACCAAGCCAACCAUAUGCAAAGCAUGAAUGGAAUGCAAUGAAGGUGCAAGAGAACAUUUUUGGAUGAACACAUUAUGAUGAUGGCAAAAUGCAAUGCAUGCAGAAAAAAUAAAUAUGAACAUGAAUAUGAUGAUCAGGGGCGGACCCACUAUUGUGGCCUGGGUAUUCCUCGGCAUACCCAAUAUUUUUGGGAAAAUGUUUAGUAGUUUUUAAUGGCAUAUACAUGUAUAAUAUAGUUUAGGUGUUAAAAUUGAUAUUCACAGCUAUUUUGGGCUCCAAUUCGCGUCCAAACCAACCUGGCCCACAGACCGCACCCGGCCGCCCGGCCCAUCGGCCCAUCUUGUCACUGAUCCUCCCACCACCACACUCAGCCCGUCAGUUAGUCAGGUCCCGAGCUCCUGCCUGACCUAGUCCGCUACCACCGCCAGGCGCCAGGCACAGCUGUACACGCCGCCCCCGUCCACCCACGUCCGCCGCACGGCCGCGUCGCGCCCCCCCCCGGCGCCCGCUGCUGCCAGAACCCAUUAGGCCUCCACCGGCAAGUCCACCCACAGUCCCGCGCGACGCGGCAGCCUCUUGGCUCUCGGCGCUCGCGGCGCGCCAAUGCCUGCGCAGCCCCAGCAGGCGACUGCCCCCCCCCCCCCCGCAUCGGGCCUCGGCCCCUCCCCAGCUCCCCCUCCCCCCUCCACCAGGACUGCCUGCUGGCCCCCACCGCGAGGUAAUCGAAAUGGACUGCUCAAUCUCUCAAUCUGUUGACAUGAUGCACACGGUUGCAAAAAUAGAUGUGUCAAAAUAGAUGUAUUGCCAAUUGCUAUAGAUGCAUAUGGUUGACAUGAAGAAGUCAAAAAUGACAUUUGGUUCCUUGUAGGCAGUCAAAAAUGAAGAAGUCAAACAAUAUUGAUCUGAAAUCAAUGCGGGAAAGGGCUACGAAGACACACGGGUAGAUUCCCUUGUGAACUUUUUAUGUCGUUCGUCUAAAUAUAUUUUUGCAAUGGGCAUACCCUACUCUGAAAUCCUGGGUCCGCCACUGAUGAUGAUGGUCUAAACAUAAAACAAGCCUAGAUUAAUUAGCUACAACUGAAAUUAAGCAAAGGUUAAUGUCAUUGACCCUAGCUCUAUCCUAGCUUUUACUAAAGUCCCGGCACAUAUAGUGGUUGGGCCCACUCUCUCUACUUCCCUCUCUGCUGCAUGCACACACACGAGCAACUGGAGGCCCAACAAAGCCCAGAAGGGUUCGGCCGAACCCGUCCGAUCCAGUCUGAGCGCCGCUCCCUCCCAGCCUUCGCGCAGAUGCUCCUCCAACGUUCCUUGACCCCUCCCUCAGUGUCCCAUUGGGUUUAACAUUGUAGGAGAGGAGUCCCUUUUUUAAAAUCUCAACCACCUCCUCUCCUCAUUCACUCCACUCUCAUCUCCAUCAAACUCACCAAGAUCCACAUCGGAAAUACCUGCUUACCACCAUGGCUGGCAAAGCCCUCGUCCCUUUCACCAACUUGGGCUUGACCAUUGAUCUCGAUGGGAAAAUCACUCCAGCAAAUGUCAUUGUCCCUGUCGGCGAUCUGGCGAUGGAGGAGGUCCAGGCACUAGAGGUCGAGCCCCUAGCCAUCAUACCGCCCAAGGGGUAAAGCAGGAGCAUGACAGGCGCUGCUAGGGGUUCAGCCGAACUCCCAGUUCAGCCAAACGAGGACGGCGUCGCCUCGGCCUCCCGCUCGACUGCAUGCUUCCCCUUGCCAAGGAGGACUCCAGAACAGCGGGCGCGUGCGUCAAGUCCCUACAAAAGGCUGAAAUACAAUGAAUAUCCAGGGUCACCCUUGAAGAUGGGUGAACGCUACGCCGGGUCCUUGUUUGACUAGUACGGCGAUGCAUUCUGCCACCGCUAUGUCGUUGUCGAGAUUAGCGGAUCAAGACUUAGACUAGUAAAUUUCUUUUAUGCGCGUAAGGCUUCAGAUGGUGGCGUGGGAGACAUGGGUUUUAUACUAGUUCGGGCAAUGGAAUACCCUACGUCCAGUGUCUGGAGCUGCUUGUGUUGCCCACGCGGGGUUCUGUAGUAGGGGUUACAGGUGUGCGAGAGAGGGAGCUAAUCCCAGGUCUCUUAGGCGUGUUCCGGUCCUCUAGAUGGGAGAAGUGUGUUCUGUUUGCUUGGGAGUAUCGGUUGUGUCUGAGUUGUCUCCGGAGCCUCCUCCCGUCUCAGGUCCCCGAUUCUCCUUUCAUAGCACAAGGAGACCAUCGGGGUUACAGACGAGACCGAGCGUGGGGAGGAGUAAAGAGAUAAACAUAGCUAGGUAAAAAUACAACAAGAAAGGGGGGAACCAAGUUUCUAGGUCACCGGCGUCCUCGCCGGCCUUCGACUUCCGCCGGCGCAUUUGUCGGAGGAGGGUGGCCGCCAUCGCGUUCUGUCGAUGGCUUCCUCGGUGACUGUAGCCACCGGGCGUGAUGAUGGCAUUUCGUCGUGACCCUUUGUCUGUUGGGGGAGGCGGCGGAUCCUGCCAUUCUGCUGACGGCUCGCGGAGUGCGAACGUCGCAUCCCUGCCGCUGGGCACGCGGGGCGCGAGAACGUGCGAGGCUUCCCCCUACCCCAGGCGGCGCAGGCCAUGAGUGCCCUGUGGCAAAUCGGAGGAGGCCGCAGCUACUGUAGCUUGUACUGUGCAGCCACGUAUGGGUACUUGUGGCAGGUUGCGUGGUGGAUGCGGAUAUCCUUCUCCCUGACAGAUCUGCGGCGCAUUUAUGGCGAGAUCGACAUGGGGACCCACAAGACCCGCGCCCAAGGCGGAUACUUGUCUGGAGGGCCCGGGUUAGCCUGACCCCCUACGCUUGGGGUCGGGCGAGGCGGAGACUUGCGGCGGGGCGUCGGACGCUCCCGACACUAGACCUGCGGUCGCGCAAGGCGGAGCUUGGUCUUCCGGGGGUCGGGGGUGCCGGACCCCAGGAUGCGGGGUCGGGCGAGGUGGAGCGUAAUUCUUGCCUCCCAUGUUGGGCCGAUGGCAGUCUUUGUUACCUCUAGUGGGCUUGGGCCUUUAUGUUUUGUUGUUUCCAUGGGCUUCGAGAGGUCGUUAAUAUUUCCCCCCAACAGUAGCCCCCGAGCCUGUGGUGGAGUGGGGGCGCUCCUCCGGAGGCUACUAUCAUCGCCCCUAGGGAAUCCUCGCAGUUGAUCCGGGAUAGGAGGUGUUGUUUGCACGGCUUGACCGAGGGGGUCGAUUAGGCGACGCAUCCUGUGAGCGACUCGGUGCGGGAGGGUUUCUUGUUGUUCCCUUCUGUCUGAGAGCCUUAAGUCGAGACCACCUGCGUGGCCUUUGGUUGCAAGGCCAGCCCCCGAGCCCCCGCACGUUGCAGGGGACCGGUCGGAGGCUAGGUCGACUUUUGUUCAUUACCCUCAAGCGUCUGUUCGCUAGGACGGAGGGGGCGAGCCGUGCCAUGCUAUCCUCAUCGGACGAACCAUGGUGCUCAUUGAGUUACUAACGGGUUGAUUCGAGUGGGAUCCCGGUCCCCGUUCGGGGGGGGUCCGGCUUGGGCCAAGCUGGUGGCGUACCCCAGGCUCCGGUCGGCCAGUUCAUAUAGUUCCUGAGUCCGUUCGGUCGGACCGGGGGCUCAUUGCCUUUCUUCGGGGAAAAACCAUGAACUUUGAUGCCGGUCCAGACUCGAAUGUGAGAUUGAGACGCCCGGGGCUGUCGCGUGCCCGGGUGAUGGCCGCUAGCGGACCCGUCUCCUCUCACCCCUCACUCGGGGGUAUCCUGAGGCGGCUGUCGAACCCGUGGCGGGCCAGCCUUCGAACCUCUGGAUCGUAAUGGGCCGUAGGGGCGUUUUCAGCCCCGUAUCCCUUUUUACCUUUUGGUGGGCCUUGGGCCGAAUCAUGGAGGAGGUCGGGCCUUGGGCCGGAUGCGGAGGAUGUCGUGCCUUGGGCCGGAUGUGGGGGACGUCGUGCGUGUCUUCCGGGAGACGAAGUGGUGGAGGGUGCCAACCCGCGAAUCGAGGGAGGAGGGGAUGUUUCUACUGCAGGUCAUGCGCACGGUUUCCGAAAAGGCAGCGGGCGUGACGGGACGUACCUCGCGCCGCAUUUAUUGCGAUGGGGGCGUCUGUUCUGCUUCCCUCGUGCCUUCCCUAUAAAACGAGGACUUCGCCUCGCCGGUUCCGCCCGCCAUCUACCUUCAAGCCUUUUCGCCUCCUCGCGCGCCCUUAGCUUUCCUGUGCCCGCUUCGUCUUCCUCCGCCCAGUGCCGCGCCCUUUCUCCCCAUCCGCCGUCGAGUUCUUCUCCCUCCGGCGAUGGGAUCCUGGGCGCGUUCCCACUUCGGCCCCUCACGCGCCGAAGGCCUAGUGAGGAAAGGCCUCCUUUGCGAGAGGACGGAGACGGAUGAGUGGGGGUUCCCUGAGAUGGAAGAGGUGCCGACUCCGCCCACCGGCUACGUCGUUUCCUUUGCCCACUUCCACGAGAGGGGGUUUGCGACUCCGCCGAGCCUCUUCUUCCGCGGGCUUUUGUAUUACUACGGGCUUGAGCUGCAGCACCUCAACCCCAACGGGAUUCAGCACGUCGCGGCGUUCGUUGCGGUGUGCGAGGGGUUCCUGGGCAUUGAGCCCAACUUCUCGCUGUGGAAGUACUUCUUCACGGUCAGCCUAUACCAGAAGGCCGAGAAGAGGGGAAGCCAGCAGCGGUCGACCCCGGUGCCGAUAGGGUGCGUCGGAAUCCACCUCUGCCAUACUCGCGCCAAGGAGUAUAUCGCGAUGAAGACCGCGGCAUCCCACAAGGGGUGGCACCAGCAAUGGUUCUACGUGAAGAACUACUCCAACCCCCCCUGCCGGAGUUCACCGGCCGCAUUAUUGAAGCGGCGCCGGAGGUGUGGGUGUACGGCCCGGUGGAGAAGGAGAAGAAGCGGAUCACCGGCCUGCUGCAGGCCAUCGAGCACCUGAAGGAGAGGGGACUGACCGGAGCCGGAGUCAUCGGGGCGUACCACGCCCGGCGGGUGGCGCCGCUGAUGCUCCGGGUCCGCUCGCUCGCCGACAUGACCCCCGGUGCUCUCACCGAUGGCACUGUCCUCGCGACGGGUGCUCUCGCUGCCUCCGAGAUCCGGCAGCGGAUCCGGGAGGCGCUGGAGGACAAGGACGCCGAUUACCCGGUGCCCGGCCACCCUCCGAUGCGCCCGGACGAGAAUUUCAUUGAUCUGGUAAGGAUUUUGCGCGCCAGUUUCCCUCUCUUGCGUUUCUUGGUAUGCCGUUCUGACGCGAGGCCCUCUGUGUUUGCAGGGUAGCAUGACCCGGGUCGUCGACUUGCGUCCGCCAGUGUCGGAGGACGCCGAGUGGCGGUAGCAGAACCGUCUCCUUGCCGAGAAGCAAAAGUGACGCAAGGACAAGAGACAGCGAAGAAGAAGAAGAGGGCCGCCAAGGAGUUCCAGCGGCGGCGGUGGGGAUAGGUCGUGUCGGAUGACGAUGACGAUGAGAAGGAGGAGGAGGAUGACGAGGAGGAGGAGGAGUUUAUCCUGUCCCCCCGGUCAGGGGCGCUUGUUAUCCGGGAGCCGCGCUCCCAAGCGGCCAUGGGGGACAAGGCGGGCGAGCUGCCUGCCCGGACCCGAUCCUGCGAAGCUUUGGGGGCGCGCCCCAGGGGUCGGCGCAGAGCGCCCCCCGGGGGUCGACGGAGCCGACCCCCAUCCCUACACCUGCAGCCCAGGAGCAGAGGAGCAGCGACAAGCGGCCGUUGCCAGAUGCCCCGGGGUCGGCGUCCAGCUCAGAGGCGAAGCGCGCGCGCCGCCCUUGCGCUGGGGGAACGUGAGUUGAAUUUCCUUGCGAAUCUCGUUCCUUUCCAUGCAUUGUGUUUGUUUCCGCUGAUGCUGUUUGUUGUCUCACAGCACCGCCCCUCAAGGCCUUGUCCCGCCGUUGGCGCCAAAGAAGGCGUUGCGGUGUUGUCGCCUCUGCGGGGCGGACCGCGGCUCCGCCGGCGGCGAGUGGCGGGGUCACUGGUGAGACCGCGGGUCCUACCGCGGAGGUGGCCCCUGCGGCGGCAACCGGUGGAGUGGUGCCACCGCCGGGCAUGGGACAGGGUCUGGACCCCGCUCCGUCCUCCGCCUCUUCGGCCGACCCCGCGGUGCAGAGUAUCGCUCCUGGGGGCCCUCAGGCCGGGGAGGUGAUUGACCUCGACGCCGACGAGGUGGAGGAGACGGCGGCGGUGGAGACGGGGGCGGUUGCCCCAGCGGCCAUGACGGGGACGACGACGGCGACGGGGGAAGGAGAGUCUACCCCCGCGGCCACGGCGGGGACAGUGGCGACAGAGGAGGCGGGGACGCCCGCCCCGGCGGCUGCGACGGAGGAGGCGGCGGUGACGGAGACGGGGGCUUCCGCCCGGGAAGCCACAGCCGAGGUGGCAGCGGCGACGGAGGUGAAAGUGCCUGUUCUGGAGGCCACGGUGGGGGUGGGGACGCCUGCCUCGUGGCCACGACGGAGGGCGAGGCGGCCCCAGGGACACUUGCUCCGGCACCCGCGUUGGAGGCGGUGGCGCCGACGGGUUGGCCCGUGGCGGCCUCGACGGGGGCGGGGGUGCGUGCGCCGGGACCGUCGGUGAGGCCGGCGACUUCCGGGAUGGUGGUGCCCGUCUUGACGGCGGCGGCGGCGCGGUCGGCCCCCGCCCUUGCCUCUACCACUCCCAUUCCCAAGGCGUGGAGCGGAUCCGUCCUGCGUUGGUCGUCUCGUGACGACCCGCAGAGGCCCCUCUUCACGUUGGAUGAUGCCACAGAAUGGGGCAAGUGGCAGGCGCUGCAGGGCGGACUCGCUAACGUCCGCGCCGCUCUAUCUUCGGCGUUGGGGGAGCUGGACGGCGUCAUCUUCCCCGGUGGCCGGGUAUGGUGCUUUCUCCGUUGGUUAUUUUCUUCCCGUUACUUCGUCCCUGAUGGCACAUUGUUCUGCAGGCCCUCCAAGAAUGUAGCCGGGGAAAAUCUGAUUUCCUUUGGCUCGAGCAGGGGCUCUGGGAGCGCUUCAACUUGGAGUUGCAGCGGACCGGGGAGCUGACCAUGCAAGUCGCCACCGUCUAGCAUGUCAUCGACGAUCUGCGAAGGCACGAGCAGGCGGCACAGGAGGACGCGCGGCGGGCGGAGGCCAAGUUCCAGGUCGUUGCCGAAAGGGCUCGCUGCGACCGCGAGGAGUUCCAGGCCGUUGCCGAAAAGGCCCGCCACGACGCUGAGGAGCUCGCACGGCUGAAGGUGCAGCAUGAAGCUCUUCAGAAGAGCGGCAGAGGGCCUGGCAGGACCGGGACGCCGAGAAGGUCCGGAAGGAGGAGGCUGAGAAGGUGGCGGCCAACCUUGGGGCUGAGGUCAGCCAGCUCCAAGUGCAAGCGCGAGAGCUUCAGGCCUCCGUGGCCCAGGGGCUCGACCAGGAGCGCCAGCUGAAGGCCUAAUCCGAGGGUAUGACUCUGUUUAUUUCUUUGUCUUUGUGAUGUUGCGGUGAUAUUUUAUUUGGCGGGUUCUUCUGGAUGAUCCUUGCAGAUGAGCUCAACUGGCUGAGGGAGGUGCUUGACGCGGAGCGCGCUGAGCACGGCGACCUGCGGGACGCGGUCCGCGUCAUCUGUGACUUCCUUAGUGUGGUCCAGGGGGAGGGGACGAGCUCGCUGGCGGCUCGUGUCCUCGGGACGUACCGCCGGACCAGCGAGAUCGCCCUGGAAGCGCUUCGCACCGGCUUGAGGCAAGCCUUUGGGGUCUUCGGCUCCCACUAUUCCGGCAUCAACUUCGCCGGGAUGAGCGGGGGAUACGCCACCGGCUACUACGAGGCCGAGCUGGAUGAGAUCGACGUGUCGGUGCUCAGCCCGGCGGAGGCCUUGGUGAAGCUCCUCGAGGAUGAGGCCGUCCCGCCCGAAGAUCCCCGGACGAGUUAACUAUAUCGGGCUGGCGCCCCAGAUGUAAAUACGUUAGGGAAAGACUUGUUUUUUGUGAGGGCCGUAGAGGCCUUUUCUAUGAAUUGUCGUAAAAAAGUUUUUGAUUCCCUUUCUUGCUUUUUGGACUUGGAAAGUUUAGAGCACGUUGUCGGGCGUGUCAGUAAGCUUUGAUGAGCGAAGGCACCGUAGCCGCUGGGGCGUCGUUUUUUUUGCAGUCCGAUCAAUCUUGCCUGAACACCGUUCGUGCACUUUCUCCUUUUUAUGCCCAAAAGUUCAGAAAGAGGGUCGGCUCGGAAAGAGAAAGCGUUUUGAGAGGGUGUCAAGUGGCUUAGGUACUUGCGGCAGGUUGCGUGGUGGACGCGGAUAUCCUUCUCCCUGACAGAUCUGCGGCGCAUUUAUGGUGAGAUCAACAUGGGGACCCACAAGACCCGCGCCCAAGGCGGAUACUUGUCUGGAGGGCCCGGGUUAGCCCGACCCCCUACGCUUGGGGUCAGGCGAGGCGGAGACUUGCGGCGGGGGGUUGGACGCUCCUGACCCUAGACCUGCGGUCGGGCGAGGCGGAGCUUGGUCUUCCAGGGGUCGGGGGCGCCUUACCCCGGGAUGCGGGGUCGGGCGAGGCGGAGCGUAAUUCUUGCCUCCCAUGUUGGGCCGACGGCAAUCUUUGUUACCUUGGGUGGGCCUGGGCCUUUAUGUUUUGUUGUUUCCAUGGGCUUCGAGAGGUCGUUAAUAUUUCCCCCCAACACUAUGAGGAGGACUUGUGGGCAGAAAGUCAGCUACCACAAACUUGCCUCUGAAUAUUUGGAGUGCAAACAUUGGAUGGUGGUUGUGGAGAGCCCCAGCCAUACCUCGCACCCGUGGAGAGGUAAUUGUCGGAUUGCUUGGUUCGUCUCUAGAAUGCGACAAGGUCAGGCGCCACCUCUCACUGCUGCCAGUCAGAAGGCCGAGGGGCCAGUUUCAACAUAGUAAUGAGAAUCUCCGAAGGCCAAUAUGGUUAAGCAGCUAACCUCCAUGAUCAUAGACUUACGUUUAGAAAAUAGGAGGCUUAGCGAUGCGUUAACAGAGCAGAAGUUAGAAACAGAAGAACUUAAGGACGACUUCCGUGUCCUCCGCCUUGGUCUUUGUGCUAAGAUAAAGCGCUUGUACAAUGCCACGGGGAAUGACGGUCUCUACGAUGCAGCUCAAUAGACGUGCCCCUUGUAUCCUUUCCUUUAGGCACUUUAGAAUAUGUUUAUUUGUUUUCCUUCAUUUUAAUUUCCAAUAGAUUGUUAGCGCCUCCAAUUUAAUUUCAAUAAAGUGUAGACUCACCGGUCAUCCAACUUGAUGGAGUCCUUUUGUCACCUAGUUGUCUUUGGAAGAAGUAGCUGGGUACAAAAUAAGUGUGGGGGAGAGCCACAGACUCUCUAGAGCUGAAACAAUGCACAACACCCACAAAUAGAGAAAACCACGCUGCACCAGCACGUACGUGAAAGUGGAGCCAGAGCUGGACCCAUAGGGGUUUGGCCAACCCAAGGGGUGGCCCACUCGGGCCAUCUUCAUCCACCGCGUCGGUUUGUGUCUCUUUACCCCUGAUCUCCCUGAUUCAUGAGUUUGAAUGAAUUUUAAAUCUGAUCAACUAAUUCAAACUCAACUAAAAUGAAUCAACUGCUCCACCUGCUCUACAUGUUUUCUAUGGUUGGCUUGCAUAUGUUUUAUUUCAUGCUUAUCAUCUUGAUGCUUGUGAACAAAUAUCUUUAGGACAGCAUGCUCAUCUAAGUAGUUGAUGUGUAUGAUAUGGUUCGAUGAUAUGAUCUUCACUCUUAAUGCUUAAGUGCUUGGGAAAAUCUAUUUGAAAAUUUAAAAGCCUUUUUGAAAUCUCCUCUUUGAUGUGCCAAAGUCCUACCAAAGCCAUAUGAUAAGUUAUCUUGAAAAACCAUUUGCAUAUGUUGCUUGUCUUUGCAUUGAGCUUUGUCAAAUUGGUGUGACCCUUGUCACAAUUCUUUUCAUACUUUCAUGAUCAAGACUCAUGUGCACGCCAUAUACCCCUUGCUAUGCUUCUAUGAGAUGUUAGCAUUGUACCAUCCAUUCAUUCCACAAAAUAAAUGCUCCACCAUAUGUGUUGGUCUCCUUCUAAGAUUAUUGUUACAAAAGAGAUAUGGGCUAUCAAAAAAAAAUAUGAAUGUCCAAGAAAGUUGGACACAUGAAUGUCCAAUAAAAAGAAAAAGAAAGAUAGCCAUGUCCUCAGAAAUAUUUACAAAGGGAGAGAGAUCAUACAAAAAGGAGUUUCCAUUCCAUCCACCACAUCCAUACAUGUGCACAUCUUGAUCUGAUUGUAUGACUUAUUUUUCUCUUUGGAUCUGGUCUUUGACUUUGCAAUAUAUGUGAUGCAAGCAUGCCUUAUCCUUCAUAGCCUACCUUGAGCUCCACAUAUAGCCAUCAUUAGAAGUAGGAUGAAGAAAGGCAAGUCUAAUGCCUUGGUGAGGACAUAUACACAUUGAGUGAUCUGAGAGAAUCAAAUGAGGAGCUAAGCAAGGUUUUGUUUUGAAAACUAAUUGAAAAAUCCCAAGCUACUUGGCAUAAGGAGUUGAGGUGACUUGAUUCAAGACCAUUACAUUCCUCAACUACCCAAGAUGGCAUGAUAGACACUCCAAAGUUCACAAGUGCAGGUAUGGUUUGGAAUAUCUUUUAGGCUCGCUUCAUACCUUUGAAAGUUAUGUUUCACCUUAGUCCUUUCUCGUUCACUCAAGGAUAAGCAAAGGCUAAGUGUGGGGGUGUUGUUGAUGGCUCUUAAGUACAAAAUCUGCGCCAUCAACUCUUGCAUAAACACAUAAAAUAUGAGCAUCAACAAUAGUGGUAGGAGUUAUUACAAACGAAUUCCACAAGUCUUGGUGAAUAUUUGUAUGCAAGCCCAAUAGGAGAGAAAAGACACCUCAAAAGCAAGGAAACACACUCUCAACCAAUCAAGAGCAAGCACAUGGAACCAUGGGCCCACAACCAAAAGGAAAUCGACUACAUUCCAAACACCCUAUACCCACAUGAGAACCCAUAGGGCAGUGACCCAGAGCAAAGGUGAUGCCAGAGUGUAGAUGGUAGUUAGCAUGCCAAAUUUUGAACCGCAAGCGCUCGGAUUAGUUGUUUCUUUUCCCUUAGAGAUUCCCCCAAGGUUUAUCAAUCCAUGGAACAAGGGAUUUGCACGUUUCACUAAGCACUAAUCAAUGUAAUUGAAAGCUUUUCGAAUAAGAUAUGAUUAUGCUAACAAAGGAACUAAGCAAUCUAGAUUAAGAUGGAUAGAGAGUACAGGUUGUGAACAAGAUAGAUUAAACGCUUGUAGAUGCAAUCACCAUGCAUGAAUGAAUUAGAUCUAGGUGUUAUUGUGAGUGGUUGUGAACCAUGCCCAACACUUUCCCACCCGCAACAUUGUCACUACAUGUGGGUACUCAACUAUCGGAACAUAAGAACACAUCAAGAUGAUCAUUCUAGGUAAGCAAAUAAGCAACCCAAAGUAGCGCUGGCCAGCCUUUUCAUGAAAGAGCAUCAUCAAGAUAAGAUUGAUAACAAAAUAGAUCUCAACCAAAGGUUCAGCGAUUACAAAUCAAGAUCUUCGUAUAACCCCGAUGACAAAUAGAGGUAUUACCCCCAUGAUCUUACACAUGUUGAUGAAUUUUAGGGUAAAGGACACCCUGUAGAUCAACUGGACCAAAGAUGAUGAUGAACGGGGGCAGGGAAGGCCCAGGUUGAUCAGCCUGCGCACUUUUGAGCCGAUCAGCUCAGGGGGUUUCCUCCUCCCCUGGUGCUCCUCUUCGCGUGGCCUCCUCUGGAUCCAAUCUUCUCUUCAUUUCUCCUACUUGUGGCGGCAAUGGAUGGUGUUUGCAUGGUGAUUUCCUCUUCUCCCCAACUCUCCCUCCUUGAAGUCCAUGAGGGGGUAUUAAUAGUCUCCAAUAGGCGGCAGCUCUGGGUCAAUGUCAGUGAAAAAAUCCUAGAGAUCAUCGUACACUUCAUGCUGAGGAAACAAGAGGUUGACCGAGCCCUGGGAUAGACCAAGAGGAUCAUCCUAGAGGGUCCCAGGCUAAUCGGUCUAGGCCCUUCCUAGCCCUUCUAGUCCUCUCCUUCCUCGUGCUGGCUUUUCUCGAUGACCCUUGUCCAAAUAUCCAUGAAGCUCUAUAUACAUACCCCCUUGAUUAUGUUGUAUUUCCUGUCAAAAUACAAUGCUCCAAAAUACAACACAUAUGCAAUAAUAGGGUUAUUUCAGGUGCCAAUUGGUGGGUUAGUAUACGAAUAAGCAUGAAAAUACUGUUUAAAUGACACUAAAAGUGUGUCAAUAACGAGCACCAACAAUCCCCCCACGCUUAGAUCUUGCUCGUCCUCGAGCAAGUCUAGCGACUAAAAGAUCUUGAAUUAAACCUGAGCAAGCGAGUCAAGUACCUAGCCUUGAAACAAAAGAUUAGAGGAGCAGCAAAGAUAAUCAAAGUCUGGGUGUUCAAAGAUUUAUCUAAGCAAAGAUUCCCCUACAACUAUUAUUCAGAACCAAGUAACUUCAAAAAUCAACUACACUUAUUUUCUGGCUUUUUUCAGAGGGUUUUUCUUUCAUCAUAAAACAAUCUCCCUGCAACAAAAUUGAAAAAAGAAUUAUUUUCAAGGUGCUUACAUGUCGCUUAAAUGAAUGUUGGCUAUCCUACUUAUUUGCAAGCUCUCAUCUCUCAAAAUUCAUUCAAUUAUAUGGUGGAGUUUGGGUAAGGUUAGCUAGAAUCAACACGUAUAUUAUUGAAUUAAGAAAACCCUCUAACGGUGGCCUACCUUCCGAGCCAUUGAUCAUAAGAAUAUCCACAUAAUGUGAAGUUUUCAAGGAUGAGAAGAUAUAGAAUGGUGGACAUGUGCAAAGGCAAAGAAAUAUAGUGACUCUGAGGCACAAGCAAUGUCCUCGUCGUUGGAUUGCAUAUGGUUGUAAUGAAAAUAUGUUCCUUAAACAAGUCUAUCUUUUCUUUGCACCACUCUUGAUCUUCAUGACAGUAAAAACUCCUCCUUUAUUUCUUUCUCUCUUUUCCUAUUAUUUCUUUUUAUUUGUCUCAAUACUUUUAUUUCUUUAUUUCUUUAUUUUAAUCUCUUCUCUGAACCUCUUCUGAACACCACAUAAUAAAAAUAAGUUUUAGAUCCUUCCAGAGACCUUCCAGGAAUUUGCUACAUGAAAACCGAGGCAAGGAGACCCCAGGCCGAUUGGCCUAGCCACUCCUUUGCUCUCCUCUAGCUCUUCUUUCUGGUGAAGCUUCCUUAUCUUGUAUCUUUCCAAAAAUUUCAUAAAGCUCGACUAGAAACGGAACAGAUCUUCAUAUAAUGAGUUGUGUUCAAGGAAUUGGUAAUAAAAUUGAGAAAUUUGUGGUUCGGGUUUACGAAUUCAGUACAAAAAUAUGAUUGUUCCAAUGAAGAACUCUCAUUACUGAAUAUUGACGAGGCAAGCAUUCAAAGAUGGUAAAAAGGAUAUGAUCAAUUCUCAAAAUUAAAGCAAACCAAGAGAGAGCGAUCCUAAUUCAAUUCAAAGUGUCAAAUGUUGCUUAUGGUGGUAUGAAUAAAUAUUUUUAGGCAUUGGGUAGGAUAAAUAAAAACUCUCAACCUGGUUAAAAGAUAUUGAUCAAUCUUGUUUUUGCAGAGGUUUUAAAUAAAAAAUAAAAUUUUAAAUCACCUCCAAUUCAAAGCCUUACUCAUAAAUCAUAAUCAAAACUGAAGCACUUGAUCAUCAUAAAGCAUGGGUAUUGCAUAAACAAAUCGAUUACUAAAACUCCACAACUACGAUUUAGAAUUCAAGACAAUGCUCAUAAUCUAAAGUUGCAAAGAUAAAAUAAAAGACAACCAAGCCAAGGUAGACACUAAAAACACUUGCACGAUCCUUGAAUUUUAUUCAUGCUUCUUCUCACAAAGACGCUAAAGUAGCCAUGUAGGCCUAAGUCUUCCCAAAAGCUUAAGAAAACUACUACUUUAUCUACUUUUGGUUGAAAUAAAAAGACUAAUCUAGACUCUCACAUGAUUCGACUCGACCAAAUUAGAUCCAAAAACUCAUACGAGCGACGAUCUCCCCCCCCUCACGCUUAAAAUCUACGACCUCCUCGUCGUAGCCAUAUGGAGUACAAGGAAAAGAAGCUUGUAAACGCUCUAAUGACGCUACCCGCACUACUUGCACACGGGAUGGUUGCUGCUUCCUUCGCUUUGUUCUUCCUCAUGUUGCUGCACAUCCCGAAGAGCUUCCUCACGUUCCUCUGCAAGAACUUGAACUCGUCCUCCUGACGGCGAUCAUUAUCUUCUGCCUUUUGAUCCAGAGCUUGUAAGGCUUGCAUGAUGUCAUCGAACGCAUCGAAGAGGUAGUGGAUGUUCUUCCUGCAAGCUGUGGAACAUGUACGAUCAUGCUCCUCCGAUUCUGGCCCGUCGUCUUCUAGAUCCUUCUCUUUGCCCUUGUCUUGACGGUGGCUAUCUUGCUCCUUGCUCGCCUUCUUGCCUUCAGCCCAAUCCCAGUACGUGUUGUCAUCUUCUUCAUCGUCACGGCCUGCAGCACCCUAUGAUCCAUUGUCUAUCUUGUAUGAAAGAAUCAGAAGCUUGUUCUCCUCAGGGUGUCUUGCGCGGUGCAGCGUUUGCAAGUGCAAGACUUGCUAGUUCCUUUUACACAUUGUAAUGUUCAUUGCAUGCUCUAAUUGUUCUACAUUUGUAAUUUCUUGGUGAAGUUUGGUUACUGAUCCACUGUUUGAUUAACUCUUGGGCCCAAACACUGUACUACUUCUGAUUAGAUAUCUGUAUCUUGACUUUGACCAAAAAAAAUAUCCGGCAGUUUUUGCCAUUAAAGUUUCAUAAAUCAUCUUGCAAAAAUCGUACUAUACAACAAGGGACGGUUUAUUAUAAAAUAUACGUUCCCCUUAUCACAUGCCACUUCCACUCAAAAGGCAACGAAUCAGUUUUCAAUCCUGAGUGAGCAAUUUGCUUUUAUUACCGAUGCCUCCUAUUCCCUUGUGCACCAAGUUUAUUUUGGAUAGGGCUGCAAAAAACGACUAACCAGCUCGGAUUCUCCACCUGCAAAACCGCAUCUGCAGCAACCAACCCCACGCGGUGGAAAAAAAAACAAAACCUAGAAACCGGACGGGGGUGGAUGUGGGGCUCGGAGCCCAAGCAAAAAACGGAUCGGGAGCGCCGGAGCAGGCCAUCACCGGAUGUUAGAGAUAGAAAAUGGUUGAAGUUUGGAGUGGAAAUCAAACAAGCCUUGGAGCAAAGGAAAAAAAAAGAUCAAACCACUCAAGCAUUCAUUUGAUUUAGAAAAGAGAACAUUUGUUAAGGUGGGGAGUUGAAAUCAUCUUUUAAUUAGUUCCACGUAUCUGGUAUCAUUACAGUUGGUUUACUUGUGUAAGUAUAAGUAGCUCUGCCGAAGCCUUUGCUCCUAUAAUUUAGUAACUAGUACAAAUGGAUCAAUAGGAAAAUCAAGUUGCAAUCAUUUCUCAGCCAACCAAACCUAUGUAAAUCAAAUUAUUGUCCAUGCCCGGCAUGCACAGGUGCCUGCCAUGCAUGCAUUGUUGCUCCAUUGUAAUAACCAUUAUUGUCCAUCGAUGUUGCAGCGCAUGUGUGCACUGUGCAGACACCAAGCAUCGAGAUUAUGUACUAGUAAGGUGUUGAAAUAAUGGGCCUAGCCCAUAAGUAAUUUCAGAAUUUCAAAUAAAUCUCAAAGGCCCAUGUGGGCAAGAGGUGGAGUGGUGCAAGUCUUUAGUCCCACAUUGCUAGUCGAGGGGAGGGAUGACCAACUUAAAUAUGGAAGUUGUCUCCACUCCUCCAAGCUAUGUGUGAAGGGCGCGGGCGCGAGGCACUUGCGUGAAUGGUCCGCCGAAAUCUGGCCCCCCUUGCGGGGGCGCGGCUUCCUUUUGCCGUUUUAUUUUUUGGUUACUUGGUCGUUAAGUCAUGGAAUCCUAACCGGUUUAGAUCACGAUCGUGAAGGUUUUUGGGAAGCGCUCUGCGCGACUGCUCGAUCGCUUCUUCCGCUUCGUCAAGUUCUUCGUCGACUCCUUCACCACGGCUCGUCUACCUCUUCGUCGCUCGGGCCUCACUCGUCGUCGCGAACAACGUCAGGCUGCUGAUCGUCGUCGCCUGCUGUAUCCGGUAGUCGUCCAGGAGCCGGUUUUCAUCAAGAAAGAAACGUACGGUCUCUUAACUCACAUUAUGUCUUCCAUACUAGCUAUUAUGAUUGUUGCAGUCUGAUAGCUCUGGAUAGUAUGGUAGAAUGUCUGAUUCUAUUUGCAAUGAUAGACUUGUCUAGAUCUUGCGUAGACAUGUCUAGUUUAAUCUGCUGCUUGUUCAUCAUAUUCAUGAUUUAUUUCUGGAUUAAGUUAAAACUAAAAGUGCUUAUAUAUCCAACAUAAGGUACCAAGAACACGUGAAGCACCCGGGGGAGGCUGCUCCACUCCGCAUGCACAGGUGGGCACGGCACCACUACUCGUCUCCUUCAGGCUGAGGAUAAGUGAUGUACGCUGAUCAACAGACCACGACGGAACCAGCAAUAAUAGUUUCAGCCUGCCUCACAGUAAUUAAUAUAUCCUGUAUCCUCCGAGGACCCCUCCCCUUAAUCUUGGCCUAUUGCAUCCAAUAAUGAUAUGUGUGUUUAUCCAAAUUUACGGCACCUUUGGCGGGGGUUCCACCCAGCUCCGCCCUCUCCACCUUCGGUACUCCAUGGGAAACCAUUCCUUUGGAAUCAAGGAAGCUUGAACAGUAUAACGAAUAAAGUUUCAUAUAUCCAUUUGAUUUCACAUGAAAUAAAAUAUUCUGUCAGAACCAAUGGUUUCACUGAAGCUCCAGGCAGCGAGCGAAGGGGUGAGAGAGGAUAACGCUUACUGUGUGUUACCAUCGCGUGCACCAUGGAUGACCAACGCGCAGCCGAGAUGAAACGGCGGACCUAAACAGGUCCUCGCUAUUUUUGCAGGUUCUCGACCAGGCCAGUUCUUUAGGCCAACCUAUCAUUCACGAGUUAAACAUACGGUGGCUGGAGAAAUGUUCUAUUCUUUUAAACAAUACCAGCUGGUUCCUCCGUUUUUAUUCCACCAAUACAAGCACCACCUUGUAACAUUUCCUAUGUUUUUUUUCCUUUCGUCUGUUUUCUCACUACAUGCGUUGCUCUUUCAUGCAUUUUUUUCCAUUCCUGUAUUCCAAAUAGGUCUACAUGAACACAAAAUGAACUAGGGGACAGAAAAAGCCAGUGAAGUUAGUUUUGAGCUUCACCAGCUACUUGCUACAUAAAGUGUGCUAUAGUCGCAGAAAAGCUAAGCUGGAUCAGACGUGGCCGAAACAAUGCCAAAGAGCUAGGUCCCUAGCUGAUGGCAACACAUCAGAUGACUAGCCUGCUUUUCUGUAAUAAUGAUAUUGAGCAAUACACUGCAUGGCUAACCUGCUUUACAAUAAUUGUCAUUUUAUAAUAUUGGUCAUCACGAGAGAUGCACAUUGCAUACACCGGCCCAUCCCUAUAAAUAGCCAAGCCUUUCAGCCAUCUUGGGCACCUCCUCUCAGGGCCUCGUCUCACCAUCAGACAUCUCGUUCCCAGUUAUAAUUUGCGAGGUUAGAUCAGGCUGCGCCAUGGCGUCCGCAACUGCUGUCAAGAUCGUCGCCACCUUCAUGCUGGUGCUGACCAUGGGCCACCUGAUGGCCGAAGCAUCACCGCAGCCUCGGCGUGUGCUUGCAGAAACGGAGCAUGCUGCGGUGUCCGGGAAUCCUGGCCUCCCAGGUGAUGCUAGCGUCAUGCAGGUCCUCGAACCCGCCCUAGUUUCUCGGCUUGCCUGCAAACCAGAGUGCACAGUCCCUUGGCCUCCUUUUGUAUGUAUCUGCUAGAUCCUCUUCCUGGCUCAACGGAACUUCAGGGAAAUGGCUGUGACGUCGGCCAAAGAAUAAAUUGGAUGAACAUAAUAUACCCCGGGUAGUGUAGCUUGGGCUUUUGUUGAGCGUCUGGUGCUAGUUGUAUUUUGUUUGCUCAUGUGGCUUUGCUUCUGGUUGCAUAUUGGCUUUCCUAUCGCUCUCUGUUGCAGCUAUGGUUUCUGCCAGGUGUGUGUUAAUGCGGUUUGUAAGCGGUGCUUGUUCCUACCUUCUGUUUUCAAUAAAAGAAGUCGGAGUCUCCCUCCGACUCUUGUUAUCAGUCAACAAAAAUGAGUUGUAUCAUAUAUAUCUGCGUCUUUUUUCUACGUAUCUUUGGGCUGCUUCAGCUGGAAGUUUAUCGUAAGUACGUGUAUCAGGAUGAUCGUUUGAAUUAAAACGAAAUGAUAAUGUGUGGCUGCUAGAAAUGGAAUGAGCAUCUUACUAUAUUACUAAUUGGAAGCCUCCACGUGAAGCCACCUAGAAAUUCUAGGUGGACGUUUUAAAAAAAACAAAACUCAUAGAAGCCUCCACCACCUAGGAAUCCUAGGUGGACACUCUAAAAAGAGACAAAUCCUAGAAAUUCUAAAAAAAGAAAAAAAUAAUAACAAUAAGAUUUUUUUGCAGUCAAUUACAUAUAUUUUUUUGAGACACCGUGCUGCUAGCUCUUGCCAUUGCGACCAGUAAAGCAAGCAGAUAGUAAGAUGACAUGCGUGUGGAUUGAUUAAAACAAAUUCAGUUAGUUGAUUCUAAAUCGUAUGUAUCCUAAAAGGAAGAUAUGUGCGUGCAUGGUCCCUAGCGAUGACAUGUAGACAUGUAUUGCAAUUUCUUUUUUAAAAAACAUGUCUAUCUCUAAACCAACAAACAGAAAAAAUAUCAAUCUAAAUCUAAAUCUCUUCCGUUCUCACACGCCUAUUAAAGAGAAGACAACCAAUCCCAUCCAUGUUCCAUAGAAUCCAUCUAAAAGCUUGCUCACUGCGGACGGCAUUUGACGGCAAAUCAAUGAAAGAUCAUCCUCUCCAAAUAGCUGGACGGCAUCACCAUCUUUAUCUCACCAACCUACAGAGCUACAACGAUGUUGUAGAGAUCAACUAGGUAACCUACCAAUCACCCUCCCCUUUUCUAUAUGCUCUAAAGAACACGUGGAGUAAUUAUAGGCCUAUAGGAGCCGACUAACCUAGAUUAAUAUGAAAAAUAUUCCAAUAUUAAAAGCAAGCAGAUAGUAAUACUUGCCUUUGACCAUUUUUCUAGAACUGUUAUUCCUAUUGAAUGUUCAAGUGCUACGGCCAGGCAUCGAAUGCCUGCACGGAACCUUCCUAUUGAAUGGUUACUCUAGAGAUCAACGCACCGCGAGACAUUUUUAUGGAAUUUGUUUGAUUCCCCUUCUACAAUUAGAUUAAUUUUUCAUGGCAUAUAUUACUACUAUUAAAUUAUUUGUUUAUUGUCGGGCCUGCUGCAUGUGUGGUAUAUAUGACUUGCUUCUCACCAUUGUUCUCAAACUAUUAUUCCUAUCGAAUCUUUCUAUCGAAAUAUAUUUUAAUUACUUGAUUGUUGUUUGUGUACCAUAACUUCUGUAUAGAAAAAUUCCAUGUUUGUAGAUAAUGUCUUUUGUAUAGAAAAAUAGCCCAAUUAGAUCCAUCACCAUCUUUUGCUUAUGUAGUUGAACAAGUUGCAAUGUUGAACAAAACUUUAAGUGAAAUUAGACCAGGAAAAGGAAUUGUGGAACAUUAAGGCAAGGGUAACCAGAUUGUGGAAUGCAACCUUACUCAGUAGUGGCGAACAAUUAAGUCUUGACAUGAUCCUUAUUGAUCAAAAGGUAUGAUAGAUGUUCACUUUGAUUGCAUUAUUGGUAUAAUUUUUGGUUUACAAAUUAUUAAUGAUGAUGCAAAAUUAGGGAACCAUGAUCCACGGUGUUAUCAAUAAGCCCUAUAUGAAAAAGUUCAAACCAUUGAUUGAAGAAGGCAAUGUGUACAUAAUUGCAAAUGUCAGAAUCACACCAGAACCACAGAAGUAUCGGCCAGUGGAAAAUGACAGGAUAGUCAACUUCUUACCCACAACUGCACUAAAAACGAUCAAAGAUACUGAAGACAUUCCAAAGUAUAGUUUUAACUUCAUGAGCACGGAUAUGCUUUCAGCAAGAAUAAAUGUGGACAUGUACCUAUUAGGUAAAACAUUACUGGCUUUUCAAUUUUUACACUUCCACUCAUUAAAUGACCAUCUAAUAAUAAUACAUAUUUAUGUUUCAUAGAUGUUAUAGGUAUCUCAGCUCACAUUGGACCGAUAGAAGAAACAAGGACAAACUUCGGAUUUACUAAAAUCCGUGAUAUUGUGCUCCUGAUCGAGUAAUUCUCUUUUCUUUUGUAGAAAACAACUACAAAACUUUCAACAUUUACAUGUAUGUUAUAGAACUUCUGUUGAACUAAAAAAUAUCUUCUACAGUGCCCCUACAAAUAAUUAAUUUCGUAGUUGGAUAUUUAAAAUAUUUAUUAUUCACUUUUAAAUUUGUGGCCAUGAAGUUAAAGUUAGAUUUUGGGGAGACAAAGUUGAGGAAGUUGAUGAUAAGACAAAAUCCCAUGUCAUUGCAAUAACAUCUACAACUGUGAGUAAAUUUGGCAGUAAGUCUUCAUUCAAUAUGAGUUAUUCAAUAUUAGUCAUUCAACAAACUAACCUCGUAAGAAAAAUAAAUAAUUGAUGUUUUAUCAGGGUAUUCUCUAUCGUCAACCAAUGCAACAAAACUUUAUGUAGAUCUACCUAUUCCUGAAACUAAGGAUGCACAUGAUAGGUGAGAAAAAUUAGAUAUUGUUUUUCUAUUUUAAUCUAUGUAGCAUGCACUCUAACAUGAUACAUUCUUUCAUAUGAUAAAAAAAUGUUAGUUCAAUUGAAAAUAUUGUCAAAGAGAUUCAUAUUGAGGACCAUCUAAAAGGGACAUUGGAAGACCAAAUGCAGUACAAUAGAAGAACUUUAGAAGAAUUAAAUUUCAUAUUAUUUGAAACAUCAAAUCAGGUAUGGAUUAGUAUGUUCAUUGUACACUAUACUAUUUAAAGACUUACAUACAUAAUGAUGGUAUUGUUCCUACUUUCAGGAUGAGGUAUUUACUAUUGAAGCAACAAUAAAUGAAAUUAAUGCAACAUAUGGUUGGUUGUCACACCCGAUUUUAAGGACAAAAUUGAGUGCAUUAAAUACAUGUGCACCAGGAUCAAGUUACACACAUCCUAUGAGUACCGUCCUUCUUUGGCACAAAGAUAACCGGUGCUCCCCAUGGUGAUGAACUAGGCCGAAUAAACUAUUUUGCUGAUAAUUCCUCUAGUUGUUGUUUCAAUUCUUUUAAUUGUUCAACCAACAUUCUAUAAGGACGUUUGGAGAUAGGUGCAGUACCAGGUAAAAGAUCAAUAGCAAAUUCAAUGUCGCGGUCAGGUGGCAUACCUGGUAAAUCGUCGGGGAACACAUCCGGAUAGUCACACACCACUUUGAUAUCUUCCAAGGAUUUUCCAGCCAACUGAUUAACUGCACAAUCUGCUGCUGAGGGUAGAGUAGCUACAAACUCCACUUUCUCUCCAUCAGGACCUGUUAGCAGAACUGUCCUCUUGGCACACUGAAUCGUUGCAUCAAAAGCGGCUAACCACCUCAUCCCCAGAAUUACAUCGAUUCCACUGGACUCAAGGACGAUAAGAUCAGCCGGAAACUCUAUACCCAUUAUUCUCAGUUUAACUUGUGGACAGAUGUAUUGAGCCUUCAUUGACCCCCCAGGUGAACUCACUAGCAUAUGACGCCUCAUGGUAUGCAUGGGUAAAUUAUGCUUUGCUACAUAAUGACUAGUGACAAAAGAAUGCGAUGCUCCAGAGUCAAAUAAAACUGAUGCGGGGGCAGAGUUGACAAAGAACAUACCAAGCACUACAUCUGGAGCCUCCUUAGCAGUCUCGGCUUCCAUGUGGUUCACCUUGCCACAAACAAAGCUUUGCUGCCCCUGAUUGCCUUGUGGGGUCUGGUUCCCAUUCCUCGGUUGCUGCAUCUGAUUCUGCCGAGGAGCACUGCUGUUCUGCACGGGGGUAGCUGGCCCACCUCUCUUAGGACAAGAGCUGGCAUAGUGACCAACCUCGCCACACUUGAAGCAGGUAGGACCCACUGGAGCAUUGGGCCUUGUUGGAGUGCCAGUAGGGGUCAUCUGGCGGUUCUGCGUAAAGCUUGGGCGCGGAGUCUGCAUAGUCUGCAUCCCUGGAUGCUGGAACUGAGGGCUAGGGCGCUGGAAUGACUGCUGAGCAGGGCGCGGAAAUGAGUGCUGCCAAAAAUUCCCACUCGGGCCCCCUGCGCGGAACGGCGUCCCUUGCUGUGGAGCAAAGCGAGGGCGGGUGUUGCUUCCUGAAGACUACUGGGAAUUGAAUUUCCUCUUCAUCUCCCCGAGCUCGUUCCUCUUGUGUUCCAGGCCAAUUGCCUUGUCUAGCAUCUUCUGGAAACUGGGGAAGGUGUGCGACAUAAGCUGAUAUUGGAGUGGUCCAAUCAACCCAUCCAAGAAUAGCUCCUGCUUCUGCUCAUCAUCAGCAACAUCUUCGGGAGCAUAUCGGGACAACUGGACAAACUUGUCCCUGUACUCUGCCACUGUCAUGUUCCCCUGCUUGAGAGCAAGGAACUCCUUCUUCUUAAGCUUCAUCAAUCCGGAAGGAAUAUGAUGACUUCUGAAGCUAGUCCUGAAUUCAUCCCAGGUGAUGCCAUUAGCAUUGGCAUGGGUGGUGGUGUAAGCAUCCCACCAAUCAGCAGCUGGCCCUUCCAGGCGUCCUGAAGCAUACAGGACCUUCUCCCUGUCAGUACAUUGGGCGAUAUCCAGCAUCUUCUCCACUGUUUUCAGCCAAUCAUCAGCAUCUAAUGGAUCCGGAGAAUGUGAAAACGUCGGGGGCUUGUGGCUCAUGAACUCCCUAUGCCUGUCCCUUGGCGGCGGCUGCUGCUGGUUGUUGUUGUUGUUAUUGUUCAGCUGAGCUUGUAAAGCUGCCACGGUGUUGGUCAGUCCGGCGAGAAGCUGAGUCUGAGCUGCUAGAAACUGCUCCAUCCCUGCAGGUGCUUGUUGGUUCUGUUGCGGAGCGGUGUUGGGAUUGCUGCUGUUGUCCCUGUGGCGUGGCACUGUGGGACGGUCAACUCCUGAUCCGGACCUGGUGUUUACCAUCUGAGCGUUAGAGACAAUGGAUUUAGAUAGAUGUGUGAAAGAAUAACUGAGAAAGAUAAAGCGACCAGAUGUAAAAGUAACACAGAUUCUGUUAGCUCCAUUUAAUUAGGUGUGGUCGUCAGAAGAAGUGUCCAUAAAUUCUGAACAAUUACCAAGUCGUAACUUAUUAAAUUUGUAAACCAACCCAACUGGAAUCAUCUCAAUCGGACUUCUGGAUCUCGAGUUACAAAAUUAACAAGCUGACAGUGUCGGUCGAUAGGUUCAGAUUCUGAGUGCUUUACUAAUUCGCAUACACCUCCCAGACAGAUACACCAAAAAUUCUGAAAAAUUUACAGAUAGUACUCCACGAAAUUCUGAAACUAACCCCACUGGUUUCAUGUCAUUUGGACUUCUGUAGCUAGAGAUAUAAAUAAAAAAGUACUGGCGUGUCAGUUAAUGUCGAGAACAGAAUUGAAUGUCGCUUAGCUUGCGUGAUGGAUAGAUUUAGACAGAUGGUAGAUCAUGAUUAAGGAAGAUUAAAUACUGAUUUAGAACAGAAAUAAAACCCAACUAAGCACUUUAUUUAUUAAGACCAGUAUCGUGUGGCAAUUGCCCCACAUACCGCACUCAUUACAAAAUCCAACUCAAACAUGUAGCACAAAACCAAUCAUCUAAGCACACUUUAACUAACACACUCGAACGACGUCUAACGAUUACAAGAAUUUAAACUAAAACACUCCUAAUUUCCUAGAGGUCUUCUGCGGCGGUGCCGGGCGAGUCGUAGCGGGGACGCUUAGGCGACGGCGACGAAGCGGGAUGAACAGCAAACUCCUGCGGCGGCGGUGCUCCCGUCGCGGCAGCCAUAUUCGCAUCCCUCUCCCACCGGAGUUCCUGAACCUCCUGUUGAAGCUCCUGGAUGUGGUUGUUUGCUUCAUUCAAUGCGGUGAGAGCUGCCGACGUGUACUUGCGGAGGAAGUCUGUAGCCAUGUCAACCCCAUCGUUAGUAGCGAUGAAGGUUCUUGCUUCCCCACUAGCUCGGUAAGGAAGGAACCGAUGGUAAGUGUGCUGCAAUCGCGGCCGUUCCUUGUGGGAGACGACCUCAAGUGCCCUCCUGGCGGCCUCGGCAAUGCCGGAUUCCAUGGUCCUCCUUAUGGUCACAUCAUGGUGAAAAGCCUUCACCUCCCAUCCUCCCUCGUGCUCCUCACGAAGGACAACCUUCACCUCCCAAAAAGUGGGAUAGCGAGGGUGGGUGAACCGGGAGCACUUGUAGAGUGGCCUCAUGCCGUACCCCAAGCGGUGACAAGUCCACCUGAGUAUGUCGGCCAUGUGCACUCCUUGGCCAUAAUCUUCCUUCACCCAUUUGAUCCAUGUCUCGGGCUCGGGAUCUGCUUCGGGCUCAUCAUCCGUCAAGUCGACGACCGGUACGGGCGUCGGGGCUGGUGCAGGAGCGGGCGCCGGUGCUGGCGACGGUGCUGGUGACGGCGUGGUCUCCUGCUCCACGGUCACGGCGUCCCCGUCAGAGUCAUCCCCCGGAUGCUGGAAGAUCUCUUCCUCUUCUUCCUCGUCCCAAGGCUCCAUGGGGGCGUACGACGGCGCGAUGCCAUGACGCGGCGGACGGGUGCUCUUGCGUGCGGUCAACCGGGUGCGAGCCAUCUAACAGAAAGAAAGAAGAAAAUUUUAGAAUAAAAUUUUGAACAAAGCUAGAUAAUAAAAUAGCAAUAAGGAUGAGACAAAUCAAGUUUAAGAAUAAUUAAGUAGAUUUAAAUUAAGAAAGGUAGGAAUGGCUACUAGAUUAUUAUAAUCCUUAAAUACGACCAUUUUCUAACUAGGCUAACGUCCUACAGUCAACACGGCUCUGGUACCACUUUUGUCACACCCGAUUUUAAGGACAAAAUCGAGUGCAUUAAAUACAUGUGCGCCAGGAUCAAGUUACACACAUGUACGACAAUAGUGAAUAGUAAAGCCAGUGCUAAAUCGAAUAAAGAGAGUAUUAACCAUUAUUACAUGACCGAAUGUCUCAAAUAAACCACAAAGUCUAAUUAUUACGCAGCGGAACUCCAAAGAUGACGACGACUCCAUAGGCAGCUGACUGAAGAAACGUACGCCUAGAACUCCUCGAAGUCGUGGAAGUACUCCUCUUCCCAAUUAACUUGGUCUGAACAGCGGUUUUGCAAGGGUGAGUACACUUAUGGUUGGUACUCAACAAGUCGUGGGAAGUAGUGUAGUGUAAGGCUAAUUCAAGGUAUGGCUAAGGCGUAAAUAGCAUUCGCUUUUAAUUAAGUUGGUCAAAUUUUAUUAGCAUUUACUAAGUAUAAGUUCAUACCACCCGAAAUUAAACAUGAACAUAAAGUAAACCACAUGUGCAUGAAAUGAUAACAAAUUAAAUCCAUCUUCCGAUAAUAUUAUCAUGUGAGGGUCCAGGCCGCUCUUAACCGUGAGCACGGCUGAUUGAUCAGUUUAACACUCUGCAGAGGUGGCACAUCUUUACCCACAAGUCGCGUAAAAGUUCAAAAGAACUUUGGACCCAACCAUGCGGUGUUUGCAAGGCACCAUACCACACUUCCGAGGUGUGAUUGCAUAGGGACGCUACGAGGCCUUUACAAAGAUUCAUUAAUCAGUGGUAACCCGCUAAGGUUUCGGUGUCUGGCGUGCACCACCCAUCCCAGGUAAAAUGCAACGACUCAGUCCCCCCCCUUGAAUCAUCACGAGUAAGGUCACCCCAGACUAAGGUUUCUAAUUAAUCAGCCAAGACCAGAGCUAUUUAGUCUUGUGGUAGCACUGUUUUCCUGGGUGGUCGCUCCAUGUUCUGAUUAACAAAUAAUGAUCUUGUCUUAAUGAAAGGUAUAACAGAAAUAAGGCAAGAUUAAGCAUUGUUUUUAGUUAAACCACCAUGUACCAAGUAAGCACUAAGCAUGAGCUACCCAACAUAAAGUAAACCGGUUGGUCAAGGCAAAGGUAAAACAAUCUAGGCCAACCUUAAUUGGGACCCAUCAAUUUAAUCUUAAUAUGUGCACAGCAUAAAUGUUGAGUACGAGAAAGUAAAGGUGUAUAGGACAAAAAGGUAGUGAUCAAGGACACGACUUGCCUUCUUGGCCUUGCUCCUGCUGUUCGUACUCCUCGAAGGCUUGAUCGGCAACUCCCUCGAACUGCGGGGCGUCUACACGCAUCACACGAGCACAUACAAGCAAACAUGGGCAAAAGUAAGAAAACAGUAUACCAAACAUAGUCAAACAGAGAAAACAAGCUUGAAAAGAUGAUCUACGCUUUAAAACGAACACGCGGAUAUAAAGAACGCGAAAAACGGAGUUAAGAUGCAAAAGAUAUGAUUAAAACAAAAUCCAGGGACUUUUCUGUAAGAAAAACAAAACUUUUAGGGCCUAUCCGCGAAAACCGAGGGCUUAUACGUAAUUAUGCGUAUAAACCGAGGGUCUGAUGCGUAAAAACAUCAAACCCGGACGGCGGGUUGAUUUCUGGAAAGGUCAAGGGUUAAACCGAAAAAUGCGAGGGCAGAUCUGUAAAUACUUUCAACGCGAUCUGGACCGCGGGUUGAUUUGCGAAAAAGGCGGGGGCUAAAGUGCAAAAACUGCACGGCGCGGCUCGGUUGACCGGUACGCGAUCUUGAUUGACUCGCGUCCGGCCGUCGGAUUAAGAUCCGACGGUCGCGGUGAUCCGCGACAUCGCGGCGGCGGCGGCGAGCGGCGGCGAGCGGCGGCAAGCGGCGGCGGGUCGCCGGAGUUAGGCAAAAUAGCGCCACGAGGCACGGUUUAACGCGCGGGUUGCACCAAAAAAGAGAGGGGAACACGUCGAUCCCGUUUUGGGGGUUCUUGUCGACGGGGGCUCACCGGCGACGGCGAACGGCGGCGAGGAAGAGGCGGCGGCGCUAGGAGCUCGGGCGGCUAGGGUUUCGGGGAGCUGCGGCGCUGGUUUUGGGCGGAGGAGACUGGGAGGAGGCGGCGGCUUUUAUAGGGCUUGGAGAUAGAGCCGGCGCGGGUUCAAAUCCCCCGGAGGAGUCGGAGCGGAUGGAGUCCGGGGCGGAGACGGCGCGCGGCGGUUGCGGAGUUCUGACCGGAUUCGGCCGGAGGUGGGAGACGAUGGGUGGGGUCCACCCGUCAGUGGCGGAGGGGAGCGGUAGACGGGCCGGCGCGACCGUGGGCUGGCGCGCGCUCGUGGGCUGCGGGGAGCGGGAGAGAAGCGGCGAGCGGGCGCUGGCGGAGCAGGCCGAGCGGAGGUAGAGCUGGGCCGCGGAGAAAAAGGAGGAGGCCGGCGGGCUGCUUCGCAGGCCGGUAAGGAUGAGGCGGCCGGGCCGAAGAAGAAAAAGAAAAGGAGGGACAAGGAGCUUUCGGCCGAGGGAAAAGAAGAAGAAAAAGAAAAGGAAGAAGAAAAGGGAAAAGGUUUUGGAAUUUGAAUUUAAAUCUGAAAUUCAAAAUUUGAUUCAAACUCAAGCAACCAAAAAUUAUGCUCCAGCAUGAAUGCACAAAUAAUUCCUAUGAUGAAUUAAUUGAAUUAAAGAAAAUGAAUUUAAAUGCCUAGAAAUUAAAUAACACCCUAAUUUGAGCAAAUUUUAAUGAAUUUGAAUUAUUGAAAUUUUGGGUGUUACAUUGGUACUACAUCUCAUGUAGUAGAGGCGAUUGUAAGAAGCAACUUGAAAAGAAGUUUGAUCACUACUAUUGCAAUAAAUGUGACAAGAGAGCCGAACCUAAAGCCCAGUAAAUUAUUUAGUAGUUUACAAUCUUAUUAUAAUACUUCUAUUUCUAAUAGGAGAAUAAUAUUUUCAGAUUCAAAUUAAGCUUCAAAUAAGUGAUCCAACAACAAGUGCAACUUGUGUACUUUUGACAAGGAAGCAGAAAUGAUAAUUAAUGAAUGAGCAGAUUCGAUGAUCACCUCAGUUGAUCAUGAUAAUAAGUAGCUACCAAAAUCAAUUCAGGAAAUAUGUGAAGAAACAUUGAUUUCUCAAUUCAGAUUGACCGAGUACAACUUGACAAGUUUUAGACCUGAUUAUACUGUUUCAAAGAUAUUUUUUCCAAAAGAAAAGGGCAGUUCAAGAAUUGGUAUGGAAAGUGUAAAAAAGGUAACACUUUAUUAUUAAUUUUUUAUUGCACUUUUUUCUUUUGAAUCCGUAAUACUUAAUAAUUUUACUAUAUCAAUGAAACAAAUUCUAACCUAAAUUUAUUUUCUUUUUUAUUAUUUGUAGGAAGUAGAAGACAACUCAGACAAAUGCUACACGAUAACUACCGAGAAUGAAGAGGUAGACACUGAUGACUCUUUUACCGAGAAAGUAACAUUCGUAGAAGAAGCCAUAAGGACUGGGGAAAGAUUGGCUAGAAAAGUAUACUCACUUCCAUGUCAGUGUUCAUUCUAUUUACAAUACAUGCAAAAAAAAUAUUAUUCAUGCAAAAUUGCAGGUCUACUAAGCAUUAAAGGAAUAGCGGAUAGUGCAAUAUGUAAUCUGAGCAGCAUGCAUUACAAAGUGCUCUACUGCAAUUAAAUUAAAAAACAUGAUAUAUGUUGAAUUCUUAGACUUUAUUAUUAUACUUUUCUACGUGACAAUUCACAAUUUUUUAGAAAAAAGAAGAUCCCAGAAGAAGUGACCAUGAAAAAAGGUCUAUGACCAGCAAUAAGAAAAAAUGCAAGCAUAGAAACAAAUCCGUAGAAAACAUAGAAAAUAAGGUACUCCAUAAACAAAAGUAUUCUCUUAUAUUUUUAUUAAAUAUUUUUUUAACACUUGACAAGUUCUUUUUUAGGAUCAAUAUAUCAGCAAUUCAGAUGUCAUUGGAGAUGAAACCUUAGUUCAUCCAAAAGGUCAAAAAAAAACAUCUGAAGAAAGGUGUUUGGCUGAAAAGGAAAAGCAAAAAAGUGGUAAUGCAGACAAACACAUGCAGAAAAAUAUAAAAACAUGUCAUAGGGAGGCAGACCAAUCUUGCAAGGAGGUAUAGACGAAACGUGAUACACGACCUGCCUACCUUGUCGUGGAUACCCCAAGAAGAUGUCAUAGAGGUGCAGACCAAGCUAGCAAGGAGGUCGAAACGUGAUACACGGCCUGCCUACCUUGCCGUGGAUAUUAGCCCUGAGAUCAUUCUACUGUUCAAGGAAUAACACUCAAUGCUGCUGCUGCUGCUGACCUGGCUCCAUAAAGUUAUACUCCUCUAGGUGCUUGCACUAACUUUAUCUGAAGUAUUAUUCUCUCUGCACUGUAUAUAUGGUUAUGGAGUUUGCUGGAGUAUCCGGGGCGAAGAACCUACAUAAUACGUCUUGGAACUAAUUGACAUUGAUUCACAGACAAACUCUACAAGGUGCUGUUCUUGCCAUUUUAGAGCAUCCAAAGGACUAUAAAUAACAUAGUUUACCAUAUACCAUAUACCAUAUACCAUAAUAUGUUAGCUAAAAUAAGAGCAUACACAUGUUGCAGGAGUCCAAAAGCACCGGUUGAGGACCAGGUACAUUGAAUUACUAGAAAAAGACAGGGGACAAGGUUUAGGUAACCACAUGAAACAUUUGAAUUUAUUGUACUAUGAACACUUAGUUACCAUGCCAGGAGCACAUAGUUAACACUAACAUUUAGCCACUUUAGAUCAUCCCGAAUCACCAAUGACCCUCAAUAGUGACAAAUUUUGGUUUAAAUGCCAUCACCAAUGAUCCUCAAUAGUGACGUAUUUAGGUUUAAAUCCCGUCACUAAUAACCCUCAAUAGUGACCUGUUUUGGUUUAAAUCUCAUUACCACUGAUCCUCAAUAGUGAUGUGUUUUAGCAAAACAUGUUAUCAAUGACUUGUCAUUGGUGACGUGUUAAAACGCGUUAUCUCAAUGGCAAAUCAUUGGUGACGUGUUAUCUCAAUGUUAUCAAUGUUCUAUUCUUUUCAACAAUACCAGCUCGUUCCUCCGUUUUUAUUCCACCAAUACAAGCACCACCUUGUAACAUUUCCUAUGUUUUUUUUCCUUUUGUCUGUUUUCUCACUACAUGCGUUGCUCUUUCAUGCAUUUUUUUCCAUUCCUGUAUUCCAAAUAGGUCUACAUGAACACAAAAUGAACUAGGGGACAGAAAAAGCCAGUGAAGCCAAUUUUGAGCUUCACCAGCUACUUGCUACAUAAAGUGUGCUAUAGUGACGUGUUUUAGCAAAACAUGUUAUCAAUGACUUGUCAUUGGUGACGUGUUAAAACGCGUUAUCUCACUGGCAAAUCAUUGGUGACGUGUUUUAAAAAAACAUGUCACCGUGAGAGUCAUUGGUGAAGGGUAAUUAAAAUGCGUCACUAAUGUUGUAGCAUUAGUUAUGAUAAUUUAGUAACGCAAAAAUCUACCAUCAGUAUUGAGCUUUAGAGCCAUCGCUAAUGUGGGUUUCUUACAUAGUGAUGCAAGCUCUACAAGGUGCUGUUGCUGCCAUUUUAAAGCAUCCCAUGACUACAUGUUAAUAACAUAGUUUACCAUAUAUCAUAAAAAUAUUAGUUACAAUAAGCACAUACGCAUGUGGAAGAGUCCGAAUGCACCGGUUGAGGACUAAACACAUUGAAUUACUAGAACCAAAUGUAUGUUUAGAACAAAGACAGGGGUCAAGGUUUGGGUAACCGCAUUAAAAACAUUGGAUUUUACUGUACAUGAACACUUAGUUACCAUUACCAUGCCUUGAGCACCUAGUUACAACAAACAUUAAUUUAGCCACUUUAGAGCUUCCAGAAUCGCUAUAAAUAAUAUACCUACGCCGUACCAUGAAAACAUCAAGAAGAGAGACGGAUACAUGGACCACCAUCAAGCGAGUAGUGACAGCACGCACAAGAAUACCCGGAACCUGUUAGCUUGUCUGUAGUGAUCUGUUUUCUUCCCCAUAAAAUCCAUGAGUAUUGCCACAAAUAAUGAAAGAGGCUGACCAAGCUAGCAAGGAGGUAGAGCAAACGUGAUACACGGCCUGCCAAGAUUGCCCUGGAUACGCCAAUAAGAGCGACAGAUACAUGGAUCACACCAAUAUGGUGAAACGUAUAUUCAUCACACAAGCAAAGCUGGUCAGUUUAUCCAUGGUCAAAUUGUGGUCUUUGUUUUCACUUGAGAGCUAAUUGAGGCACUAUAAUAUGGGCAGGCCUAUCUUCAACAGACAUGACAGCUACAGGGAACUUGACAUAAUUUGCUGGGCCGCCUGUGCACAAUUAUUUGUUUUAUUGUCCUUGCAUAGAAUGCUAAAAUACUCUUUACAAAAUGUUGGAUCUAAUAUUUGAAAUAUAGAGUAGUAAUCAUAUAUUGAUCAACAACUUGAAAUUAUCUGUACAUUCUCGGUGAAGCUGUUGAACUAAUUUUUGCAAAUUAUUAAUUCAUCUCAUUACGUAAAGAAAAAAGUAAGUGGAUAAGAUAUUUCGUGGACCACAUCACUGCAAACAUGUCAUGGAGAGACAGACCAAGGAGGCAGGACGUGAUACACGACUUACCCUAGGUUGCCGUGGAACCGCCAAGAAGAGAUACAGAUACAUGGACCACACCAUCUUGGGAGUAGUGACAGCAUAUAUGCAGAAGAAUACCCCGUGCCUAUUUGCAUGCAUGUCUCAAGUGAUCUGUUUUCUUCAGAAAAUACAUGAGCAUUGCCAGAAAGAAUGGCAAGAGACAAACAUGUCAUAGAGACUUGCAUGUCUUGCCUUGGAUACGCCAAGAAGAGGGACACAUACAUGGAUAACACAAAUCUAGUGACACGUAUAUUCAUCACAAAGGCAAAUCUGAUAAUUUUAUCCAUGGAGCAGACCAAGGAGAAAUUGAUGACGGACAUGUGAUCUCUGUAUUCAGUUGAAAGCUAAUUGAGCUACACUAAUAUGAGCAGGACUAUAUUCAAGAGACUUGUUGAGAGCUACAGGGAACUUGUAAUAAUUUGCUGGGCGGCCUGCGCACAAUGAUUUGUUAUACAUAGUUGAAAUAUUUCAAGAAUUUAUCAACCUCAUACUCUGAAACCCUUGGUGCAAUGUACUCUGCUUUCCGAGGUAGACUGUUCACGUAAAAUGAGGUCAUGCGUAAGACGGAAUCGGAUUGGAUUCACAGGGAAUCAGAUUUGGAUAGCACCUUUUAGCAGGUUUUUAGUCAAAUGCAAAUUCGGAUCCACAUGUGGUUGAAUGCGAGUUCAAAAUUCUACUUGGAUAUCCAUUUAAUUUAGGUGAUAGCAAUUAGCACAAAAUGUUGGAUGAACAAAAUCAUAGUUAGACAUACAAUUACAUGUAUGGUUAAAGUAUAAUACAAUACACCAAGAUUAUUCCUUGAAAAUAUUUCUUAAAAAUAUUAUAAUAAAUGAAUAAAUAUAAUUGUGGCCACCAACAAAUAGUCGGUGGUCGCUAAGUUGGAGCCAUUUCUGGUUACUAAUGCGGCCUUCUCCUCGACCAGCGACGACAGCUGAGCUUGUUCCUUCUGACACUAAAUCAUCAGAGUCUUCCCUCCACUACUAUAGAAUGCACCUUUAGCACCAAUUGGGAAAUCCCCUUCAGUAUUGGAUGCUGCAACCAGUGCUAUAUAUCAAAAUGGAGACUAAAAGCCUCGGUCUUGGGUACCGGUUGCAUAACGCAUUACUAAAGGAGGCAAAAGAGAAAUGUAACAAAAAAAAUAUUUUGAAUUCCAAGAAUGUUUCACUAUUCAAGAUGACUAGCUGAGAGUCAACAGACAAGAUACUAGGAAUGUGGGUGCUUGAAUGCAUUUGUACAGAGGUCAUACUAUUUACAAACUCUUCUAUGUUUCCAUAUGACUACCUACUUCAAUGUCACGCGAGCCAUUCAGCUGGACACAUGGCACACUAGCUUGCAUGUCGAAUCCAUGAUUAAUUAUUUGCACUUGUGAUCUCUUACCAGUAUUUGUCCAGACUAGAAACGUGCAACACAUUUUUAGGAUAUGGACACGCAUAUAUUUGGACUAGUAUACAGGUCACCUUUGGAUGCGUACAAGGAUGACCGGGAGGGACUAAUGGAUACAAGGAAGGGACCAUCAGGAUUAAUAUUGACAUAUGCCACAUGACAAUCUUCAUUGUCAUGCAAUCCCUAUCAACAAUCAUGGAAUCCCUAGUGUACUAAUCCCUGGAGGGUUGUGUGGAAAUUUAUUUUACCUUGCGGUGAAAAUCUCAUGAGCAGUCAUUAGUUAAGCUGACUAGCUGAGAUAUAAUAGACAAGCUAGUAAGAUUGGGAGCAUCAAUGCAUCCAUACAGGGUCACAAUAUCCUUUCCAUUCACUUUUAUAUAUAACCCUACGAAUACAAGUCCAACGAAAUGCGGGCCUUUCGAUCAAGAUAAAUUAAAUGGCCCACUUGUAUUUCUAAUCCAGGAUUAACUAUGCCCUCUGUUCAUCUCUUGCAAGCACGUGCAACACAUUUUCACGAUAUGGACAUGCAUGGAGGUUAUUAUACUGUUUGGACAAACUCUGAUGUGCCAUGACCUAAAUGCUUAGGGCCUGUUUGGUUUGAGUUGCUUAUUAUAAGCAACUUAAAGUUGCUUAAAGUUGCUUAUUUGAAGUUGCUUAUUUUUAGUCUAAACUGUUUGGAUACCCUUGCUUAUGAGCAUUGAAUGAGUUGGACAUUGUCAAAUUUGCCCCAUGUGUUGCUACCCCUCCAAUUUGCCUCCCCACCCUUCUUCUUCCUGCACACGUCCGAUCCCGGGGGCCGACGGCGGGCAGGGAGCAGCAGCAGCUGGCCAGGGCGGCGGUGGGGCGGGAGCGGCGGCGCACACCAGCACGCGCUCGCACGCCAGGUGCUAGGGCGCGGCGAGGCAGUCGUCGUAGCCCACCGGGAGCGGGUGCUCGGGCGCGAGGCGGUACUCGACGGAGAUGCCGAGCGUCGGGCGCGCGGCGGCGAGCGCGUUGAGGAAGCGAUGGUAGUGCGGCGACGUCGCGGACUCCGCCACGAAGCCGCCGCCGUGGACGUACACCACCACGGGCAGCUUCGUCUUGCCGUCGGCGGCCGCGGCCGCGGCCUGGGGUGGCAGGUAGAGGCGGACGGAGCAGGAGCCGAGGUCGACGUCCCUGGAGUCGACGCCCGUGGCGGCGUCCAGGCUGGGCCCGACCGGCGGCGGCACGAGCGGGCGCUCGAUGCGGCCGCUCUUGUAAAUCCGACGGGUCUGUGCGGAGGCGGGCGGCGGGCGGGAGCGGCGGGUGGGAGCGGCGGCAGGUGGUGCGGAGGCCGGCGGCGGCGGGUGGCGCGGAGGAAGGGGAGCUGGUGAGUGGUGACAGGGGAGGGGGGGAGAGAGAGGGGGGGUAGGGUGCAUUGAAUGAGGGCAGGAGGUGUAAAGUGCACCUUUUAGUCCCCAUGAGCAACCAUAAGCAGCCCAAGAGUUGCUUAUUUGCUUAUAAUAAGCAACCUCAUAAGCAAGAGUGAUUGGUUUCAUAAGCAACUUAUUUGCUUAUUUUAAGUUGCUUAUGCAUAAGCAUGUGAAACCAAGCAGGUCCUUAACCUAUGGUUGUGGCACCACACAGUACAUAGUAUUUAAUAAUGCUAUUCGUUUGGUAUGUGCACAAGGGCACGCAUGAAAUGUCUGGCCCACGGUAAACAAGUACGGACGCUGCAAAUAAUCUACUCUGCUCGUCCAGUCCCUAGCCUAUAAAUAGAUGCCAUGCUAGCUCUUGUUGUGCUCACAAUUAAUCCUGACUACACACGAGCUUCUCUCCCUGGCCAAGACACAAUCAUAGUAUGAUGAAGAACAUGGCACUAGCCGGCAAUGGUAUGAAGAACUUAAUCCUCGCUGUUCUCUUACUGUGUCUAGUUAUAGGGCAGAUACAAGUGGAAGCUAAGAGCUGCUGCCCAUCCAUUACUGCAAGAAAUAUCUACAAUGCCUGCCGUAUCACGGGUACAUCCCGUCCAACGUGUGCAAAACUGUCAGGCUGCAAAAUUAUCAGCGGGGACAAAUGCAAGCCCCCUAACGACCACCUCACCCUUGACCCGGACACUGGUAAAUAAUAAAUUUAUCUCACUUGAUUUCUUCGUGUUUUGAGUCGUUAAUGUAUUUUCCAUCUGAUGAAACGUAUUGGUUUUGCAUUGAAGAGGAAGUUAAUGUGCUUAACUUCUGCAAGUUGGGGUGUGCGUCGUCUGUGUGCAACAACAUCAACGCUGGUAAGCACCUUUUGCUCAGACGGAGAAAACAAUAAUCAUUAAUUAGCGGCAGCUAGAAUCCUAUAAUCUAAUAUAUUUAUAUAUAUAUAUAAUUUUAUCAGCUCUGGGAAAUGAAGAGGCGAACGAUGCCGUUGAGAGUUGCGACCAAGCCUGCUCUAGCUUCUGCAACGUGCACGUUGGCGCUGCCACCGUGGUUGCUUAAGCAAAUGCAUCCAACUGGAUCGUCCUUGUGCUAAAUAAUUGGAUAUCGUAUCCACUUAAAGCUGCCUUGUGUAGUACGUUUUUGUUUGUGUCUCUCUUUAUAUUCCAAUAAGGUCGGUGAUCUUGAUGCCACACACUCAGACGUGUGUUCAUCUCCAGAUACUACUCCAUGCUACCUGCCCUUUGUGUUUUGUUCAAUAACUGGGUAUCAUAUCCCAGCCAGUGUGCCAUCUGUUUUGUGUUUAUUUCCUUCUAGUUUCAAAGGGGUUAUCAUGAUGUUACCUUCUUUCGAUAUGGUGCUUUGCAUGACUACUGUUGUAUGGUACCAUCUUGUUGGCCAAUAAAUACAUCUUAUCCUAUGACCCUUUGCUAUGACCCUUUGCAAAUAAGUACAAGAUUGUUAAAUACUCGGUAUAAAUUGACUACUGCUGUGAGUUCCCUUUCAGCUUAUCGUAGGCAUACAUUAUUGCUAGCACGGUGAAGACAACCAACACGAAUGGUCAAGUAAACGUACCGGUACUUUUGUAUACCAACACCCUUGCUUAAAUGUACCGGUGUUACUCCCCACUAGCACAUAUAUUCUUAUAUGCUAGCCGGCUUGAAAAUUAACCGAUUAAAAUAAUUAUUUCAAGACAGAAAUAACUUAUCGGCUUCUCGAAGCAUGUGUAAUGUGAAUUCAAGGACUUGAUGGAAGUUGAAUCGCUUAAUCUAGAUUGCUUUCAGGAUUUUGGGUAACUAAAUUUAACAUUUGCACAUACAAAUGUUAAUGUACAAAUAUUAAAUAUAGUUACCCAAGCAGAAUAUGAAGAUACUCUAUAGUAUAUAUAUACUAUAUAAAUCUAGUUAACAUUUAGUCUAAAUGUUAAAUCUAGUUACCUAAAAUCCUGAAAGCAAAAUGUAUAAAUAUAUAUCUUUUAAGGAAUCCCAAAGCAAGAGUUCAGUGGCAUUCUAUAGUCCCAUGCUGCUAGUUUGAGUUGGUCGAAGCCAACUUAAAUAGGAGAGCUCUCUCACUUCUCUAAAUACGUAACUGAAGGAGAGAAGGGGGCUUGGUUACACAACGCACGCACGCACGCAUAUUUGCGUUCUUUUCGCGUAACCAACCGCGUGACUUGAAACUUGCGACGUAGCGUGCUGCCAAGUCAAGUUGAUAUAACCUUUUUGCCGUAGGCGUGUAAUCUUUUGACAACGGUCAUUGGAGGUGAUAAGCACGCAGUCAAUACCUUAAUCCUGAG
Molecule: long non-coding RNA, 122622 nt
Filed under: Setaria viridis
Lineage: Eukaryota; Viridiplantae; Streptophyta; Magnoliopsida; Poales; Poaceae
Description: long non-coding RNA (SVIR_LNC007217)
Source: RNAcentral